This 165496-nucleotide long non-coding RNA is filed under the name Gossypium barbadense (sea-island cotton). RNAcentral's name for it is "long non-coding RNA (GBAR_LNC020323)". The stretch from base 82659 to 82730 matches the Rfam family "tRNA". The record is from RNAcentral. Lineage: Eukaryota; Viridiplantae; Streptophyta; Magnoliopsida; Malvales; Malvaceae.
AUAGCCUCGGGGCAAACCUCAAGGAACUUGAUCAAAAAAUCAACAUUUCCAUUUUGAACCACAUGAUGCAAAGGAGUGAAGCCCUCCCGCCCUUUGACACGAACAAGGCCUUCAUCAAACCUGAGAAGUCGAAGCACUGCUUGAGUGUGUUGAUUUUGCAGAGCCAAGUGCAUGGGGCUAAACCCAGCUUGGUUUAGCUUUCUUGCAAACGAUGGCUUUAAGUUGAUCAUCUCCAUCAUAAAAUCAAUAUGCCCUGCAGAGGCUGCUACAUGCAAAGGAGUAUGGAAAAAAGGUACAUCAUCGAUACGCUGAAAAACAUAUGGAUCAUUCAGAAUUAACUCAUACAAGAUGUUUAUGUCUCCUGUUUGUGCAGCACCUAUCAUCCUCUCAUCCAUAGCAAGGUGCGGAAAUUUGCAGAAUAUAGAAAUGGAGUGAAGAAAAAACGCUUUAGCAGACGAUGUGAUUAUGUUAAGGAUAUACUGAAGUGUUUUAUUAUUUUUUCCAGAUGGAGUGUGUGAUAUUUUAUAGCACUUAAUUAUUUUGGAUUUAUAUGUGAUGUCAGCCACUACACGUAUACAUGUGAAUGUCACCUAUUAGAAAGAAAUAGUAAUUAUAUUUAGUAAUUAAAUUCAUAUUUAAUAUAUAUUUUUAAUCUAAUUUUUUAACUCAAUUUAAUUUUAGUUAAAACGUUUAAAAACAUUUAUUUAAUUUAAUUUCUUUAAUAUAUUAAAUAAAUUGAAUUAGAGAAUAUAUUAAAUAUGGAUGAAUACUAUAUCAUACUAAUUUUAUGUCUCUAAAAAUUAAUAAGGUGUCAUUAUUUUAUUGGUGCUUAAAAAAUUAAAAUAUUUAGAAUCAUCCUAAUAUAAGUUAUUCUAUUAAUAAUAAUAUUUGGUACUUCCACGAGUAAGUUCAAUAGUUUGACAAAUGUCUUAUAAAAGUAUAGUAAAAUAUUAAAAAAAAUUAUUUAGUGACUUAAUUUUUUAAGAACAUUUGAUAAUUUAUAAAGAAAAUAAAUAAUAAUUUUUUUCAAUAAAAAAGUGUGAAAAAAUGAUAAGUAGAUAAUAACUAUUAUCACUUACAACAUGUUUGGAUUAAAAAGAUAGAAAAAAGGAGGGAAAAUUAAGUAAAAUGAGGGAAAGAAAAUUCGGUUUCUUUGUUUAAGUUAAGUAAAUAUCGUAUCAUUAGAUUUUAUAUUUUAGGGUCUGUUUGAUUGAAGGAAUUGAUUUUCCGAAAAAUCAUUUUUAACUUUUCCAGCGUUUGAUUGGCGGAAAAUAUUUUCCAUUUGGAAAAUGAACUCCAAAACAUGGAAAAAUGGGUUACAUUUUAGGGAAAAUGUCUUACCCUUUCAAUUUCCGUAAGACAUUUUCCGUGCUCUCCUCUCUAUCUCCUCCUUCAUUCCUUCCUUCAUUUCCGGUAAAAAAUUGUUACUGUUUAUCGAUUUUCUAGUAACUUGUUUUUUUAAUUAUUCAAUACUUAUUUUUUUAACACAAUUACAAAUAAUUUAUUUGAUACUAAUUUUUUUCAAUUUAUAAUGAUUAAUAUUGUAGCUUAAUAAUUGAGUAUUAUUAUAAAUAAAUCAUUGCAAUAUAUGUAAAAAUAAUUUAAAAUAUAAAAAUUUAUUAAUAUAUAUCAAUAUAUGUAAAAACAAUUUUUUCAAAAAAUAUUUACCAGAAAUCUGCCAAACAGCCGAAAAUAUUUUACACAGAUUCAAUCAAACACCAGAAAAUAUUUUCCAGUAAAUCAUUUUACAGAAAAGUAAAAUAUUUUCCCGAAAUCAAUUUACGGAAAAUAUUUUACUGGCAAUCAAACAGACCCUUAGAUUAUUAUCUCUUCUUCUUCUUCUUUUAACUUGUAACCAUCUUAUUUUUAUUUUCUAUUUGUUUAGGUUACUAGAAAUAUUUAAUUUUAAAUUUGUUUGAUAUAUAUUUUUAAAAAUUUUAACAAUAUUUUUUAUUAACUAUUUUGUUAAAUUAUUAGGAAUCCUUCAUUUGUAAUUUGGUUAAGAUAUAUUUUUUAGUUUGAUCAAAUAAGCUUAUUUAAAAAAAAAAGAGAGAAUAUACCAAUAUAUUAUUGGUUAACAUUUUAAUUAUUAUUUUAUAUAGACUAUUGAUAUUGUUCUAUAAUUUUAAUUUGCUGUGAUUUAAUUUUGUUAUUAUAUAUUAUUUAUGAACUGUUAAAAUUAAAAAAUAAAAGUAAAAUAAUUCAUUUUCUUUCCUUUUCACAGUUUAGCAAAACAAGUCCACAAGGUCGCCCCAUUCAACAAAAAUUAAAUUGUUUAAAUAUAUAUAUGUAUAUAGGGACUAGUUUUAACAAAUAAAAAAUAUAGAAAAACUACAUUAAAAAAAUAGAGAAUGGAGGAAAACAGAGGGAGAAGCAGAAGACAAUAAAAAAUAAAGGAAAGUUAAAAGAACAUAAAAAAAUUAAAUUGAAUUGCUCAAAACGAAAAAAAUAUGGGGAUCAGUUGUAUAAAUCACCCUAAAUUUUUUGUUUGAAAGAUGAUUUAACAUGUCACAUCAGCUUAUCGUUAUAUGGUUAACGGAAAUUAACAGCUCAGUGACUAAAAUGUUACAACGCGAUAACGUAAGUGACUAAAAUGUAACAUUUCAAACAUAAAUGACUAAAAUGUAAGCAAAAGUGACUAUUUUAAUAAUUUACCCUUACAUUUAUCCAAACAUACGCUUAAUGUAAACAUUUUUCAAUUAUUUUUAUUUUAUUUUAUUUUUAACCAUUAUCCUUUAUCCUUACUUUAAAAAGUAUAAUUAAUAAAUAGUAUAAUUAUUUUUCAAAAUUAAUUUUAAGUAAUACACCAAAUAGAUUUUAUAACUUAAAUUUAAUAUUUAAGUUUAUAAUAUUUUUUUAUCAAACAACAUUUACUCCUAAGUAAAUAAAUAAAUAAAGGCCUUGUGUAAUUAAGAAAGUUGAGAAAGGGUUAAUCCUCACAUGGAAAAAAUUGGCUACAAUAAUGAAGGAAAGAGAAAAACACUAAGGAAUAUCCAAUAAUUGGGAGGCAAUAUGUCAAUUAUGAGCAUACCCCAUACUGUCAAUGGUGAUGGAUGAAUUGUCUACUAUACAUGGAUUUUGUUUUCCUUUUUUUUUUCCUUUUUUUGUUCUUGUCCUGUAUUAUUUGGAUUUGAGAUCCCAAGCUAUGUAUGUCAUCACAUUUUAAAUAUAUAUAUAUUUAUUAUGUAUUGAGUAUCAGUUUUAUUGGUAUAAAUAUUAUUGUUAAUGUAUGAGAAUAUAGAUUCAAGUGUGCACUACACCAAAACAGGCUUUUAACGGCACUUUUAGCGGCGUUUUGAGCGAAGACGCUGCUAAAAAUCGAAAAAUAGCAGCGUUUUAGGAAAAGCGCCGCUAAAGAGUGAGCAUUAGCGGCGUUUAUAAAAAAUGCCGCAAAUAAUACACCCAAACAGUGCCGUUUUAUGUCCUUUCGGGGGAAUUAGUGGCGUUUUUUGUAAAGCGCCGCUAAGGCUAAGACUUUUAGUGGUGUUUUUUGAAAAUCGUCGCUAAUCUAGGUGUUUUAGCGGCGUUUUUUGUUUAUGCGCCGCAAAAAUAAUUUAUCUUAAUUGAACUAUUAUUUAUAUUGUUUAAAUCAAAUUAAACAUAUUUCUAAUAGAAUAUUUAAAAUCUUCAAUAAAAAAUAACAAGUAUAAAUAAUUCGAAAUAAAACACAUGGAAAAAUUAAAAUAGUAUUAUUUAAAAUAAUUUUAAAGUUUGUUGGGUACAUUACUGAUUGUUUUUUAAUUUAUAUAUUAAAAAUUUGAAAUUAUUAUCGUAAUUAAAAGAGAUAGUAUUAAUUUAAAUUUAAAAUAUUGAAUUAAGCGUAUCACUAUAGUUAAUAUAGGGUUUUAGGUUUUAGGGGUAUAUAUAUAUGAUAUUAUUAAUUUAAGAUUUUAAGUCGGUUUAGGGGUUACUAUUUUAAGGUUAUUAUUAUAAUUGAUCAGGAGUAUAUAUAUAAUAUUUGAUUUAAGGAUAUGGUUUAAGGGCUGAGAUAUAAUGUUUAGGGGUUAGGGUUGGGGUUAGCACUUAAGGGUUAUUAAUUAGGAGUUAAUUAAGGAUUUAGGGUUUAGCUAGGGGUUGGGUUAGGGAACGUAGGGUUUUAGAUUAAUUAGUAUUGCCAAAUUAUAUAUUAAAUAUGUUCUUAUAUAUAUAAUUGUAAAAGAGGUAAUAAUAAAUUUGUUUAGGAUUUUUCGGUUCGGUAUAUGAUUUGGUUUCGGUAUAUUAUUAAUUUAAAUACGAAUUUGAAUAGUAAUGCUCAAAUAUAUAAUUCAUGAAUAACACUUAAAUACUUAAAUAAAUUUGUGAAUUUGAAUUGAAAUCAUCCAAAAAUAUGCAUAUACCUGAGUCGGUAUCUUUCCUAUUUUGAUCACUUCAAUAAAAAAAAUCCCAUAUAUAUAUAUAUUUAGUACUCCUUAAUUAUUUGUUUUCAUUAAUUUAUCUAUUUGAUGAAGGUCAAUAUAAUAAAUUAGUUAAUUAGACAAAUUUAUUCAUUUAUCAAUAAAAUAAAAUAUUAUAAAUUUCAAAUUUUAUACAAAAAUAAAUAAAUAUUAUAAAGAUAAUAUUGUUUAUUGCUACUUUAUACAAAAAGUUUUUAGUAUUAAUUAUUCUUUAAUCAAUUAUAACUAUUUUAUGAUAUUUAUUAAAGAUUUAGGGAUUAUUUUGGAUGGCCGUGCUAUUUUAAAGAUUAGGGGUACAGAUUUAGGGUUUGGGAUAUAAGAGUUAUCUAGGGGUUUAGGGGUUACAAGUUACAAUUUAGGGGUUAAAGAUUUAGGGUUUAGGGGUUUAGGGGUCGGAUAAGGAUUUUAGGUUAGUUUAGAUUAAUUUCUUUAAAUAAUAUUUUAAAAAAUCAAUCUAAAGUAUCAAUUGAUAUAUUUAAAUAUUAUUUUAAAUAGAAUUCAUAAAUAAGUUAAAAAUAUAUAUUGAUAUAUAUUAUAUGGAUAUGGUUAUAUAUUUAGGUAUAAUUAUUUAUUUUGGAAAUAUAUAUAUAUAGGACCAAAUACAUAAGAAAUGAAGUAAAAAAAACAAAAAAUUUCAAAACGGCGCCAUUUUUGAAUGAAUAGUUAAACUUUUAGUGGCGUUUUAACUGUUAAACGCCGCAAAUAUGGGAAAGCAGUCAUGGCGUUUGUACAAGAAACGCCGCAAAAGUGUCUUUAAAAUUGAGUAAACGACACCGUUUGUCUACACGAUUUUUAACUUAUAAAAAGUUUAGAAUUAUUUACUUGAAACGUCACCAUUUGGCUUGUUGUACGUUAAGUAUUAGUGGCGUUUUUACAAAAACGCCACAAAAUGUACAAUUUGAGAACAAAAAAACAGCGUCGUUUCUGCAUACAGGUUUAAAUUUUUAUGGCGUUUUCGCAAAAACGCAGGAAAUUUAGGAAGCAAUAGCGGCGUUUUUCAGUAAACGCCGAAAAGGGUAUUAAAAUAAUGUCUAAACGGCGCCGUUUCUGUACAUGAUUUGUAACUUAGAAAAAUUUUAGAAUUAUUUAUUCAAAACAUCAAUUAAGUAUUCGUGGCAUUUUUACACAAAACGCAACUAAUAAUACAAUUUGAGACUAGCAAAACGGCGCCAUUUCUGUUUAAAACUUGAACUUUUAGUGGCGAUUUUAUAUCAAACGCCGCAAAUGGGUUUUAAAAAAAUGGGUAAACGACGUCGUUUCUAUACAGUAUAUUUUACUUUGACAAAUUUUAGUGGCAUUUGUGCUUAAAACGCCAGAAAUAAUGCAAUUCCAGACCACGAAAACGGUGUCGUUUCUGUUCACAGCUGUAAUACGUAGUGGCGUUUUUAGGAAAACGCCGGAAAUGUGGAAGAAGUUGCGGCGUUUGUACCUAAAACGCCGCAAAACGGUGUUAAUAUAAUGGCUAAACGACAUCGUUUCCGUAACCGAUUUUUAACUUAUAAAAAUCUUAGAAUAAUAUAUUUAAAACGUCACCGUUUGGCUUAAAAUAGAUUAAGCAUACAGGUUUAAAUUUUUAUGGCAUUUUCGUAAAAACACAGGAAAUUUAGGAAGCAAUAGCGGCGUUUUUCAGUAAACGCCGCAAAAGGGUAUUAAAAUAAUGUCUAAACGGCGCCGUUUCUGUACAUGAUUUGUAACUUAGAAAAAUUUUAGAAUUAUUUAUUCAAAACAUCAAUUAAGUAUUCAUGGCGUUUUUACACAAAACGUAACUAAUAAUACAAUUUGAGACUAGCAAAACGGCGCCAUUUCUGUUUAAAACUUGAACUUUUAGUGGCGAUUUUAUAUCAAACGCCGCAAAUGGGUUUUAAAAAAAUGGGUAAACGGCGUCGUUUCUGUACAGUAUAUUUUACUUUGACAAAUUUUAGUGGCAUUUGUGCUUAAAACGCCAGAAAUAAUGCAAUUCCAGACCACGAAAACGGUGUCGUUUCUAUUCACAGCUGUAAUAUGAAGUGGCGUUUUUAGGAAAACGCCGGAAAUAUGGAAGAAGUUGCGGCGUUUGUACCUAAAACGCCGCAAAACGAUGUUAAUAUAAUGGCUAAACGACAUCAUUUCCGUAACCGAUUUUUAACUUAUAAAAAUCUUAGAAUAAUAUAUUUAAAACGUCACCGUUUGGCUUAAAAUAGAUUAAGUAUAAGUGGCGGUUUUUAUUAAAUGCCACAAAAAAUGAAAUUUCAGAGUAACAGAACGGCGCCGUUUCUGUUAAAAGGUUUACUUUUUUGUGGCGUUUGGUCUAUAAACACCAGAAAUUUGGAAUAAGUAGUGGCAUUUUUUCAAGAAACGCCGCAAAGGUGUUUUAAUAUUUUUUCUCAACGAUGUCGUUUCCGCAGAUGUUCUUUAACUUAGCAUUUACACUCGACAAAGCACAGAAAGCAAAAGCCAAGUGCAGAGGCCGAUUGGGAAGGGGAAAAAACCUAAGAAAAAAAUCUAAGGAAGAGAGGGGAGGAGAAAUCAGAAAUCAUCAAAGAGGAAGCAACGAUUGCGUCAUUCUUGACAGUAGUUGCAGAAUUUCUGGUUAAAAGGUAUGCGUUUAAUCCUUCUGAAGAACAUCGUCUUGAUUUAGGGUAAUUUUAGGUGCAUUGUGUUUUGCGAAUUUGGGGUUUAGGAAAAAAAUUUAGAUUUUGAGGUUUGCGGUUUAGGUUAAAACACCAUUCUUGUUUGGGAAUUUGGGGAACUUGUAAAUUAUUUAUUUAGCAAUUUAAAUAGAAGGGUUUAUUUAGGAAAAUUUUGUGUAUUUAGGGGUUGCCUGAAUACAAAUAUGGGUCCUCAACACAGCCUGUUGUUUCUCCAUUACAGCGAUUUUUGGAGAAGCAUAAAAGGGUAAGGACAGCCCUUCUGGUUGUGGUAGUAUUUGGUGCUUCUAUGGUCAUCUUUAUGGCUGUGGAUUCUAGAGUUUAAUCUCGGUUCCUCUUAAACAUAUGUGGCAACUAGGACAAUAAACAAAACUAUUAAUCAUGACAGUAUAUAUGAUUGUGGAUGGUGCUGGUGAGCUUGAAAAUACAUUCCCUUUAAUAGCUCUACUAAUAUUUUGCAUAUGGACUAGACAAGAGAUACCAAUAAAUAACUCGUCUGGUCUUACACCUGAAAGACUCAAAUUAACACAGAUUUAAACCCAAGCUAGCUGGUGAAGGUUAAACAAACCAUUUUCCUAAAAUUUUCUUGGCUGAGCCAUUAUUCGGACCAUGCAAUCAUUGUUGCAAUAGUGCAUAAUUAUGUUUGAUUCGUUUAGUGUGCUUAUUUCUCAGCUGGACAUAGUUGAUCUCCCAUGACAGAGUUAUGGAUAAUGAUAUCAGAAGUUCUUUAAUGAACAUAGUGGUGUCAUCGUAACUUCCACAUUACUUUGAUAACUUUAAUUGGUUGCAUUAUUCCUCCUAUCUAUAGUAUAUUGUUUGUGGUGGAUGGUUUGACAUGUCUCAGUGCUGAUAUUUCAUUAUUCAAAUAAGAUUUUUAAUUUUGGAUUUUGUUAUAUUUAAGCUUUAUACUAAUUUUUUCCUAGUACUAACUUACUUAUGUUUUCCUUUUUAUUUUUAUUUUUUGCAGUAGUUUGCUUCGAAGUCCAGGAAAUUGAGGUAUUUAUUCCUAUGUUUCCCACCUUGGUUUUCUUAAAAAAACACCUCCAAAUGUUUAAAUUUUGGAUUUUGUUAUAUUUUAUCUAUGUACUUUAAUUAUUAUUUUUGAGUUUUAAAAGGGAGUUUUAAUUAAGAAUUUUUUUUUAAGUUGUGGGUAUCGGUUUUAAUUAUCAUUUUUGAUUUAUAUGUUGCUAGCUCAAUUUGCAUGUUACUUUGCCAAAUUUUUCCAUAACUGCAAGGUAUAAAUUAUGAUUGUAAAUCUUGUACGUAUUUUUUACCCAAGCAAAAACAAUUACGCAAAUUAUUAAAAUUCUUAAAUCACUUUAUAUAUUGGAGUAAGUGAAUAAAUUAUGGGCGAAUAGUGGAUUUGUUUUAAAGUGAACAAAUUAUCGAUUUUCAAUUUUAUGCCAAUUAAUAAAUUAUCGACGUUAGUUCUCAUUUAUGCGAUUGAAUGUUAAUGUUUAAUAAUAUAUGAUUAUUCAAUAAAUUGAUCGAUUAAUUGAUUGAAUGUCAAUGAAUUAUCAAUUUUUGUAAGUUAAUUUGGUUAAAUUUAUUACUUAAAUACAUUACUUACUAAAAUACAUUACUUACUAAAAUUUGUUUAAAUUUAUUACUUAAAUAUGUUACUUAAAUACAUUACUUACUAAAAUUUAAGUAUAUAUUACAUUACUUACAUAACUUGUUAAAAUAUAUUAUAAUUUUAAAAAUAAUUAUAAUUAAGAUACAUAAAAGUGCUAUACUUACAUCAUACAUUAUUUACACAACCAAAAAUUGAAAUUUACAAGAACUUACAUAACUUGUUAAUAUUUAUAUAAACUUACAUAACUAUCACAUAAACUUACAUAAUAUAUAACUUACAUGUUACCUUACAUAAUACAUAACUUAUAUAAAAUUUUUAUAUAAACUUACAUAAUACAUUAUUUACAUAUUAACUUACAUAAGUUAUCUACAAGCUUGUGGUUAAACUUGCAUAACUUACAUAAUAACAUAACAACUUACAUAAUAUAUAACUUACAUGUUACCUUACAUAAUACAUAACUUAUAUAAAAUUUUUAUAUAAACUUACAUAAUACAUUAUUUACAUAUUAACUUACAUAAGUUAUCUACAAGCUUGUGGUUAAACUGGCAUAACUUACAUAAUAACAUAACAACUUACAUAAUACAUAGCAUAGAUAACUUACAUAACUUACAUAAUACAAAACUUACAUAACUUAAAUAUCUUACACAACUUACAUAACGUACAUAAUACAUAACUUACAUAAUACAUAAUAACUUAUAACUUACAUAACAUACAUUACUUUGAUAACUUACAUAACUUACAUAAUACACAACUUGUUAAGCUUACUUAAUACAUAACUUACAUAAUACAUAAUAACUUAUAACUUACAUAACAUACAUUACUUUGAUAACUUACAUAACUUACAUAAUACACAACUUGUUAAGCUUACUUAAUACAUAACUUACAUAACUUAUACACGUACAUAACUUACAUAAUUUACUUAAUACAUAAAUAUAUAUCAUAUGAUAUACUUACAUAACUCAUUUAUACUUACCACUCAACAACUUACCCUUGUAAUUUCUGGUGAAAAUCAGACGUCAAGAAAUAAGAAAUGGACCGGUCUUGGAUGAAUUUAUCAAGGGUAAGCGACGAUUAUCGAAAUGGAGUACAGACUUUUCUAAAUUUUGCAUUUCAAUAUGCAAGCCAGGAGAACAUGAUUCUUUGCCCGUGUAAGAAGUGUGUCAACAUAAACUGGCAUUAUCGUGAAGUUGUAUACGAGCAUCUAAUUGUUGAUGGGUUUGUUCAGGGUUAUAAACAAUGGUUUUUUCAUGGAGAAUGCCCGCCUAGUACUUCCUCAUCAAGGAUGGAUGUAUCUUAUGACAGUACUACUUACCAUCAGUCUGUUAGAGGGGAUGACAUAGAAGGGAUGUUGCGGGAAGCAUUUAAUAUUCACAACCAUGGUUUACAGUCGUUCCCAGCCGACUUUGUGGCACCUGAUGAUUGUAAUAUCGAUGGAAAUGCUUUUACCGAACCCGGAAAAAGUGUACAUCAUGAAGAGCCGAAUGGAGAAGUGGCGAAGUUCUACGCGCUACUUAAUGACAUGAAUGAAGAACUGUUUGAGGGAUCAAAAUUCUCGAAAUUGUCUUUCUGUAUUCGUCUUUUUCAGUUAAAGUGUUUGGGAGGGUGGACCGGGAACUCUUUAACAAUGUUGUUAGAGUUUCUGAGAGAGAUGUUUCCGUUUGCAAAAAUCCCUCAAUCAUGCAAAGAUAUGAAGAAAAUGAUAAAAAAUUUAGGUCUUGGGUACAACAAAAUCCAUAGUUGCCCGAAUGACUGCAUGUUGUAUUGGGGCGAUCGAAGAAACCAGCAAUGCUGUCACAUAUGCGGCCAAUCACGUUGGAUAAAUAGAAACAUAGAAGAUGGGAACGAUGAUGAAUAUGAUGCACUGGUAAGAAAGAAGCCGGUCAAGAUUUUGCGGUAUUUUCCGCUCAUACCAAGGCUUCAAAGGCUUUUCAUGUCAUCGAAGACAGCGGAGUCUAUGACAUGGCACCAUGAUGGACGAACCGAUGAUGGGAAUAUGAGGCAUUCGGCAGAUUCUUUAGCUUGGAAAUCAUUUGACAAUAAAUUUCCAAGCUUUGCAAGUGAUCCUAGGAGUGUAAGGCUUGGCUUAGCAUCUGAUGGAUUUAAUCCGUACAAGAUCAUGAGUAUUGUGUACAGUACUUGGCCAGUAGUGCUUGUUCCUUACAAUCUGCCUCCGUGGAUUUGCAUGAAGCAAUCUUCCCUUAUCUUAUCUAUGAUUAUCCCUGGAGAGAAAGGGCCCGGGAAUGAUAUCGACAUUUAUUUACAGCCACUUAUUGAAGAGUUAAAACAAUUGUGGGCUGGUGUCGAGACAUACGAUGUGCUGAGAAAUGAGAACUUUAAUCUACGUGCAGCUUUGAUGUGGACCAUUAAUGACUUUCCCCCUUAUGCCAAUUUAUUCGGUUGGAGUACAAAGGGUCGUUAUGCGUGUCCUUGUUGUGCUGCACAAACAUGUUCGCAAUGGUUGUACAAUGGGAAGAAGUUCUCUUAUAUGGGGCAUCGUCGGUGGUUACCGAAAAAUCAUAGAUUUAGAUUUCAGAGUUCUGUAUUUAACGGUACUGAAGAGUUCAGAGAAGCUCCUUCGCAGACCAGUGGCUCUGAAAUCUUGUUCAUGUUGGAAGAUAUGAAUUUCAUUUAUGGAAAGAUGAACCAACCGCCAAACACGCAAAGAAAUAGAAGAUCAAACGAUGAAGCUGAUGAUGACUCUGAUGAAGAGGACGAUCCUAAUGAGGCGGACUUGUGGAAAAAAAGAAGUAUUUUUUUUGAGUUGCCUUAUUGGGAGCAUCACCUUUUACGACAUAAUCUUGAUGUUAUGCAGAUUGAGAAAAAUGUCUGCGAGAACAUUGUGGGUACAAUUUUGAAUGUCGACGGAAAAUCAAAAGACAAUCUUCAGAGUCGACUUGAUUUAGUACAAAUAGGAAUCCGACCUGAUCUUCAUCCCAAUCCACUUCCGAAUGGAAAAUAUCGGUUGCCGCCAUCUAUUUUUUCAAUGUCGAAGACGGAAAAAGAAGUGUUCUGCACAGUGUUGAAGGAUAUAAAGGUUCCAGAUGCGUAUGCAUCAAAUAUAUCUCGAUGUGUUAGUGUUAAAGAUCGAAGAUUAUAUUCGCUAAAAUCACAUGACUAUCACAUCUUGAUGCAAGAUUUACUGCCAGUGGCUCUACGAUGUUGUAUGUCCAAGAAGGUGACGUCUUGUAUAAUUGAACUAUCCAACAUAAUGAAAGCCAUUUGUGGCAAAGUUUUGGAUGUUCAAGAACUUCAGAAGGUACAGGAUCGAGCCGCUUUGACUUUAUGCAACAUGGAGAAAAUAUUCCCACCUUCCUUCUUCACCAUUAUGGUUCACUUGAUAAUCCAUCUCCCGCACAAAGCAAUUCUUGGCGGACCCGUUUUCUAUCGAUGGAUGUAUCCCAUAGAAAGGUGUUAAUUAAAAUUUUUAAAAUUUUCCUUCAUUCACCUCUAUGCCUUUAGUUUCAAUAAUUAAGAAAUGUUAUAUAUUGUGUUUAGGUUUCUAUCCAAAUUAAAGUCUUACUGCCGCAACAAGCGAUAUCCAAAAGGAUCAAUUGCAGAAGGCUACUUGGCAGAAGAAUGUAUGACCUUCUGCUCAAGAUAUUUGGAAGAUGUUGAAACAAGGUUAAACAGACCAAAUAGGAAUGCUGGACUCACGGACCAUAACUUAGCCGAUACUUAUUUGUUCCAAAGUUUUGGAAAACCAAUCGGUAAAGUUGAAAUUGCAGAAUUAGAUCAUUUAUCGUGGGUACAAGCACAUCGAUAUGUUCUGUUUCACCACGAAUCAUUGGAACCUUUACGGAAGUAAGUUCUACAAAUUUGAUAAAUAUUUAUCAAACUAAUAACUGUUUAUCUUCUAACAAAGUGAACAUUUUUUUAACAUAGUGAGUACAAACAAAUAUUGAGAUCUCGUUCGCGCUCCCGAAGAACACAACAUCGAGAUAUCAAUAAGUUAUUUAUAGAAUCUUUUUAUGAAUGGUUAAGCCAAACGGUAUGCAGUUCGAGCUUCCGUUUACAAAUAAUAAAAUCCGUUUUCUUAUAACAUUUUUAAUUACUCAGUUUACUUUCCAUUCAAUAGGUUUGGAGUGGGAAGAACGUAAAGACGAAGUUAAAUGGCUCUCCCAAGGUCCAAAUCGAGUGGUUAAAAGAUAUAGUGCGUUCCUCAUCAACGGAUUCAGAUUUCAUACAAAAUAUCGCGAGAGGUUGAGGAGAACGCAAAAUUGUGGAAUAGUUGUCAAUUCUGCAAUUACAAGUUAUGCUAGUGCAAGAGACAAUAAUCCUGUCGCGGGAAAUGUGGAAUAUUUCAGACAUCUUACUGACAUAAUUGAGUUGGAUUACUACGGCAAAUGGAAAGUUGUCUUAUUUCGUGGUGAUUGGGCCGAUGUUAAUACAGCUCGUGGAAUUAAGCAAGAUCAAUUUGGUUUUACAAUGGUGAACUUUGACCGAUUGAUUCACACAGGACAACAACUGAUAGAUGAGCCGUAUGUAUUCUCAUCUCAAGUCAAACAAGUUUUUUACUCAAAAGAUCCAACUGAUGAGAGUUGGUACGUUGUACUCCGUAACAUCCCAAGAGACUUGUUUGACAUGGGCAGUGGAAGUAGAGAUAACAUCGACGACAGAUCAGAAACUUUGCCCUUUCCAGAACAAAACUUAAACGAUAAUAUCCCUAGUACUAGUGCACAAUUUCAAUGUGUUCGUCAGGAUACCGAUGAAGAUAUUUACGAAUAAUGAUGUAGUAAGAUUUUACGAUUGUUUAAUUAUAAGUUUUUUUUCAUAAUUUAAAUAUUGGUCUUAUUAUAUAUUUCAACUGUUUUAUAUGUGAUGUUAUUGUUGUAAUUAGUUAUUAAGUUGUCAACUAUUUUAUGUGUAUUGUAGAUAAAAUGCCUAGAAGAAAAAUUCUAAGGGGAAGCAUUGUUCAAAAUGAUCCAAACACGAUAGAAACAAAUAGUACUGAACAACAGACAGCAAUUGGAUCUUCGAAUGUUCCGAUUACAGCUGAUGAUCCUACAGAAGUUCAAAGUAAUUUUACAUUUAAUUUACAUGCGUGUUGACUUAUAGUUGCUUUUUUUCAAAUUCUUAUAUUAUAAUAUACCAUUUGUAGCUGAAAAUGGUGGGACGCGCAGAGGUCGAGGACGUACGCUACUUAGAGAGUUAUACGAGUUAGAUCCAGUCGAGCGUGUCAAAGUUGGACGAAACAGUUUUGGUCAGCCUGUUAGAUCAGAAGCUCGACUUUUAGCAGGAUACAUGGGCAUUUUAGCACGAAAUCCGAAUAUGUUACCUAUCAACUACGACUCAUGGCAUCAAAUGCCCGGUAGCAAAAAAAACCAAGCCGUCGAUAAUAUUAAGGUAACAAAAUGUUAAUGUCAUCUGUAAUGCUUGGGAAAUAGUUUCAUUUAUAUUUACUUUAUUAACUUGUGUUUUUUGUUUUUUGUAGACGAGGUUUGCUUUAGAGGUCUCGGAUGCUUAUGUAAAGAAGGCAUUGGGAAAAAGAUGGAGAGACAAUAAAAGUACUUUGAAGAGAAAUUAUUAUAAGACAAAAACAACCCUCGAUGAGAAAUUGCAAAAUGUCCCGCCGGGUAUGUUGAGGUACCAAUGGGAAGAUACGGUUAGAUUUUGGCAUUCGAAGAAAGGCGAGGUAUGACGUACUUCCAAACUAUUGUAAUUAUUUUGGUAAAUAGUAUUUUCUAUUUACGUACUAAAAAGUUCAUAACGUAGGAUCGUGAACAAGUUGGAAAAAGUAGCAGGCAGAAACAAAAAUUCACCCACACAGCCGGGUCGAGAAGUUUUACAUGUGUAGCUGAGGCGGAGGUAUUUUUAAUUUUUUAAUAUUGUCGAAUAUGUAUAACUUUCUAUUAAAUAAUAUUUUUACUACUAUAUUGUAAGAACUGUCGUUCGGUCAAAAAGUUGGACGCCUUCAACUUUUUGAAAUUACACAUAGGAAGAAAGAUGGAUCUCCCAUGACUCCUGAAGCUGGUGAAAUAAUGAUACGUUUACUUAAUACGAUUUGACUUGUUUUAGUUAUUUAUAGUGUUUAUUUUCUAAUGGUUUAAUUCAUUGCUUGUAAUGCGACUAUUGUUAUGUUGCAUAUGUUUUUUAAUAUAUAAUAUUGCGUUCCUAACUAUGUGAUUUAUUUAUUAGGAAAAACUAAAGGAUAAAAAGGUUGAGUACGAAGCGAUUGCUUCUAGUGAUAGUUCUGUUCAUCUUGAAAACAUUGAUAAUCGGAUUAUUACUGAAGUUUUGGGUCCUAAAAGGUAUGGUCAGGUUCGAUUUCAAGGAUCUUUUGUUAGCCCAACCCAAUAUUUUGGAUCCAGCUCCCACCAAUACAUGGCUUUAGGGAGUCAGGCUCAAGCUGAAGUUCAGAGGUUAAAAGACCAGAUCGCUCAGAUGCAAGCGACCACAGUUGAGGUUCAAAGGAAAUAUGAAGAACUCCAGCUACAACUUAAAGCAGAGGCGGCAGCGAGGGAAGCAGCGGCUGCAGCGAGGGAAGCAGAGGCUGCAGCGAGAGAAGCAGAGCAGACCAAAAAGUACGACGAACUCCAGCAACAGCUUCAGAUUAUGAUGAAGAUGUUUCAGUCGCAACUUCCGCCUUCAUAGUGUAUGGCAUAAAUAUUUUUAUCAUUUUAACAUUUAACAUUUUUGCAAAAUAAUAUGAAUUCACUUUUAUUUAUUGAUAUUAAUAUUAUUUUAUUCGUUUAAUUUGAAAUAUUAUAUAAAUUUAUUGCUUUUGGCUGUUUUAGAUCUGGUUGCUUUUGAUUUGUUGUUACAGGAGGGCUGAAAAAAUGAAAAAUUUAAUAAAAAAAUCCCAAAAAUAGUGGCGUUUUUGUAUAAAAACGCCGCUAAAGAACAUGGUCUUUAGUGGCGUUUUUACCAAAGCGCCCCUAAAGAACAUGGUCUUUAGUGGCGUUUUUUACUAAGCGCCGCUAAAGAACAUGGUCUUUAGCGGCGUUUUUUUGUAAACGCUGCAAAUGUUUGCGAUGUUUUCCUUAGUGGCAUUUUUUGCGGCGCUUGUGGAAGCGCCGCAAAUACCUUUAGUGGCGUUAAAAAGCGCCGCUAAAGGCCUAAAAAAAUGCCGCUAAAGACUUGUUUUGGUGUAGUGGUGUUAAAACGCAUUAUCCUCUUAUUUAUGAAUUAGGAAGUAGUUAUUGGUAGUUCUAGACAUUGCGUAGAAAAUAAUAGAUAUGAUGAGAAUCUAUAUUGAAACUUUUCGAAAAAAUAUAUUUAUUACACAUGAACUAAAAGAAAUUUCUUUAUGGGUAGUUCAAGAAUAUUGUUGAAGCUAUAAAAUAAAAAUUCAAUUGGAUAAUAGAAAUCUCUUUUGUUUAACAAAAUAUUAAUCAUUGAUUGAGUUAAUAUUAUGAGUCAAUCGGACACCAAUUUAAUUAAGAAAUUACGAAAAUAUCAUUCCAUAAUUAAAAUAAAUUAUAUUAUUUGAGGAUAUUUUAAUAUUUUUAUGUCAAAAAAAUCAAUAAAAAUAUAUAUUUAUUUUUCACAAAUAUAUUAUUCUAUCAAUUUUCAUCAACCAAAAAAAAAGUAAUUAAAGUAAAAUUUACCUUUGAUAUACCAGAUGAUUUCAAAGAGAAUGAUUAUAUCAAUGAGUUUAACAAUUAAAAAAUAUAUUUUUUUCAAAGAUUUUAUAAUAUAAAAAAUUUUAAAAAUUUUAUAUAAAAAUUAAAUAAAUAUUUUAAAUGAUAUUUGGACCAAUUUUAAUAAUUAGUUUAUAAUUUAGAGUUGUAGAUAAUAUGGCUGAUAUAUAUAAUGUCUUGGUCAAGUCAUGGUUUUAUAUAUGUUUAUUUGUGAGCCCUACACUCGCAUCAAAUUUAGAUAUCACAAACAUGAUUUAAAACAUUACUAGCUGUGAGCAAUUUAAAGAAAUUUAAUUUCUUUUUUACAAUUUUAAGUUAAUCAAUUAUUUGAUUUUUUUAGGGGCGAAUUCAGAAAAGUUUUUUAGAGGCCGAAAUGAAUUUUUAAUUUUUAAUAGUCUAUAUCUUUAUAUUUUUAAAGGAUUAAAUUAAAAUUUUAUAAUUUUAAGGGGGGCAAAAUGUAAUUUUAUCUCUACUAAUUUAAAACUUUAAGAUUUUUUAAAGGACCUAAAUAAUAAUUUUUCAUUUUAAGGGGGCCGGGGCCCCUACCAACCCUUUAGAUUUGCCUCUGAUAUAUAUAUAUUAUUUAUGUUUUGUAACUCAAAAUUUAGUCAUAUUAUCAAUAAUAUUUUAAUAUGAAAAAUUUACUUUUUAAAAAAAACUUAUUUAACUUGUCUCAAUUAAAUUAAAAAAAUUAAAAUCAAAUUAGAAUAAUAAAAUAAUACCUAUUUACGCGAUUGAAUCUAAUACUCACCUCUCAAUAUUACACCUUUUGAAUCUUCCUAGAUCAUAAAAGGAGAAGUUAUCCUUGGCGUGUGUGUUUUAGUGCUCCUUAUUUCCUUUAAAAACAAAGUUUAUUUAUUCCUUUUUUAUAGAAAUGAAUUGAUAUUUAAACUGCAAAAGAAGAACCACUAUUUGAACAUGUAUAAAUUAAUAUUGUACGCAAAUAUAAACUUUAAUACCAAUUAGAGAAGUAAAAUAAGAUAUUGGUGAAUCAAAUUUAUUAAAUAAUUUAUAUACAGAAUGGAUGAUAUAAUAUUUCUGAAGUCUUCCCUUGGUUGACCAUAAAAGGAGAAGUCAUUGUUUUGUUUUUUGGUAUUUAUUUGUGACCCCUACACACACAUCAAAAUCACAUAUCAUAAACAUUGAUUUAGAAUUAAACUAUAUAAUAUUAGACCUUUUGUAAUCUUCCUAUUGUUGACCAUAAAAGGAGAAGUCAUCCUCUUCUGUCUUUUCUCCCCUUUAACUCUGUGGCUAAUUAUGUCAAAACAAGGUUUUUUUUUCCCUUCUUUGGUAGGAAUUAAAUUAAUAAAGAUUAUUGUAAUUUAAAAUCCAAUUAAAGUUACUAUUUGAACUGGUAUGAAUUAAUAUUGUUAUGUCUAACAUUUAUAUCCAAUAAUUUUUACUAUAGAGAAAAGAAGUAAGAAAAUAAUAUAUGAUGUAAAAUUGUUAAUUUGAGUCUUAACACAGUCGGUAUUUGUAUGUUGUUUAUGUAAUUUUUCUUUCUAGUUAAAGGUUGGAGAGGAGUUAGGGUGAAGCUAGAAAUUUCUUUUUUGGGAGACGAAAUUAAGCUGUAUAUUUUUACGAGAGUUAAAAUACAAUUUUACCAUUUCAAUAGCUUAUAUCUUUACAAUUUUUAAUGGACUAAAGCAAUAUUUUAUCAUUUUUAGGGCUAAAGUACAAUUUUACUAUUUAUUAACUUAAAAUUUUAUAAACUUAAUUUAAAGGGUUAAAUUUUAAAUUUCACAUUUUAAGGGAAGGGAUAAAAACCCUGCUAGGCUCCCCUCUUGCCGCCCCUGAGAGGAUAUAAAGUAAAGCCAUAAGGGUCUAAAAUAUAUGAAUUAUGAGUACUUAUUACACUUGACCAAUUGCUUUUCUUCAAACAAAACAAAAACUAAUGCACAUGAAAAUGCAAAUUCACAUGCAACCUAGAUAUGCAUUCUAUAUACAAUGCAAUGCAAUAAAUAAAUAAACAAAUAUUAUUUAACUAUGGAGUUGCCUCUCCGUAAGCACCUUUGUUUAACAUUUUUGGCUAGAUGUUUUUAAAUGUUAUUUCACCACAGAAUGAUUCGGAUAACAUCUUGACUUAAUAAAAUUGAACAUUAGGAACAACUUAAAAGUCGAGGGAACUUGAGAGUUUUGAUCCCCUUUUGGUUCUUUAACCAACCAUUCUCACCCCUAAUUAUAAUUCCAAUACAGUAAAAGUACGUGAUUGAGUUGAAUGGAUGGUGGUUGUUUGACAUAACAUGUAGAAAGUGAAAAAAUAGUUAAAAAUAAAUCAAGUAUUAAAACUAAAAGUUUAUGAAAGAAAUAAUUUUUUUUCGUUUCCAGGCUUUUACAAAAUCGUGUAGAUUAUUCAUUUUCUUUCUUUUGCUUUUCUUUUCUGACGAAUAAAAUUUAACAAAUGAUAAAAUUGAUCUAAUGUUAUAUAUUUGGUUUAAAAUUUAUGUAACAUAUUAGUAUUUUAAUUAUUUUUCAAAUGUUAUAUAUUUGUUUUAUAAUGGAAACUAAAGUUCGCAUUUAUUUUUUUUUAGGUUUUUUAGGGUGAGUUUAGAUAGGCGGUGCAUUUAUCUACGGUUAGUAUAAAAAUAAAAAUAACGGUAAUAUUAUAUAUUAUAGAGAUAUUAUGGUGUGAGACAAAAAAUAAAUUAAAUACACCGCACCCUACUAUCUAUCCAAACUUAAUUUUAUUAUUUAAAAAUAUAAAUAUUUAAGAUAAAUAGAUAAGUGGGAAAUAUUGAAUGGAAUAAAGUAAUUGAAGCAAUCAAUUGCUAUAUCAUUUCACACACUUUCCCAAAGCCACAUAAGGGGAGAGAAGGGGCCACGCAGCCCUCCUAAAUAGUUGAAAAUAAAUCAAGUAUUAAAACUAAAAGUUUAUGAAAGAAAUUCUAGUAUUAUCAAUUUUUCGUGAGGCUCAAAGCUAUUUGGAACAAAAAUAAAAUCAAUAUGUAUAGGCUUAACAAAAUAGCUAUUAUCUUGCAUUGUUAUUUCAUCCUAACCUCUUCCCUCAUAACUUCAUCUUCUAUUUUCUGUUCGACUUUAUCAAAAGUCUCAAGAAUUUCCUCCCCGUCCUUUUUAACUUCAACGAAACUUUCUAGGGAAGGAAGCUCUAUCGUGAAUGACUUCGGUUCUAGUCAAAGUAAAAUAUAGUUUUUUUAGGUUUUUCGACUAUUUAUGCAUCAAACUUUUAGGACAUUUUGGACAUCUUCCUAAUGUUUUUGGGCUUUAAUCUGUGAAAUAAAUUUAGAUAAAUCUUUCAAGUCACAUCAACAUUUUAUUAAUGAUUUAAUAAAUUAUUAAUAAAAAGAUUUAGGAUUAAUGUACAAAUUUGUCACUAUACUUCAAUUUGAUUGAUAUUUGAUAUUGAAUUUUAUUGCUUUACUUUAAUUUAAUUGAAUUUUGCCACUAAGAUUUUUUUAUUGAAUUUUCUAUUCAAUUUAAUUUUAAAAUAACUUGAAGGCUAAAUUGAAUAAAAAUAGUUUUAUAUUUCGCUUUUAUAUUUAAUAAUUAUCCUCUCAUCCAUGGCAAGGUGCGGAAAUUUGCAGAAUAUAGAAAUGGAGUGAAGAAAAACCGCUUUAGCAGAGGAUAUGAUUAUGUUAAGGAUAUACUGAAGUGUUUGAUUAUUUUUUCCAGAUGAAGUGUUUGACAUUUUAUAUCACUUAAUUAUUUUGGAUUUAUAUGUGAUGUCAGCCUCUACACGUAUACACGUGAAUGUCACCUAUUAGAAAGAAAUAGUAAUUAAAUUCAUAUUUAAUAUAUAUUUUUGAUCUAAUUUUUUUUAAUUCAAUUUAAUUUUAGUUAAAACGUUUAAAAACAUUUAUUUAAUCUAAUUUCUUUAAUAUAUUAAAUAAAUUGGAUUAGAAAAUAUAUUAAAUAUGAAUGAAUACUAUAUCUCUAAAAAUUAAUAUAUUAUUAUUUUAUUGGUGCUUAAAAAAAUUAAAAUAUUUAGAAUCAUUUUAAUAUAAGUUAUUCCCUUGAUAAUAAUAUUUGGUAUUUACACGAGUAAGUUCAAUAGUUGACAAAUAUUUUAUAUAAGUAUAAUAAAAUAUUUAAAAAAAUUAUUUAGUGACUUAAUUUUUUAAGAAUAUUUGAUAAUUCAUAAAGAAAAUAAAUAAUAUUUUAAAAAAAGAGUGAAAAAUGAUAAGUAGAUAAUAUCUAUUAUCACUUACAACAUGUUUGGAUUAAAAAGAAGAAAAAGGGAGGGAAAAUUAAGUAAAUUGAGGGAAAGAAAAUUCGGUUUCUUUGUUUAAGUUAAGUAAAGUUGUUAAUUUUUUAUUAGAUUUUAUAUUUUAGAUUAUUAUCUCUUCUUCUUCUUUUUUUAGCUUGUAACAGCCUUAUUUUUAUUUUCUAUUUGUUUAGGUUACUAGAAAUAUUUAAUUUUAAAUUUGUUUGAUAUAUAUUUUUAAAAAUUUUAACAAUAUUUUUUAUUAACUAUUUUGUUAAAUUAUUAGGAAUCCUUCAUUUGUAAUUUGGUUAAGAUAUUUUUUUUUUUAGUUUGAUAAAAUAAGCUUAUUAAAAAAAAAGAGAAUAUACCAAUAUAUUAUUGGUUAACAUUUUAAUUAUUAUUUUAUAUAGAAUAUUGAUAUUUUUCUAUAAUUUUAAUUUGCUGUGAUUUAAUUUUGUUAUUAUAUAUUAUUUAUGAACUGUUAAAAUUAAAAAAAAUAAAAGUAAAAUAAUUCAUUUUCUUUCCUUUUCAUAGUUUAGCAAAACAAGUCCACAAGCUCGCCUCAUUUGAAAAAAAAAUUAAAUUGUUUAAAUAUAUUUAUCUAUAUAUAUAUAGGGACUAGUUUUAACAAAUGAAAAACAUAAAAACUACAUUAGAAGAAAUGGGGAAGGGAAGAAAACAAAAGGAGAAGCAGAAGAGAAUGAAAUAUAAAGGAAAGUUAAAAGAACAUAAAAAAAUUAAAUUAAAUUGCUCAAAACGAAAAAAAUAUGGGGAUUAGUUGCAUAAAUCAUCCUAAAAUUUUUGUUUGAAAGAUGAUUUAACAUGUCACAUCAGCUUAUUGUUACACGGUUAACAAAAAUUAAUAGCUCAGUGACUAAAAUGUUAUAACGUGAUAACGUAAGUGACUAAAAUGUAACAUUUCAAACAUAAAUAACUAAAAUGUAAGCAAAAGUGGCUAUUUUAAUAGUUUACCCUAACAUUUAUCCAAACAUAAGCUUAAUGUAAACAUUUUUUCAAUUCUUUUUAUUUUAUUUUAUUUUUUACCAUUAUCCUUUAUCCUUAUUUUAGAAAAAAGUAGAAUUAUUUUUCAAAAUUAAUUUUAAGCAAUACAUCAAAUAGAUUUUAUAACUUAAAUGUAAUAUUUAAUUUUAUAAUAUUUUUUUAUCAAACAACAUUUACUCCUAAGUAAAUAAAUAAAUAAAGGCCUUGUGUAAUUAAGAAAGUUGAGAAAGGGCUAAUCCUCACAUGGUAAAAAUUGGCUACAAUAAUGAAGGAAAGAGAAAAACACUUAGGAAUGUGAAUGAGCAUACCCCACACACAUACUAUUUACUGUCAACGGUGAUGGAUGAAUUGUCUACUAUACAUGGAUUUUUUUUUUUUUUUGGUUCUUGUCCUGUAUUAUUUGGGUUUGUGAUCCCAUGUAAAAUUCCAGUCACUAUUUCAUAGCAUUUAAAAAAAAUUAUUUAUUAUCAAUUGAGUAUUAGCUUGAUUGGUAUAAGUAUUAUUGUCAAUGUAUGAGAACAUAGGUUCGAGUGUAUUAAAGCUUAUUAUCUUUUUAUUUAUGGAUUAGAAAGUGAUUAUUGGUAGUUCUAAACAUUGUGUUGAAAAGAAUAGACAUAAUCAGAAUUUAUGUUGAAAUUUUUCAAAAACAAUUAUUUAUUACACAUUAAUUAAAAGAAAUCUCUUUAUGGGCAGUUCAAGAUUGUGAAGUUAUAAAAUAAAAAAUUCGAUACGAAAACAAAAAUCUCUUUUGUUUAACAAAAUAUUAAUCAUUGAUUGAGUUAAUAUUAUGAGUCAAUCAAACAUCAAUUUAAUCAAGAAAUUACGAAAAUAUUAUUUUAUAAUUAAAAUAAAUUAUAUUAUUUGAGGAUAUUUUAAUAUUUUAUGUCAAAAAAAUCAAUAAAAAUAUGAAUAUGAUGGGAUUUGAAAUAAAAUCUUGAAUUUACCACUCAACCAAAACUUUAUUUUAUCAUAUUUUAUACAUUUUUAUUUUAAUACGCACAAUUUAUUAACUUCAUCAGUUGUAUAUAUAUUAAUAAAUUUAUUGAUUGAGUUAAUAUCACAAGUCAACUCGACACUAACUGACAAUUGACGACAACACUUUGAUAGACAGUUGUAUUGCGUUUAAUUAGUAUUUUUAAUUUGAUGUAUUUAUAUGUUUAAAUUUUAUUUUUGCUCCCAAAUUAAUUUAAUUUUUUAUUUUAAUGCCAUACAUAUUUUAUAUAUUCUUAUAAUUAAUUAUCUUGAAACCAUAUGUUUCAUUAUUUACUUCUUUCUUUUAAGCAUGCAUCUGUGUUUCAAAUCUAAACAUGGUUGAUUAUGUUAAUUAAUGUUACAAAUUGAGAAAUUUAUUAAAAGUAUUGAAAUCUUCACAUCUAACCUACUUUUAUCAUGUUUGGAAGAUGCUAUUGAUCUUCUUCAAGUGGUUUUUCACAAAUAUAUUAUUCUAUCAAUUUUCAUCAACCAAAAAAAAAAGUAAUUGAAGUAAAAUUUACCUUUGAUAUACCAGAUGAUUUCAAAGAGAAUGAUUAUAUCAAUGAGUUUAACAAUUAAAAAAUAUAUUUUUUCAAAGAUUUUAUAAUAUCAAAUAUUUUAAAAAUUUUAUAUAAACUUAAAUAAAUAUUUUAAAUGAUACAAUUCGACCAAUUUUAGUAAUUAGUUUAUAAUUUAGAGUUGUAGAUAAUAUGGCUGAUAUAUAUAAUGUCUUGGUCAAGUCAUGGUUUUAUAUAUGUUUAUUUGUGAGCCCUACACUCGCAUCAAAUUUAGAUAUCACAAACAUGAUUUAAAACAUUACUAGCUGUGAGCAAUUUAAAGAAAUUUAAUUUCUUUUUUACAAUUUUAAGUUAAUCAAUUAUUUGAUUUUUUUUAGGGGGCCGAAAUGAAUUUUUAAUUUUUAAUGGUCUAUAUCUUUAUAUUUUUUAAAGGAUUAAAUUAAAAUUUUUAUAAUUUUAGGGGGGUCAAAGUGUAAUUUUACCUCUACUAAUUUAAAACUUUAAAAUUUUUUAAAAGACCUAAAUAGUAAUUUUUCAUUUUAAGGGGGCCGGAGCCUUACCAACCCUUUAGAUUUGCCUCUGAUAUAUAUAUUAUGUAUGUUCUUUAAAUCAAAAUUCAGUCAUAUUAUCAAUAAUAUUUUAAUAUGGAAAAUUUACUUUUUAAAAAAUUUAUCUUGAACAAACUUAUUUAGCUUAACUCAAUUAAAUUAAAAAAAUUUAAAUCAAAUUAAAAUAAUAAAAUAAUACUCAUUUACUCGAUUCGAUCUAGUACUCACCUCUCAAUAUUACACCUUUUGAAUCUUCCAUGACAGAAGUUAUCCUUAGUGCUCCUUAUUUCCUUUAAAAACAAAGUUUAUUUUUUCCUUUUUUAUAGAAAUGAAUUGAGAUUUAAACUGCAAAAGAAGAACCACUAUUUGAACAUGUAUAAAUAAUUUAUAGUUGAUAGUUAUAUACAGAAUGGAUGAUAUAAUAUUUCUGAAGUUUUCCCUUGGGAGAAGUCAUUGUUUUAUGUUUUUUGGUAUUUAUUUGUGACUCCUACAAAUUAUAUAUAAGAAAUUCUAGUAUUAUCAAUUUUUUGGAGGCUCAAAGCUAUUUGGAUCAAAAAUAAAAUCAAUGUGUAUAGGCUUAACAAAAUAGCUAUCAUCUCAUCCUAACCUCUUCCCUCAUAACUCCAUCUUCUAUUUUCUGUUAGACUUUGAGAGUUCAAUUACGAAAAGGGAAGUGUUUUUUUCGGCUCUUAAUGUAAUUGAUAGUAGGCUAGGAAAUAAAGAUUAUUCGUUUGUUUGUUUAAGCCUGAUUUUGACUUGUUUACUAUAAUUAAAUUAUCACUUCAAUAUAUUUUUAUCAGUUUGAUUUAUGUACUUUCAUUCUAUGUACUUCGUUAUCUUAUUUAUAUUUUUUAGAAAAAAAAUUUUCUAUCUAAUUAAAUGCUGUCACCUAUGAAAAAAUUUAAAAUUCCACUGAAGUAUAUAAAAAUUCAUAAAAAUCGUAAAAAAAGCAUAGAACUCUAAAGAAAUUAAUAAAAUUUUAUAAGCACAAAUUUCCAAAAUUAAAAUUAAAAUAUUUUAUUAAAAUUUUUAAAUUUUUUAAAGUUUCAUAUAUUUAUUGUUUAAAAAUUAUAUCAUUUUCAAAAAAAGAUUAUGAAUUUUUUUAGGUAUUUUAAAAAUAUUUUUCUAAGUCUUAAGAUUUUAUUUUUUGCAUUUUAUGAUUUCUUUUUUGGAUUUUUAAUGGUUUUUAAAAUUUUAUAAUAUUUUCUAAAAUGUUUUAACUAUUUUGGUCGUCCAGGUUUUGUGAAUGAAGCGAAGGGUAUCUUUAUUGUGGUGAACUUUUAAUUUACUCAAAACGAAGUGAUUUAUUACGUUGUGUGAUUUGCAGAUAAGUGUUAAAUAUGAAAUGUGUAAGGCCCAAUAUUUGCCCGGCCCGUAAUAAAUAAACCAAAUCAAAAUUUAAAAAGUCCAAAGUCCAAAAUUACAAAAAUCUAUCAGACCCAAAAUAUAAAUCGAGCCCAUUUAUAAAUGGCCCAGUACAAACCCAAAUUACAGCUAGCCCAAUAGCCAAAAUCAGCCCAGAUUUUUUCAUUUUGCAGAAACCCUAAACAGUUUCAGAGGUACCAGGCGCCGCAGCCAAGCCCUCGCACAUGCCCCACGAACCACGCUUCCAGCGCCUCUCCCCACAUACACCUAGCCACGUCCCUGACACCGUACGGCCGUACCUGCAGCAAACGCAAACGAAAAACGCAGCAGAGAAAGAAAUUGUAUUUUUCAUUUUUAUUAUUUUAAAACGAAGGGAUAUAAAACAGGAGAAACCUUUUGUAUUUGAGGGGGGAUUGAUACGCAAUAUCAACACACGCAUAUUGUAUCAGAAAAACGAAAUCAAUACAGAAGAAAGGUUUUCUUUUUCUCUUUUCUCGAUUGGGUUCCUUUUUCUUUGGCUUUUCUUUUUUCUGUUUUGCUGUUAGCCCUAUACAUAAGCAUAUACAUAUAAUAAAAGGGAAAGGAAGUACUUACCUCGGUGACCCUGUCGUCGUUCUCAUCGGUUUCGUGGAUACCAAAGAGGCUAGGUAUGGUUUUAGCCUGAGAACGGCGCAAGGGGAGAGGGGAAAGGCAAAGUUUUUUUUCUGCUAUUUUUUUAGUGGCCGAAUAACCUUGUUUAGGGUUUUAAAAUUGGUUUUUUUUGGGUGUUGAAACGGUGUCGUUUGGGGCCUGAAUCAGUGGCCACCAAAACGACGUCGUAUUUGUAUACCCGCACGUCCAACCCGACCCGGACCAGCUAGAUUCGCGCGUUUUGGCCUCUGGUGGUAUAUUUUCGCACUUAGUCCCUUGCCUUUAAAGCGCAUCCAAAUCAAUCUUUUUAUUUUUUUAGAUUUUGCCUGAUAUGUCACUGUUGUUUCAUUUUGGUCCCUUCUGCCAAUAUGCGUUUUGAAGGGCAGGGAAUAUUUCCCAUUUAAUCCCUCAUGUAAUGCGCAGGCUUCAUUUUGCCUUUUAAUUUCCUUUUAAUUUAUUUUCUUUUUUCGAUUAAGCAUUAAAUCCAUUUUAAUCUCUAUUUUAGUUUGUUCAUAUUAAUUAAUUUAAAUAUUUUGGUUCUGUUUUCUUUAAUAUAUUUCAGUUUAAUCUAAUGUUAUUUUAAUAAUUCAACUUAUUAGUAUAAAUUCAUUAUUGGUAUUAUUUAAAUCUAUUGAACCAUUAUUCUAAAAGUUUUCUUUCGUGUGUUAUUUUAAGUUUUCAUAUAUUAUUAUUAAAAUUUAAUACUUAUUAUUUUUAUGAUAACUAAAUAUAAUUUGUACAAUUCUAUAGUUUUAUAAUAUUUAUUUUUAAAUUUAUUGGGAUACUAUUAUUUUAUGAAGUAUUUGUUUUUAACUAUAUUUUUCAUUUAUUUCAAACUUUCAUGUGUAUAUAUAUUAUUUUAAACUUAUUUUAAUAUAUAAUUUCCCUUCUUUUAUGUUACUUUUUUUGUUUUUGUUAUUUAAAAAAAAACUUGUUACAUUUUAUUUAAUUCGCUUGUUACCCUUUUUUAAUAUUAACUUUUUAAUUCAUUUUGCUUGCUAAUAUGGAUGUUAGUAUUUGCAUAAUGUAGGAUAUAAAAUUGUUGCUCUUUUGUAUAUGAUAUUGUUUAUUCAUAUAUUAAAUUUUUGUUAUUCAUUAGUGUAUGCUUUAGUUUACGAAUAAUCAAUUCGCAUAGUACAUUAUUAUACGAUCGUUUUUAUUUAUUCAAAAGAUUACAAAUUACAAAGUUAUUCUAUUCAAAAACUUUCAAAAAUACUCGAAGUUUGAAAUCCUCGAGAGAAUUGAGCCCUAACGUAUUGGGUUCCAAUUUUUUUCGUCGAGUCUAAAUAAUUGAACAUUUUUUAACAUACAAAUUUCAAAUAACCCAUUCUCGGGAAUUCAACACGUUGUGUCCUAACGUAUUGGAUAUGACAUGUUAUUUUCUCGAGACGAGGAUUUUAAAAAAAUAAUAAAUAAAGGCAAUGUUCGGUAUUUGGAAAUUUGGUGAAAUCGAACCCUAACUUACUGGGUUUUGAUCUUCUCUUUUGGCCCAAAUAAUUAGAUAUCCUUCUCAAAAUGCAUAGUUUUAAAAAUCAAAUUUAACUUCAAAAUAAAAGGAUUGUAUUUUAAAUUUUUUUUCAAAAUCUCGACAUUAAGACAUUGAACAAUCAAUUUGGUACCAAUUUUGGGCGUAUCGAGGGUGCUAAUCCUUCCUCGUGCGUAACCGACUCCCGAACCUAUUUUUUUGAAUUUCGUAGACCAAAACCGUUGUUUUAAUAAAAUCAAAUCGUUUAUUAAAAACAACCACUUUUUAAGGUGAUCCGAUCACACCUUAUCAAAAAAAGAUUGGUGGCGACUCCCUUUUUCCGUUUCCGUUUUCAAAAUCCAAGUCGACCCCGUUUUCAACAAAGAAAUGGUGUCUACAAAAUGAAUUGUUGAAUUUGAAAACAAUGGUUUAAUAUUGCAGGGAUUUCCAGCAUUAUCAUAAAUUUUAGUGAAUUUAGAGACGAAAUCAGAGUUCCACUGAGUUUUGUUCAAAUCUGGGGAUUUCAUCGUCAUAUAGGGUCGAUUUGGAUAUCUAGGAUACAAAGCUUCAUAUCAUUGAUGUUCGGUGGCCAUGGGUAUAUGUUGAUUUUGAGUUUAUCGUUGCCCCAUAAGUUGGUUGCACUAAAAAAAAAGGGUAUUACCAAUGCUAAAAAUUGUUACUAAAAUUUUAUUGUAGCAAUAAAAGUUGUUGCGGGAUUGUUGUGUAUAUUUUCGUUGUUUAAAGUAUACGCAACUCUACUCAAUUAUGUAAUAUCUACUCUUAAAUAUGGUCUAUUUAACUACAUAUUUAAGCACAUCAAACACAAAUUAAUAAUUUAGAAAUAUCAAACCAAGAAUUAAUCACACAUAAUUGGGAACAAUAAACUAAGUAUUUAUUGCAUAAAAUAAAAAAAAUGAUAGAAUCCAUCAUAGGGUUCAUUUCCCUAGGUAUUUAGAAAAUUAGUUCAAGCUUGAAAAUAAAAACAUCCAAGAUAUAGUAUAACCGAAAGAAAUAAAAAAAUUCAUGAUAAUCUCCUAGGAAAUCAACUGAGAAUCUUCAAUCUUGACGUAAAUUUGUUUUCAAGAUGGCUUCAAUGGCAUUUUUCGAGUUGCUUUCUUGAAUAUUUUAUGACGGCUCUCUCAUAUACUUUCUUAAUUUUUCACAUAUACGUUUCAUAAUGCCCCAAAAAUCUAAAAAUCUUGAUUUUACAUUGUUUGUGUGGCAAUUCCAUGAAAUUGACAUAGCCUACCACACACUCGUGUGGGUCACAUGACUAUGUGGUUUGCUCAUGUGAAAUUUAGAAAAUGUAAAAGAUUCCCUAUGCACCAUCUAUUAUGAGUCUACUAUAUGCUCAAAUAUGUAUGCAUCCGUAUAUUGCAUAUAUUGUUGGGAUGUUAGGCAAACAUUUAAGCAACUCUAGUAUAGGCCAUUAGAUAACAACCAAGAGGGUUAUGAGGUAUCUUUAGAAAACAAAAUAUUACAUGCUCACAUAUUGGAUGUUUGAUAAGUUAGAGAACAUCAAGUAUACAAACUCCAAUUUUGAUGAAAUAUUGAUGCAAAAUUUUGUCACUAGAGUGCAAAUUGUAACAAUAGUUAGUAGUCUUUUAUUCCAAUUGUACAAGCCCAAAUUUGCCCGAGGCCCAAAAACCCAAUACACCCAAACCUCAGCCUAAUUACAAAUUUAACUCAGCAGACCCAACCCAACACCGAUGACCAAACCUCAAUCCAAUAGCACCUAGCCCAACAAGAUUAAACCCAAACCCGAGGCCCAAUAUCCAACCCAAAAAAAAUGAAGGCCCAGUAGCCCAAAAUGUUUGAGACUUUUUCAGAAAAAAUGAAACCCUAGCCUACUGCCUAACCCUAGCCGCCUCUGCCUCCUCUGACAUCUUCUAGUCUGGCUGCCGCUCGUAGCCUCUGCCACCGCCACCUCUGACGCCGAGCCGCCCAUCAAUCACCUACUCCAUCAACGUCAACACCUGCAAACAAGAGAAAAAGCAAUAGCAAAUAAUAGCAAAAAUAUUGUAAAAAAAUGGCUAUAAAGCCAUAACCACCACUGUAAACGGGGUUCUUCCCCCCCCGAUUUUUGUAUAAAAAAAUAUUAGCAGGGAAAUAAAGGAAAAAAGAUUGAAGGUGAUUUUUUCUUUUCUUUUCUUUUCGGUUUUGUAGACCUGUUUUUCUGUUCUCUUUUCUUUUUUCGUUUACACGUAUGUAAAUAAAGGUAGUAAAUAAAAGGAUAGAAUGAAGACUUACCCAUUUCGCCUUUCGGUUACGCCGCCGUCGGGGUCUGCUCAUAAUUGAAAUCGGCCCGAAAGAUCGAGUUAGGGGGUCCUUUGUCUUAAUUUUUGGGCCAAACGAAUCUAGCCUUCGAUUGGGUCUUAAAACGGGGACUAGAAUGCCCAUUUUGCGCAACGCCGGCCACCGUCCACGGUGGCGCUAUGGCGGUGCUAAGAAGACCCAAAGGCCGAACGUUUGAGAGGGAUGAGGAAAGGUUUUUUUUUGUUUUUUUUUUAAAUUAGUGGCCGAAAUGUUUUUUUUGAAGAAAAUAUGGCUUAAAUACCAUUUUCGAAAUAACAUCGUUUCAAUUUGGCCCUCCAGAUGCCAAAACGGCGUCGUUUUGAAAGGGGCCGGUUCUACUCGACCCGUUUGGCCAGGAUCCGCGUGUUUUAGCCUUGAGGGGUUAUUUAUGCGGGGAGUCCCUCCGCUUUUGCAGCGUAGCCGAUAUGAUCCUUUUUGGUCUUUUUGUUAUUUGGCCCGCGAAUUUUACCUCUAUUUCGAUUUGGUCCUUAGACCAUGUGCUGCCCCUAGUCGAAACGCAGCAUUUUAGGACUGGGAAAUAUUUCCCCACAAGUCCCUCACGCUUUAAGCGCGUUUUACUUCAGUCCUGCACUAUUCCUUUUGUUUGUUUGCAUAUUUAAACCCCGAAGUUCGUUUCAAGUUUUAAUUUAGUCCUUUUGUAUUUUGUUUAUUUUCUUAUUAAGUAAUAAAUUUGAUGUUAUACUGUUAUUAUUAAUUAUAAUAAAUAUUAUUUGCUCAUUUUUACCUUUAGAAUUUCAAAAUUUAUCAUAUAUAUUUGUAUAUACUUAUUUUGAUAUUUUGAUAUUUUAUAAUUUAUAUCUAUAUAUCUAUAUACAUAUUUAUACAUAUAUACACAUACCUAUAUGUUUUAUAUUUUCAUAUAGUUUUUAUAUACAUAUAUAUUCUUAUAUGCACAUGCUUAUGUUUUUUUAUACUUUAUAUAUAUACACCUAAACAUGCAUAUUUUUUUAUAUGUACAUACAUUCAUAUAUUUUAUAAUUUAAGUACAUAUACAUAUAUAUGUACAUAAACUUUAUUAUUAUUAUUUUUUUUGUAAUUUAUAUUGUUAUUAAUUGUUUUAUUUGAUAUUUAUUUAUUUGCUCAUCUUUAUUUUUAUGAAAUGCUUUAGUUCUUUUUACAUUAUUUUUAUGAAAUGCUUUAGUUCUUUUUACUUACUCAUUAUUUCAUGUAUAAUUGUUUUUUUUAUAUAUGUGUCCUUUUUAUUGUUGCUCGUAUUAUUUUACUUACAUUAUCAUAAUUGUCAUUCCAUUACGUCAAUUUUCACCCAAAUUCAAAAAAAGAAAUUUUAAAAAUAUAAAUAAUACUCGGUAUUUGGGAUCUUCGAGAGAAUCGAGCCCUAACGUAUUGGGUUCCGAUUUUCUUCGUUGAAUCUAAAUAAUCGAGACUACUCUUUUUUAUAUAUAAAAAAACAUAAAUAAAAGCUCAUUAUCGGGAAUUCAAUACGUUGUGUCCUAACGCAUUGGAUAUGAUACAUUGUUUUCUCGAGAUGAGGAUUUUUCUAAAAAAAUAAAAAUAAGGCAAUGUUUUGAGUUUGGGAAAUUCAAGAAAACGUGCCCUAAUGUGCUGGGUUUCGAUUUCUCGUUUAGCCAAAUAUUCUCUUAAAUCUUAAUCUAUGUCAUUUAAGUUUUUUUAGGAUCGUAUUUUAAAUCUCUUUAAAAUUUUCAGUUUUUCGACACUAAGAUAUUAAGUGAUCAACUAGGUACCAAUUUUGGGCGUAUUGAGGGUGCUAAUCCUUCCUCGUGCAUAACCGACUCCCGAACCCAUUUUUCUGAAUUUCGUGGACCAAACUUGUUGUUUUAAUAAAAUCAAAUCAUUUAUUAAAACAACCACUUUUUGAGGUGAUCCGAUCACACCUUAUCAAAAAAGAUUGGUGGCGACUCCCACUUUCGUUUUCAUUUUUCAAAACCCAAGUCGACCCCGUUUUAUCAAAAAAAUGGUGCCAACAGCUUGGCGACUCCACUGGGGACCCAAGAACGAGAGUCAAGCCACGAGUUGAUUAUUUUUUUAUUUUUUUGUCGAAAAUCAAAAAAUUAGUUUAAACAUACGAUCCUUUCGUUGCAUUUCAUUCGUCUUUAUUAUGAUCUUCAUCAUUAUAGUUUAUAAUUGUUGUGUUAGUUUAAGUUUUGGUAUCAAUUUGUACAUUGCAUUGCAUAACCGUUGGUCACACCCUUCUUAGUGGGAGUGAGAAACUACGCUUUCGUGAGGUUUUCACCUCUGCAUAGGAUAGUGAAUCGCUUCUGGUAUAUAUCCGUACCUAUGUUUUCGUGAGAUUUUCAUCUCCGCAUGGCCAUAGGGAAAUGUAUUCCCCUGAACUGAACUCAGUCUGCAUGAGCCUAUAAUGGGUCAGGACCGAGGAAUCUGCUGGUUCAAGUACCCCUUACUUUAGAGCCGAACCGCAUGUAAUGAGCCCUAGGAGCCUACCCUAGGUAGAACCACACCAAAUACCUAGAGGUCACCUGAAAACUUGGUUUAAAUUUACGAUCAUUUUGUUGUAUUUCGUCCGUUUUGGUAUGAUUUUCAUUACUUCGAUUUGUAAUUACUCUAUUGGUUUGAAUUCUCGAUAUGUUUCUGCGCAUUGCAUUACAUGACCACUCAGUUACACCCUUUUAAGUUGGAGUGAGAAGCUACUCCUUUGUGAGGUUUUCACCUCCGUGCAGGAUAGUGGAUCACUUUUGGGAUACAUCUGUACCUAUGUCUUCGUGAGAUUUUCAUCUCCGUGCAGCCAUAGGGAAAUGUAUUCCCCUGAACCGAACUCGGUCCGUAUGAGCCUAUAAUGGGUGAAGAUCGAGGAAUCGGCUGGUUUGGGUACCCUUUCUUUAGAACCAAACCACAUGUAGAAGACCUUAGGAGCCCACCCUAGGUAUAACUACUUUGAACCCCUAGUAGUUACCCGAAUAGGUGCUCUUUUUGUUUUUUUUUCUUGUUUACUUUUGCUUUGUACUAACCUGUUUUGUUUUGGUUAUAACUGCAUUGCAUUUUCAUCAUAGAAAAGAGGUGUUGAUUCAAAUUUGAUUGCUAAAUAGAAAAGCUUGUCAUGGAAAACGAAUUUCUUGAUAAAGUAGAAUAUGAUGCGACUGUCUGAUUAUGGACUAAUUAAACACAACAAGAGAAGGUUAGAAGUUUGUGGAGGAAUAUACGACUAUGCUUCACUGCCUGAGGAUUCAAACCGACAAAGAUCAUUCGAGAGUGGUCACGAAACUAAAGAGCAUCGUAAGGGAGCAAUGGGUCGUGGCUCAGAUCAAUCAAAAAAGAAGAUAGUAAAGGUAAAUUUUGGGAAAUUCGCAAGAUUUGAUCCUAACAUCUGGAUAUGAAGAAAAGAUCAAUGUCUUCGCCAGGAAUAUGGGGGCAAAGCAGCAGAUGUAAUCUAUUUUAUGUAAAGAAAUUUAUUCUCUAGAAAAGUUGUUCUAAUGGAAUUGAAUUAGGAAUCAAUGCCUCUCUUUCUUUUUGCAUUCAUUUCACGCAUUUGUAUUAUAUAACAUCACAUGCAUUAAGGACCAUCAAAAGACUCUAAUUGAGUAAAAUGAUUUCAGCUAAUCUAGAGAACCAACACCCUUACGGAAUCCGAGCAAAAACUAAAAGAAUGGACCAAAGAUUGGAGAGAUUAAAACAAAGGCAAAUACAGAUGCAAGAGCAAUUUACCAAAUUUCAACAAGAUAUGAAGGAUCAGAUGCUAGAAGUCCAAAGAAAUCUGAUGAGUCAGUUAACCCAGUUAUUGGAUAGAGGGUUAGAAAAAGGAAAAAACCCAGUGGUCCAUUUUGGAGAUAAUGAUGAAGACCCUGCUCAUUUUCUAGGUUUUACCCCAACAAACAUCCAAGCACAACUAAAUGCAUGUCCACAAAAGGUAAAUGUUAACAUCUGACCACAAUACCAGACCAGUACCUCGACACCGGUGAAUUUCACGACAGGCUCAGGUUACAACCUUAGGGGAAAUCUAACUAGUCCCGUUGUCCUUGAUGAUCUAGCGGGAACAAAACAGGUGAGAGUAGAGCUCUCAAAACCAUUUGGAGAUCGUUACAAACAGAAAGGGCAAGAGUGGAAUCCUCAAAUCAAUACUUCGAGGGCCCCGAGGAAGAGGAAAGAUGACGUGAAUGAUGUGAGUAGGUAUAAUGAGGGUUAUUCAAAGCUGAUUACAACAAGCCAGAAAAGGACGGUUGAUUCUAGCCAUCAGAUCUCCCAGAGCAAGAAUUCGGCACAAAGUAAAACAUUGAGAAGUCCAAAUUUGUACCAAUCUCAAUGUCAUUUCGGGAGCUGUAUCAUAAUUUAUUUAACGCACACAUUGCCUCCCCUUUCUACUUGAAGCCUUUACAACCUCCGUACCCCAAAUGGUACGACACGAAUGCACAAUGUGACUAUCAUGCAGGAAUUACGGGGCAUUCAAUAAAAGAUUGCGUUGCCUUUAAAAAGGUGGUUGAAAGGCUCAUCAGUAUAGGCAUUGUCAAGUUCGAUACAAAAAAAUCUGCUGCCUAAUCAUAUUGAUAAUCGGGGUGAAUGCGAUGAAUGAGGAAAUAUUGGGAAACGUUCAAAUUAACGCUGUGCGAAGAAACAACUGAAGAAGGGACCUUGUUAGAUAUUUACCCGUACAUACUUAGGGGUGUUUUGAGCAAUGAGACUGUGGAAGAGAUCCCUGUAUUUUGUAGAGCUAAUUCGGAGUAAUAUCCAAAACACGCUUAUUGCUUUAAGCCUAGGGGCAAUAAGAAUCCUUUUGUGAGAUAGGCUUAUGUCCAACAUCUUUAUUUCAAUAAAAUGCAUCUUUGUUUCUCACUUCGAGCAAAUUUUUAUUCUUAGAUUCUUUUAUUCUUUGGAUAUACUUUCGUCCCUAUAAUAGGUCUUCAGAUAUCAAUGAUAUGAGCGACACUGCUAUUGACUCAGAACCUCCUUUUGAGCAAGAUAUGUGUCCAGAUUAAACUUCAAAACUUUGGAGAUAACUAAGACUGUAGCUUAUCUCUUAGUUUGUUAAGGACGGGAGAACAAGAUCCUACCUUACAAAGAAUCAAUGGAAGCCAUGGCCUUUCUCUAGAUGGGGCACGGAUGUCAUUAGGCCAAUCUCGUCUAAGGUUUUUGACGGCUAUCUUUAUAGUCAUCGAUUACUUAACUAAGUGGGCAGAAGUUGCUUCAUAUGUCAAUGUCGCAAAGUUAACAGUCUGUAAAUUCUUGAAAAAUCAUAUGUUAGUAUGGAAUGUCAAAAAGGAACAUAUCUGACAAUACACUAAAAGUGAACAACGACACAAUAUCAGAAGUUUGCAGUCUGUUCAAGGUUAACACAUUUUGCCCUAGAAUGUACGGUGCAGUGGGAGCAAAAACAAAACAAAAAAGAGGAAAAAUUACUGCAGGGGCAACACAUUGGCUUAGCGCAGUUUUGCUCAUUGAGGUCAAGAUUCCUUCCCUCCGAGUGUUGGAUCAGAUCCCGAUUGAAGAGAAAUGUUCAAAGUUAUCCGUCUGGGUCAAAUACACCAAAAAUAAAAGAUGCGAGCUCAUCAAAGAAGGUUCACCCUAAAGAGUUCCAUGAAUAGAACCUAACAUCGAAGAAAAUCCUCCCCAUACAAAAGGGACUUUAUAAGAAAGAGGAUCUGGAAAAGUGUUGAUUUCGACCAGAAAGGAUAGCAAGGACUUACCUAAUCCUACGAGUGCGGAUUCAAUCAAAGAAUGUAAAAAAAACAAACAAACAAACGAAAAGAAAAAGAAAAGAAAAGAAGAAUGAAAAAAGAAAAAGGAGAGGCCAAGAUGAAAACCCGCAAAGGGCGCCUUGAGACCAAAGGGGUUUUGAAUUGAAAACCCAGGAAUGGGUAGUUCAAAUUUUGAUCAAAGGUGGGGCAUGCGGUGGCCUUGUCCUCUCUGAAUUAGCAAGAAGGUGAGACGCUACAUCUCAGGCUAUCAACAAAGUCUUUUAGGACUUCUAGACACAUAUCAAGUUCAAAAGAGUCCUCAAGAAGCUUAUACAGAAAAGCUCAUGUUGCGAUAUCUGGGGCACCUGUUUCCAUUUUAUUCAUUUUUAUUUUGGCAAAAUAUGCCAUCUUGAUUAAUUUAUUCUCAUUUCGUAUCUUAGCAAAUUUACUAUCUUGAUUAUUUAUUUCGAGCUUUGUUCUCAAUAAAAUUUCAUCUUGUCCAUUGUGAUAAUCCUUUUCAUCUUAUUCAUUUUGAAUCUUAGCAAAAUUCGCUGUUCUGCUUAAUUUAUUUGUUUAGAGCUCUGCUCUCAAUAAAAUUUCAUCUUUCCCACUAUGAUAAUCUUUUUCAUCUUAUCUUAGCAAAAUUUGUUAUCUUGAUUAAUUUAUUCAUUUUGAGCUUUGUUCUUAAUAAAAUUUCAUCUUAUCCAUAUUGAUAAUCUUUUUCAAGCAUUUUACAUUGAAAUAACGAUUAAUUGACUGAAUAUUCAAGCAAAAGAAGUUUUGCAUAUUACUCUGAAAGUUUCUAAAUAAUACAGGAACCUGAAAUAGGACUAUUGUUUAGAGCAUACCAAUAAAGGGUGAAAUGUCUAAGAAGGAAAAGUCUAAAUUAAGACUAUCCUUUCGAAUUUUGUUGUCCAAGCAUGAAUUGAACAAAACGAAAAAAUGUCGAGAUGGUGACAAAGUUUCAAUGAACAAACGAGCAAUGAUCACCGAGUUAUAAAAAGAGGUUUUUGGAAGAAAAAAUUCCACAAUCGUGCAUAAACAUUUGGUAUGACACCUUGGGAAUGGUGUAGAAGACUAAAGAGAUUCAGAUACUGUAUCCCUGAAUUACAGUGGGAGAGGAUUGAGAAAAGUCAGAUCUUAUACUCAGUGGGAGGAAGAUGGCUCGAAUUUUAUGCCCCAAAAUUACCAUGGACUUAACCUUGAAGAUUACAACGGAUUGAACUCUGAAGAUUACAGUAGGGGGCAAUCUGGCUAAGUAAGAGAUGAGUGUUACCAGUCGAGCAAGAUAGCAUUCUGAUAUGUUGGUAAUAAAACCUUAUUGAAUAACGAGCAAUAACAACCCUAACAUUAAAAAGGGAUCAUUCUCAUGACAUUCUGCAUUCAUGCAAAUAUAAUUCACAUACACACCUAGUUAGGAGCAUUUGAUUCGUUCUGAUCAUAAUAUCCUAAUCAUUAGGCAUAAAUAGAUUCAUAAAAUGGACUUUACAGGUCAUGUUCCCCAGAGAACAUAUUAAUAAAGUUACCCAUACCCCUGAAGUUGCAAUGGGAUGAAUUGAAGUUGUCAUGUCAAGUCUUAUCUCUCAGAAAUUAUAGAGGAGUGGACUAGAGAUAGCAGAUCUUAUCUUCCUGUAUUUGGCAGCGAAGUAGAUCGUAGAUAGCAGAUCUUGUCUUCCUGUAUUUGGCAGCGAAGUAGAUCGUAGAUAGCGGAUCUUGUUUUCCUGUAUUUGGCAGCAGAGUAGAUCAUAGAUAGCAGAUCUUGUCUUCUUAUAUUUGGCAGCGGAGUAGAUCGAAGAUAGCAGAUCUUGCCUUCCUGUAUUUGGCAGCGAAGCGUAGAUAGCAGAUCUUGUCUUUUUGUAUUUAGCAGCGAAGUAGAUCGUAGAUAGCAGAUCUUGUCUUCCUGUAUUUGGUAGAGGAGUAGAUCAUAGAUGGCAGAUCUUGUCUUCCUGUAUUUGGCAGUAGAGUAGAUCGAAGAUAGCAGAUAUUGUCUUCCUAUAUUUGGCAGCGAAGUAGAUUGAAGAUAGCAGAUCUUGUCUUCCUGUAUUUGGCAAUAGAGUAGAUCGUAGAUAGUAGAUCUUGUCUUCCUGUAUUUGGCAGUGGAGUUGGUUAAAAAUUACAGAUUCUAUCACCUUAAGCAGUAGUGGAGCAGAUUAAAAGGAUGGAUCUUAUCUCUUCGAAGUUGUAGUAGAGCAGAUCGCAUCAAACUUUAUUGAAGCUACAAGUCUUAUCUCACUGAGGUUGCAGUAGAAUAGACUGAAGAUAGCAUAUAUUAUCUCUCUGGAGUUACAGUAGAGCAGACCACGAUGAUUUUAUCUCCCUAAAGUUGCAAUGGAGUGUACCAAAAUAAUAAAUCCUAUACCUCUGAAGUUGCAGUAGGUCGGACUAAAUCUACCAUAACAAAUCCUAUCUCCCUGAAGAUGCAGUGGAGCAAAUUGAAGACCGACUACAAGUCUUAUCUCCCUGAAGUUGUAGUGGAGCAGACUGUCGAUAACGGAUCUUAUCAUAUUAAAACCUUAUCUUCUUGAAGUUACGUGAAGCAGGUUGAAGCAACAAGUCUUAUCUCCCUGACGUUGCAGUAGAGUAGAUUAAAACCACGAAUCUCGUCCCCCUGAAGUUGCAAUAGAAUGGAUUGAAGCUACGAGCUGUAUCUCUCUGAAGUGCAGUGGAGUGGAUUGAAGCAACAAGACACAGUGGAUUGGAAUGAGGCUACCUGAAGAAGAGAAGCACUAGAAGAAGUCAAGACUCGGCGAGACCGGGUAAAUUUGGUCUUUCUUGGUCUUUGCUCUAUUCUCGUUAUACGACAACGAGGAAAGAGGGGCAGCUGUACAAGCCCAAAUUUGCCCGGGGCCCAAGAACCCAAUGCACCCAAACCUCAGCCUAAUUACAAAUUUAAAUCAGCAGACCCAACCCACCUAAACACCAACCCAACACCCAUAACCCAAACCUCAAUCCAAUAACACCUAGCCCAACAAGAUUAAACCCAAACCCGAGGCCCAAUAUCCAACCAAAAAAAAAUGAAGGCCCAGUAGCCCAAAAUGUUUGAGACUUUUUCAGAAAAAAUGAAACCCUAGCCUACUGCCUAACCCUAGCCGCCUCUGCCUCCUCUAACAUCUUCUAGUAUGGCCGCCGCUCGUAGCCUCUGCCACCACCACCUCUGACGCCGAGCCACCCGUCAAUCACCUACUCCAUCAACGUCAACACCUGCAAACAAGAGAAAAAGCAAUAGCAAAUAAUAGCAAAAAUAUUGUAAAAAAUGGCUAUAAAGCCAUAACCACCACUGUAAAUGGGGUACUCCCUCCCCCCCCCCCCCCCCGAUUUUUGUAUAAAAAAAUAUUAGCAGGGAAAUAAAGAAAAAAAGAUUGAAGGUGAUUUUUUCUUUUCUUUUCUUUUCGGUUUUGUAGACCCGUUUUUCUGUUCUCUUUUCUUUUUUCGUUUACACGUAUGUAAAUAAAGGUAGUAAAUAAAAGGAAAGAAUGAAGACUUACCCAUUUCGCUUUUCAGUUGCGCCGCCGUCGGGGUCUACUCAUCGUUGAAAUCGACCCCGAAAGGUCGAGUUAGGGGGUCCUUCGUCUUGAUUUUUGGGCCAAACGAAUAUAGCCUUCGAUUGGGUCUUAAAACGGGGACUAGAAUGCCCAUUUUGCGCAACGCCGGCCACCGUCCACGGUGGCGCUAUGGCGGCGCUAAGAAGACCCAAAGGCCGAACGUUUGAGAGGGAUGAGGAAAGGUUUUUUUUUGUUUUUUUUAAAUUAGUGGCUGAAAUGUUUUAUAUUUUCAUAUAGUUUUUAUAUACAUAUAUAUAUUCUUAUAUGCACAUACUUAUGUUUUUUUAUACUUUAUAUAUAUAUACACCUAAACAUGCAUAUUUUUUUAUAUGUACAUACAUUCAUAUAUUUUAUAAUUUAUAAUUUAAGUACAUAUAUAUAUAUACAUAAACAUUAUUUUUUUUUGUAAUUUAUAUUUUUAUUAAUUGUUUUAUUUGAUAUUUAUUUAUUUGCUUAUCAUUAUUUUUAUGAAAUGCUUUAGUUCUUUUUACUUCUCAUUAUUUCAUGUAUAAUUUUUUUUAUAUAUGUGUCCUUUUUAUUGUUGCUCGUAUUAUUUUACUUACAUUAUCAUAAUUGUCAUUCCAUUACGUUAAUUUUCACCCAGAUUCAAAAAAAGAAAUUUUAAAAAUAUAAGUAAUACUCGGUAUUUGGGAUCUUCGAGAGAAUCGAGUCCUAACGUAUUGGGUUCCGAUUUUCUUCGUUGAAUCUAAAUAAUUGAGACUACUCUUUUUAUAUAUAUAUAAAAAAAACAUAAAUAAAAGCUCAUUAUUGGGAAUUCAAUACGUUGUGUCCUAACGCAUUGGAUAUGAUACAUUGUUUUCUCGAGAUGAGGAUUUUUCUAAAAAAAUAAAAAUAAGGCAAUGUUUUGAGUUUGGGAAAUUCGAGAAAACGUGCCCUAAUGUGCUGGGUUUCGAUUUCUCGUUUAGCCAAAUAUUCUCUUAAAUCUUAAUCUAUGUCAUUUAAGUUUUUUUAGGAUCGUAUUUUAAAUCUCUUUAAAGUUUUCAGUUUUUCGACGCUAAGACAUUAAGUAAUCAACUAGGUACCAAUUUUGGGCGUAUCGAGGGUGCUAAUCCUCCUCGUGCGUAACCGACUCCCAAACCCGUUUUUCUGAAUUUCGUGGACCAAACUUGUUGUUUUAAUAAAAUCAAAUCAUUUAUUAAAACAACCACUUUUUGAGGUGAUCCGAUCACACCUUAUCAAAAAAGAUUGGUGGCGACUCCCACUUUCGUUUUCAUUUUUCAAAACCCAAGUCGACCCCUUUUUAUCAAAAAAAUGGUGUCAACAACAAUAACAAUAGAAGCACAUCAAAGUCAAAGCACAUAGGCUUUAAGUUCAUUGUUAUUAUAAUAAAAGUUCAGGGUGGUUAGAUGUCUAUAAAGUAUAUUGAGACGAACUCCAUGAUUACGGAUUCGCUUAUUAAGUGACUACCACCCAAAGUUUUUUUCCUGAGCACACUGUUGAUAUGGGUGUAAUGUCAUUUAAGGAUAUUUGAUUUUAGUAGGAGUUUGUACUUUUAAAUGUUUUUAUGUUAUAAACACAUUUUCAAUUAUUUUAGUUUACGAAUAUUAAGUUUAUUUUUUAUAGAAAUAAAGUUUAUUUGGUAAAGUUUGAUCUCACUAAGGUUAAUAAGGACCAGUUAGAAUAUGCAUGUUUGAAUCAUAUUACAUAUAAUUUUCAUGUUACACAUCCAUACUUGAUCUAUGUCAUUUGGUUGUGCUAAUAUAUGUGAUUAGGGAUGGAUUUAAUUAUGAUAUAUGUAACAAAAGUUGCAUUCGUUCUAUGUUAACAUAAUUAAUGGACGAGAUUGUUCGAAAUAUCUUUUGGAUAUGAUAGUAAAAUUUUGAGCUCAUAAGAUUAUAUAAUGACAUGUAAUUAUAAAGUAAUCGGUAUAUAUCAAAAGUCUUUCCCACAUUCAUCAACUAGAAAUCAGAGCUCACCAAAUGUCUAUUCUUUUCAAUCUGAACCGACUCUACAAUCACUUAUUGCUCAUGGUCAUCAGCCUAUAAACCCAGGAGCAUUGUUAACUUCUAAAUCCAAAACACUAAUAUCAGCAUCCAACCCUACAAUGAUAGUAUUAUUGACUCAUUUAAACAAGUUUCCUUUGUCAAUCUAUAUUCCGUAUUUGGUAAUCUCCAGUAUGAAUUCAGAAUUUAGGAUAGCUGGAAUAAGAAUAGCAGCAAAGAUGCAAAGGGAAACGACUUGUAGGAGGAGGAAGAACCUUCUUUUGGGUACAGACCUGUAUAGCAUAUAAUAGGAUGUCCUGUAUAAUGUCACGAGAGCUAGUACCGUUGCCAAGCAGUAAUUAGUAAUGCUGAGUCUAGAAUAGGAAACGGAUCCAGGAGUCGAAAGAGAGAAAAAAUACUGAAGUUCGAGUGUCCGUAUGGAAACAGCAACUAAAAGCAUGUAACAGGUCCCAAACAAGGAAAGUGUUAUGAGAAUAAACAAGCAGAUUGAACGGCUGGGUAGGAGAUAGGCAGUUAAAACAGUUGCUGCCCAAAAGGUUAAAGUGUUGUAUAACCAAAACAUUGUGGACACGUCUAGUAUAUUUUUUAAAUCUUCUUUUUCAGCGGGUGGAGGACUUGGUACGGGUCCAGUGCUGGUUGAACCUAAAGAUGCGUCAUACAUGAGAUGGAAAUUCUGGGAAUUUGAAAUGGUAUCAGGCUGCUUUGGAGGGUUCAAAGUGGCAGUAUAUGUGGCUGUUAUAAUUAGCACUGUGACUACUAAAAAUGUGUUACGCAUCUCAUAUGGGAUUCCCUUCUUUCCACGACUUGCUAUUGUUGCAAAAUUUUGAAGAACUGACACCUUUCCUUUUAAAUAUGCGAUGUGGAAUGAAGAGAUGGAGGUUUUGGGAAGCGAGGAAGAGGAACCACUCAAACCUCCUGCUUUGCUUAUCAUGUCUUUAAUGGACUCCUUAUAGUCCACUUUCUCUUCAUCCAAUGUGUAUUGUGAUGGGAUAUCAAGUGCAGUCAAUCCCUCCGCAUUUUUGGCAUUGAUAUGGUCACCACACAAGCGUUCCAGCAGUACUUUUACCACCUGUUAAUUAGAAUAUUCAUACAAGUAACCUUUGAGUAUAUAUAUACAUAAAAAAUUUCACUAGCAAAAUUAUCAUACCUGAGGUCUAUUUCUGAUAGCAGCAACAUGUAAAACAGUGUUGCCAUCAAUGUCUGCCCAACUCAGUAGUUCUUUCUCCCAACGGCUGGCAGCUUUAUGGCGGCUCCUUAUAAGCCACCCCACCAAGACUUGGAAAGCUUCAAACCUGUCAUUUUUUACGGCAAGAUGGAAAACCGUCUCAUCUCGAACAGUCAUAUCUUCAAUAGCCUCGGGGCAAACCUCAAGGAACUUGAUCAAAAAAUCAACAUUUCCAUUUUGAACCACAUCAUGCAAAGGAGUCAAGCCCUCCCGCCCUUUGACACGAACAAGGCCUUCAUCAAACCUGAGGAGUCGAAGCACUGUUUGAGUUUUUUGAUUUUGCAGAGCCAAGUGCAUGGGGCUAAACCCAGCUUGGUUUAGCUUUCUUGCAAACGAUGGCUUUAAGUUGAUCAUCUCCAUCAUAAAAUCAAUAUGCCCUGCAGAGGCUGCUACAUGCAAAGGAGUAUGGAAAAAAGGUACAUCAUCGAUACGCUGUAAAGCAUAUGGAUCAUUCAGAAUUAACUCAUACAAGAUGUUUAUGUCUCCUGUUUGUGCAGCCCCCUUCAUCUUCUCAUCCAUAGCAAGGUGCGGAAAUUUGCAGAAUAUAGAAAUGGAGUGAAGAAAAAACGCUUUAGCAGAGGAUAUGAUUAUGUUAAGGAUACAAUGAAGUGUUUGAUUAUUUUUUCCAGAUGAAGUGUUUGACAUUUUAUAGCACUUUAAUGAUUUUGGAUUUAUAUGUGAUGUCAGCCUCUACACGUAUACAGGUGAAUUGUUGCCUAUUAGAAAGAAAUAGUAAUUAAAUUCAUAUUUAAUAUAUAUUUUUAAUCUAAUUUUUUUAAUUCAAUUUAAUUUUAGUUAAAACGUUUAAAAACAUUUAUUUAAUCUAAUUUCUUUAAUAUAUUAAAUAAAAUGGAUUAGAGAAUAUAUUGAAUAUGGAUGAAUACUAUAUCAUACUAAUUUUAUGUCUCUAAAAAUUAAUAAGGUGUUAUUAUUUUAUUGGUGCUUAAAAAUUUAAAAUAUUUAGAAUCAUUCUAAUAUAAGUUAUUCUUUUAAUAAUAAUAUUUGGUACUUCCACGACAAGUUCAAUGGUUGACAAAUAUCUUAUAAAAGUAUUAUAAAAUAUUUAAAAAAUAUAUUAUUUAGUGACUUAAUUUUUUAAGAACAUUUGAUAAUUCAUAAAGAAAAUAAAUAAUAUUUUUUUCCAAUAAAAAAGGUGGGAAAAAUGAUAAGUAGAUAAGAGCUACCAUCACUUACAACAUGUUUGGACUAAAAAGAAGAAAAAAGGAGGGAAAAUUAAGUAAAAUGAGUAAAGAAAAUUUGGUUUUUUUUGUUUAAGUUAAGUAAAGUUGUUUAUUUUUUAUCGUAUUAUUAGAUUUUAUUUUUUAGAUUAUUAUCUCUUUUUCUUCUUUUGUUGACUCUUUUUCAUUAGUUUGUUAUUUCUCUAUGAAUCAGUAUCCCAACCAACUCAAUUUUGUUCAGGUAACCAUGUCUAUAUGUUUAAAAGCAUUAAUGCACUAAUCGAAAUCUGAACGUAAUAACUGUUCUCACAUUGAGGUAUAGAAGGUUCUUUUGGUGAAAAGAUGAAGCAUUGCAAAAAAAAAAAAAAAUUGAAUAAGAUAUUUUGAAAGAAAGCGGAGAGGAAGACUAAAAUAUAUUUAGUAACAUUAAGCAUCGUACAAGUAAAAAAAAAAUAAAGUAAAUAAUUUUAAAACACAAAAUUAUAACUUUAAAAAAGAUAAAACUCACAAUAAAAUAACAAGAUUAUAAAGUAAACUUUAAAAUGCACUAAUUAAUUAAAUUAAAUUACUUAUUAUAAAAAAAUCAAAGUAAAUUACUAGUAGUAAUUUUUUAAUCUUAGGUAUGUUGCAUAUAAUUUUAUAUUUUUUAUUUUUUAAAUAAUAUAUUUUUAUAAUUUUAAAUAUAUAUUUAUGCUAAUUAAACGAGGAUUCUCGUCGUGACAUCGCUAGCUAACUUUUGUAAGUGCCUAUAAACUGAUAAGUGCUAGCUAAAAGUGACAUAUUUUAACAUCAUUCUUAAUACAUUUUGGGUGAUUAUUUGAUGUUAAUUGUGAAUUUUAUACUCCUAAUACUUUAAAUUCAUGUAUUAAUGCUUAAUAGAGCACUUGAGAGCAAAAGGAGUAAAAAAUGAGCGAAAAAUGAAAUUUCGAAGCAAGUUACAGGAGCCACACGAGCUAGACCAUUCCACACAGCCAUGUAAGCCACACGGGCGUGUAGUAGGCCAUUUAGUUUUUACAGGACUUGUGACAUUUAGAUUGAUAGUGAUAGAUGAAAUCUAGGUGGAUUCUUUCCUGUGUAUUGUUUUGCUUCUUGGUUGUUAAUCGAUUAUUUUCUUAUUUUUUUCUUUAUUGCGUUCAUUGGUAAUUAAAUUAGUUAAUUUUAGUUUUAAUAAAUCACUCAAAUUAUUCGAUUAAAUAAUGGAAAAAAGAGUAAUUACCAGUACUUUUAGUCUUCUUGGAAUGAUAUCUUUGCUCCCCAUAGCUAUACUAUUAAUUGAUAGGUGCGCAUGCCUUAGUCAAAUUUUAGUUAGUUUCACGAAACAUUACAAAUUGUCUGAUAAAUGCGAGGCACAUCCCACACUUUCCAUUAUCAAUUUAACGAAUUCAAAUGUUGGUGCCUAAUUAAAAACUUUUCAAAUUGGGUGACUAAAUCAGGAACGAGGGCAUAGUUGAGUGACAUUUUGUAUAGUUUACCCUUAAUUUUUUUAAAAAUUUAAAAAAAUAUUUUUUUUAUAAUUUUUAUACUGUUUAAUAUAACUUUAAUAGUUUUUAAUUUUUAAAAAUAAUUUUAUAUUUUUUGAAUUUUUUAAAUUAAAAAAUAAAUUAAUUGCUUACAUGACAAUUUAAUGUAUGUCAUGUCAACAAAGUUAACAAACGUUAACUUUUCUAUUCAUUUUGGGGCGAUUUGAUAAACCAGCUUAGUUUAGCUUUCUAGCAAACGACGACUUUAAGUUCAUCUCCAUCAUAAACUCAAAAUGCCCUGCAAAGGCUGCUACGUGCAAUGGGGUAUCAAGAAAAGGAACAUGAUCAAUACGCUCUAAAACAUAUUGAUCAUUCUGAGUCAACUCAUAUAAGACGUUAAUAUGUCCUUGUGCAGUCUUUCUCAUCGUGUCAUCCACGGCAAGGUGUGUGUGUGUUGGGGGGAGAGGAUGAAAUAUGCCGGAACAUAAGAGUCCAACCAAUUGAGAAGGUACACAUAUAUUGAAAGGACCGAUGAAAUCUUAGACCGCACAAAACGGAAGCUAAAGGAUUGAUGAAAGAACGCUUUAGCAGAAGGAUAAUAUUGAAGUGUUUGAUUUUUCUUCUUCCUGUUGUAAUGUUUGACGUUUUGUUUGAUACCAAAUCCCACUUGUUAAAAAAUAUACAAUAAUUAUAUAUUUUUUAAUGAUUUUUUAGAUAUUAAAUAAAUGGUAACACGUCAUAAUAAAACUCUAAAACUAGAUGCAUUUAAUUUUAAUAUAAAUAUUAUAUCAAUGUAUCAAUAUGGUUGACCUAAAUACAAAUAGUUGAUUAAUUAAUAAAAAAAUAUUUAUUGAAUUAUUUAAAUAUUAUCUAAACUAAUUUAAUUUUUAAUUUUCAACCCUAUAAAACAUUUCACCAUCAUUUUUAACAAUAAUACCUAAUAUUUUAAAUUAACAAACCACAACCUUUUAAAUAUUAAUUAUCUUGAAAUUCAACUUUUUAGAAGUUAUUUUUUAACCGUCAACAACGUCAAACUGGCACUAAAAUCUUCCACUCACACUUGUAAAUUAAUAAAAGGACUCCGGUAAUCAAGGGACUUGAGAAUUUAAUCCAGUAUGAAUCUCCGUCACUCACGUAUUUGCUGUCAAUAGUGAUGGAUGAAUACGAAUUUUGUCCCAUAUACUGCUUGGAUUUAUAACCCCAAGCAAUGCAAGUGGUAAUAUUGUAGGGAUUUUCAACAUUAUCAUAAAUUUUAGGGAGGAAUUAAGUGAAUUCAGAGACGAAAUUAGAUGCCCAUUGAGUUUUGUUCAAAUCUAGGGAUUUCAUCGUCAUAUAGGGUCGAUUUUGAUAGCUAUUUUUAGCAACAACUUGAUUUAAUUAAUUAAAUUAAUUAUGAUUAGUUAAGUUUAAUUUAAGUAUAAAAGUUAAAAUUAAAUGAAAAACAAAACAUUUUUCUCUUCAUCUUCUUCUCCACUGUUUCUAGGGUUUUGGAGCUUUCUACUUUAGCCCUCAAUUUGGUAAAUAAUUUCAAGUUUUUUUUAUUAUAAAUUUUACAUUUUUGAAAUCGUAAGAGCUUGAUUUGAUUUAACUAAACCAUAUUCUAUUUUUGCAAAACCGUUAAAAUUUUCAAACAGGAAAUGUUGAUCUUUUGAUCAAGUUACUUAAGGUUUGUCCUGAGGCUAUUGCAGAUGUGACUGUUCGAGAUGAGACAAUAUUCCAUCUUGCUGUGAAAAACGACAUGUUUGAAGCUUCCAAGUCUUGGUGGGGUGCUUAUGAGAAGCUUCCAUGAGCCUGCCCAAUGGAAGAAACAACUGCUGAGUUGGCCAGACAUCGAUGGCAACACUGUUUUACACAUUGCAACUAUUAGAAACAGACCUUGGGUAUAUGCUCAUUUUUGUCAUUAAGUCAGUUACUGAUGUGCAUAUAUGCAUGAUAAAAGGGUUACUUAUAGGAAUAUUCUAAUUGAUAGGUGGCAAAACUAUUGCUGAAACACAUGCCGUGACCAAAUCAAUGCCAAAUAUUUGGAGGGAUUGACAGCACUAGAUAUCCAAUCUCAGUACCCAUCGAAUGAAAGGCAAGCAGAUAGGAUUAUAGAUGCUAAGAAAAGCAGGAGGUUUGAGUGGUUCCUCUUCCUCACUUCCAAUACCUUCAUCCCUUCAUUCCUAAUCGAAUCUUUAAAAGACAAGAUGCACGGUCUCAAAAAUGGGCAACUUCUGAAUUUCCACAAUACUUACAUUAAGAGUACUUAUCAGAAUUUCCAGCACCACUACCACCACUACCUUUUGCAGCAACUUCUGAUCCACUACUGGCACCACUCUUCUUCCCUUUCCACUUCUAGUCCUUUCCUUCUUCACCCUGCUACAUCUUAGCCUUCAAUGCUUCCUUCCUGCCUCAUUAGUCUCUUCUACUACUGUGCUUGUAAAGCACUGAUCAACUCGACUACUCUCAGUUGAGUCAAGUCAUUUGUGUUCUCCAAAGAAGUAAUUGUUCCUUCAUACUUCUCAAGCACAGAGAUUAGUAUUUUCUACAUUAGUCUACAAUCAGAGAGAUUAGUCACUACAAUAAAAUAGACUUUUAGCGGCAUUUUUAAGCGCCGCUAAAAGUAUUAGCAGCGCUUUAACAAGUGCCGCAAAAAAUGCCGCUAUAGACAACGCCGCUAAUUUUAGCGGUGUUUAUGUGAAAAAACACUGCUAAAGAUCAUGACCUUUAGCGGCGCUUCUACCACAAACGCCACUAUAAAGAAUGACUUUCAUGAUUUUUUUAAAAAAAUAUUUUAAUUAAAUAAUAUUUAUUUCUAUGAUAAAUAUUAUAUUAUGUUUUAUUUUUGAAAUUUAAACUUUAAACUAUAUGCUUUUAAGGAUAAAAAACAAAAUUUCUAUUAAAAUUUUAACUUUAAAAAACAAAAUUUCUAUUAAAAUUUUAACUUUAAAGCUAAAUAUAAAAAUUAAUGAAUUUAAAUUUAGAAUUAAAAUAUUAUGUUUAAAUAAAUGAGCAAUCUACCUCACAGCUCAUCUGAUCUAUAUUAACUCGGCCAAAUAUAAAAGAAGCUACAAAACACGUAAUAAUUAACAAUCAUGGUUAAAGAAGCUAGUACACAAGGUAGCUACAAAACCCUGUUUCAAUAACACCAAAUUCAAGUUCCGACUAAGAUAAAAGACCAUGACGAUGUGCUUGUUUCCUUCUAUAUAUCUUUGGGAAGAAUUCCUUCAAGAAAUCAUCCAUGGAAGUCACUCCACCUGCAGUCAAUAUUAAAAGAUAAACAGUGUCAUCAUCUUGAAAUAAGUAUCUUAUUGAGCUCUUUUGAAUCAAAUAACAUAAAUCUUCUAACAAAAAGAAACAAAUACAUAAUCUAUAAUGCAAAUAGCUUAGGAAUCAUUGAUAAUUCCCAAAUACCAAAUAAUAUAUGAAGAUUAUAUUUUGACGAUUAAAGAAAAUAUGUAGAGAGGGUUCUUCUCAAGACAUCAUUUUGAUUGAAAAGCAAAUCAGUAAAUCUGGAAGAUAGGAUACAAAUCUAAAAAGAUUUCAGCAAUUGCUAAUACUUAAUAUAAAUGAAUAGAAUUCAUAAACAGGCUGAAAAAAAUGCCACGAAUGCUCAUUUUUAGCGGCGUUUUUUCAAAAAUCGCCGCAAAUGCUCAAUCUUUAGUGGCGAUUUCCAUAAAGCGCUGCUAAUGCUCAAUUUUUAUCGGUGUUUUUUGUCCAAGUGCUGCUAAAAGCCUGUUUUGGUGUAGUGAGUCCCGAAACCCUUACCUUAUUAGCAAUAUCUAUCAACUUGUUUGAGUAUUCUUUGAUUGACUCAAAAUCUUUUAUUUGUAGCCUAUCGAAUUCCCUGGUCAAGUUCAACACCUUCAUGAUCUAGAACCUCUUAUCUCCUUGAUACUCAACCUUGAGGUAGUAUCUCCUUUAUUGAUCCAAAAAUAAUAAUUCUAUUGAAUAUGGCUAGUGAAACAACAACAUAAAGGCAAACCUUUACAUUUGCUUUCCAAGUGGUUCUUUCUUUGUGCAGUUUGAUCUGGUUCAUAGUUGGAUUUUUGGAAAGUGGAACCACCUCAUAGUCUUCCUCGAUAACUUCCCAAUAAUCACAACCCUCCAUGUAUGCUUGCAUUCUCAUAGCCUAUGCUUGAUAGUUCUUUCCAUCAAACACAUGUGGGGUUAAGACAGACAUAUUGCUUGAUCUUGAUUCCAUUUUUCUCAAUUCCUUACAAGUGUAUCUCUCAAUUUUUGUCUUAGGAUUCUCAUAAGGCCUCUCUCACAGGUCCCUCAAGAAAAAGAGGCUCUCGAUACCACUAUUGUUUCAAUGGAGAACUAACUAAAGGCACAAAAAUUGAAAAUGGAGAAAGUUGAUUAAAAUUUAUUAACCAAGCAAUGCUUAUUUACAUGACUCAAGCAAUGCUUAUUAAAUCAAUUUUUUAUUAUUUUUAGGGGCCAAAGUGUAAUUUUACCAUUACUAAUUUAGAAUUUUAUAAAUUAUAAAGGGUCUAACUGAAAAUUUUUCCAUUUCAGGAGGGCUGAGGGCCCUGCCACCCCCCUUGGCUUCGCCACUGAUAUUAGUUCUCGUGGUAUUAUACUAGAUAGCCAGUUAUAUACUAUAUAGGUUUGUACCCAAAAGAAAAAUAUCUUCCUCCUUAUGGCAUACUAGUUCAUAUGCUUUUAUUUUUAAGAAUUUAAACUAUCCUUAAUCAUAUAGUCCGCUAUAUCAUUCAGUCAUCACUCUCUUCACCGCUCAUUUAUCUUAUUUUUUAUUUGAUUUAAGAUUUCGUACAUCGAAAUUUCCUUUGACCUUUCAAGAAGUUUUAUUUUCUAAAAUUAGUGCGUUUUAAUCACCUAUAAAAUCAAAAUUUUUAUUCAAGUUGCAGUUGAUUUGGACUGGAUGUACAUUAUCUAUGGCUUUGGGAUACUUGGAAGUUUCCUACGACCUUCGAAGAAAUCUGUUUUUUGAGACAAGAGUGAUCGAGUCAUGUAUAAAUUUUGGUCAGGUUCCUGUGUUUUGCAAAUUUCCUUUCCUACAUUCUCUUCUGGUUCUUUUUUCUGUGUUUCGUUGCAAAUUUCCUUAGUUUUCAAUUUUCAAUUAUCUGAAGAUUAACUGCUCAAUUUAUUACCCCCAAAAGAAAAGUUAUGGAUGAGAGGAUGAUAGAGGCUGCCCAAACAGGAGAUUUUAACCUCUUGUAUGAGUUGAUUCUGAAUGAUCCAUAUGUUUUAGAGCGUAUUGAUGAUGUGCCUUUUUUCCAUACACCAUUGCAUGUAGCUGCCUCUGUUGGGCAUAUUGAGUUUAUGAUGGAGAUGAUCAAAUUAAAGCCAACGUUUGCAAGAAAGCUAUGUAGGAACAAUGGCAGCAGCAAGCAUCAAACAAAGUUUCAAAUCUGUAUUUGUAAGACUGAAGCAAGAAGAAUCGAAGCAAAGAAAAAGCAAAGCAAUGAACACAAUUGAAUACUCAGCAAAGUUGUAACUGAACAUUACAUUUUUCAUUCAAGAUUUGAAUAUAUAAAAGAGCUACAAAUUUUGGUUCAUUUGACAGAUACCUAAUGACAUAACUAUUCCCACUUAAACUAAACUAAUACAAGCUUAAGUCAAAUACAAAAUAAGCUGACAUAUCAGCUUUUACAUCAUCAAUCCAAUCAUAAACUUAAUCCAACUAACUAUUAAAGCUAGUUACAAUCAAACUAAACUAAGUUACAUCAAAACAAAACAGCAAUAUCAGUUGCUUCAUUUGGUCUGAAAACCAUUCGUGCAUACCAAGCAAAAUGAGCUGAGCUCGAUAGCUGCUGGUCUCGAUAGUAGCAUGCUUCCGGCUCCAUGUUGCAUUGCAGUCCAGCUUUCAACACUCCUCCUUGGACUGUAUGCAACACAUUCCAAUUGCAUUUCUCAAAGAUUCAAAUCGAGCAGCCCCCAAGGACUUGGUCAUUAUGUCAGCCAAUUGUGUCCCUGAGCUGCAAUGCACAAGGCUGACUUCCUUUGCUUGUUCAGCCUCUCUAACAAAAUGCAGCUUGAUUUUAAAAUGCUUUGUCUUACCAUGGAACACAGGGUUCUUGGCUAUUGCAACUGCAGACUGAUUAUCCACCCAAAUUUCAGUUGCUUCAUCUUGAGUUUCAUUAAGGUCAUGAAGCAGCUUCCUUAGCCAAAUGGCCUGAUUAACUGCUCCUGCUGCAGCAAUGUAUUCUACUUCAGCUGUGGACUGAGCAACAGUUUGCUGCUUUUUUGAACUCCAGCAAAACAUCCCCGAUCCAAGUGUAAAGAAGUGUCCUGAGGUACUCUUCAUGUCAUCGAGGGAUCCUGCCCAGUCACUAUCAGAGUAGCCUUCUAGUUUCAGUUGGUUCCCACUUUCAAACAUUACACCAAAACUAGCAGUGCCCUUGAUGUAUCUAAGGACCCUCUUUGCUGCCUUCAAAUGUGCCUCAUUGCAACAAUGCAUAAAUCUCGAUAACAGACUGACACCAAACAUGAUGUCUGGCCUGGUUGCUGUUAGAUACAACAGACAACCAACUAGGCUUCGAUAGUGCCUCUCAUCAACCCUCUGCUGAUCACCACUGCUAGUCAGCUUUUCUCCUUGGGCCACAGGUGUGCUGACUGCUUUACAAUUAUGCAUGCAGAAUUUGUCUAGGAUCUUCAAAGCAAAUGAGUGUUGGCUGAUGAAGAUACCUCGAUCAGACUGGUGAACUUCCAUGCCAAGGAAGUAAGUCAUGAUCCCCAAGUCUGUCAUUUCAAACACUUGCUGCAUUUGGACUUUGAACUCAUCAAUGAGCUCAAUUUUGCUCCCUGUCACAAGCAAAUCAUCCACAUACAAGGAGACAAUCAGCAAGGUUUCAUGUUUUGACCUUUUAACAUACAGAGUAGGCUCACUAAGGCUCUUUACAAAUCCAAGUUUGGUCAGGUAAGCAUCAACUCUGUCAUACCAGGCCCUUGGUGCCUGUUUCAGGCCAUAGAGGGCCUUUCUCAACUUAUACACUUUGUCUUCAUGUCCAACAACUUCAAAACCUUCAGGUUGUUCGAUGAAGAUCUCCUGACUGUAGCAAAAGUUUGUAUCCAGUCUUGCCACUGGAGCAAAAGUUUCUAGGUAGUCAACACCAUACUGCUGACUGUAGCCCUUCACCACAAGCCUGGCCUUGUGCUUGUUCAGUGAGCCAUCAGCAUUGUACUUGGCCCGGUACACCCAUUUAACUCCUAUGACCCUCUUGUGUUCUGGUCUGCUCACCAACUCCCAAGUCUGAUUUUUGUUGAUCAUUUCCAACUCAGCUUCCAUAGCUUUCAUCCAGCUUCUGUUCUUAGCAGCCUCUUCAAAGUCUGAGGGCUCAAUCACAGCAACAUUGCACCUCUGAUAGACAUCAGCCAAAGUUCUGGUGCCCCUCACUGGUAUAUCAUCGACAGCAUCAUUACUUGGUCCUUUUACUGCAGGUUCAGCAACCAAGUCUAACUGGUCCAAUUCAGACAAGUCAGCCUCAACACCAUUCCAAUUCCACACCUUUUCCUCAUCAAACUUUACAUCCCUGCUGACUAAAACCUUCUUUGCUGUAGGAUCAUACACUCUAUAGCCUUUCUUGUUGCUGCUGUAGCCAACAAAGAUUCCUGGAGUUGCUCUGCUCUCAAGCUUGGUCCUUUUCUCUACUGGAAUAAGUGCAUAACAUACACAGCCAAACACUUUUAAGUGUGUUACCACAGGUUUGACUCCAUGCCAAGCCUCAAAAGGAGUCUUAUCCUUGACUGCUCUAGUUGGCAGUCUGUUGAGCAGAUACACUGAGGUGUUGACUGCCUCAGCCCAAAACUGACUUGGAAGCUUGCCUUGAAACAAGAGGCACCUGGCCAUGUUCAGUACAGUCUUAUUCUUUCUCUCACAGACUUCAUUCUGUUGAGGAGUAUAGACUGUUGUGAGCUGAUGGUAAAUCCCAGCACUGUCACAAAGCUUCUGAAAUCUCUCAGACACAUAUUCAGAACCAUUAUCAGUCCUCAAGGCUCUAAUUUUGCAGCCUGACUGAUUUUCAGCAUAAGCCUUGAAUUUACAGAAGGCUUCAAACACUUCUGACUUUUGCUUCAAGAAGUAGACCCAACACAACCUUGUUAAAUCAUCUAUAAACAGGGCAAAGUACCUGUUCUCACUGAUUGAAGGUGUUCUCAUAGGGCCACAAACAUCAGAGUGCACCAAUUCGAGCUUGUCUUGAGCUCUCCAAGCACUGUCAGCAGGAAAAGGCAGUCUAGCCUGCUUACCAAGCUGACAAACCUCACAAACAUUCCCACUAACUUCAAAUUUUGUAAUGUCAUCAACCAAAUUCAGCCUAUGUAACAGAUCGAUGGAUCUAAAAUUUGCAUGGCCUAGUCUCCUAUGCCACAAGUCAGUGCUUUCAACAAGGCUGGUGUAUGCCUUUCUUUCUAUUUGGCUAACAUCCAGCAUGAAGCACCUAUCAGUCAUAGAGACUGUGACUAACUCCAGACCAUUCAUGUCUUGAACAAUACAGCAACCAUCCUUAAAAACCAAUGUAUAGCCCUUUUCAACUAAUUGGCCUACACUAAGUAAAUUCUGGUCUAAGUCAGGUACAAAAAACACAUCUGAGAUCAGCUUGUUACCUGAACCAGUGCUAAUCAACACACUGCCCUUGCCUUUAGCCUCAAUCAGUCUACCAUCUCCAAUUCUAAUCCUCGAGUGGAAGCUUCUGUCUAGGCUUUUGAACAGCUUCUCAUCUGCUGCAAUAUGGUGUGAGCAGCCACUGUCUAGUAGCCAAUCAUUGCUGGCCUUGGUUGUGCCAACAAAACAAGUUACUGUGAACACUUGCUCCUCCUGAGCUUGAAUGUCCUCAGCAGGUCUAGCUUGUUGCAGAGCAGCCUCCCUUGGUUUGCCCUUGCACACCUUCUCCACAUGGCCAAACUGCUUGCAUUUUCUACACUGAAUAUCUGGCCUAAACCAGCAAUACUUUUCUGAAUGUGUUGUCUUCUUGCAAUGAACACAUGGUGGGAACACCCUUUUUGCUUCAUCUAUUCCUGACUUGACCCUUCUAUUGUGCCAAUGCUGCUUGCCUUUUGCACUCACACUCGAGCCUUCACUGGCUUUAGCCUGGAAAGCAGCUUCAGGAUUCUCCUCCUGCCUAUUUGCCCUCCUUUGCUCAAGUGCAUACAGGAAGUUUAUCAGCUCAGACAAAGAAAUGGCUGAUAAGUCCCUCGAGUCCUCAAGUGAAGAGAUUUUAGACUCAAAUUUCUCAGGGAGAGUUGUAAUAACCUUUUCAACAACUCUGCUCUCUGUGAAGUCCACUCCCAGGAGCCUAAUGCUGUUGAAAAUGGCCAUUAUCCUGUCUGAGUACUGCUUGAUGGUCUCAGACUCCUUCAUCCUCAAAUUUUCAAAGUCUCUCCUGAGGUUGAUCACUUGCUGUUGCCUUGUCUUAUCAGUCCCCAUGAACUCCUCCUUCAGCUUCUCCCAAGCCUGCUUUGGUGAGUCACAGGCCAUGAUGCGAGUAAAUAUCACAUCAGAGACUCCAUUUUGCAAGCAGGCCAUAGCCUUAUGCUUCUUGGCUCGCUCCUCAGUAUGUUGCCUCAUCUGUGCAAUGGUGGGAUUGGCUCUCAAUGGAGGUGGUUCAGCAUCAUUCUCGAUCACACUCCAAAGAUCAUGUGCUUGGAGAUAAGUCUUCAUUUUAACUAUCCAAAUGUGAUAGUUUUCUCCAGUGAACACUGGUGGAGGUGGUAGAGUGAAACUCAUUCUGCUAGACUGAAUCCAAAUGCUUCGAUCUUACCAAAUUUUGAACUUGCUGUUGGUUUUGAUUCAAACACAACAGAUUGCAUACAAAGGCCCCUCAAAGACUCGGGCUCAUGAUACCAUUUGUACGAACAAUGGCAACAGCAAGCAUCAAACAAAGUUUCAAAUCUGUAUUUGUAAGACUGAAGCAAGAAGAAUCGAAGCAAAGAAAAAGCAAAGAAAUGAACACAAUUGAAUACUCAGCAAAGUUGUAACUGAACAUUACAUUUUUCAUUCAAGAUUUGAAUAUAUAAAAGAGCUACAAAUUUUGGUUCAUUUGACAGAUACCUAAUGACAUAACUACUCCCACUUAAACUAAACUAAUACAAGCUUAAGUCAAAUACAAAAUAAGCUGACAUAUCAGCUUUUACAUCAUCAAUCCAAUCACAAACUUAAUCCAACUAACUAUUAAAGCUAGUUACAAUCAAACUAAACUAAGUUACAUCAAAACAAAACAGCAAUAUCAGUUGCUUCAUUUGGUCUGAAAACCAUUCGUGCAUACCAAGCAAAAUGAGCUUAGCUCGAUAGCUGCUGGUCUCGAUAGUAGCAUGCUUCCGGCUCCAUGUUGCAUUGCAGUCCAGCUUUCAACAAGCUAAACCAAGCUGGGUUUAGCCCCAUGCACUUGGCUCUGCAAAAUGACAGAACUCAUGCAGUGCUUCGACUCCUCAGGUUUGAUGAAGGACUUGUUCGUGUUAAAGGGAGGGAGGACCUCACUCCUCUGCAUCAUGUGGUUCAAAAUGAAAACUUGAAUCUUUUGAAAAAGUUUCUUGAGGUUUGUCCUGAGGCUAUUGAAGAUAUGACUGUUCGAGAUGAGACGGUUUUCCAUCUUGCUGUGAAAAACGACAUGUUCGAAGCUUUUCAAGUCUUGGUGGGGUGGCUUAUGAGAAGCUGGUAUGAGUCUCCCCGAUGGGAGAAAGAAUUACUUAGUUGGCCAGACAUUGAUGGCAACACUGUUUUACACAUUGCAGCUAUCAGAAACAGACCUCGGGUAUAUGCUAAUUUUUGUCAUUAAGUCAGUUAUUGAUGAGUAUAUAUGUAUGAUAAAAGGGUUACUUAUAUGAAUAUUUUAUUAACAGGUGGUAAACGUAUUGCUGGAACACAUGAGGCGAGACCAAAUCAAUGCCAAAAAUUUGGAGGGAUUGACAGCACUAGAUAUCCAAUCACAGUACCCAUGGAAUGAAAGGCAAGCGGAUAAGAUUAUAGAUAUGCUAAGCUAAGCUGGAGGUUUCCCAAUACCUCCAUCUCUUCAUUCCACAUCGAAUCUUUAAAAGACAAGAUGUCACGGUCUCAAAAAUGGGCAACAAGAGCAGGUCGAGGAAAGAAGGGUAUGGGACAUGAGAUGCGCAACACAUUUCUAGUAGUGACAGUGCUAAUUAUAAUAACCACAUACGAAGCCUCUUUAAACCCUCCAAAGAAGCCUAAUGACAGUCCAUCCAUGAAAUACCAAGUCUCUUCAAGUCAAGAUGAGCCUCUCAAUUCCCACACAUUUUUGCAUAAAACCGACUUCAAUACUGCUCCCAUACCCAGUCCCUCCGCAAUUGACGUUUUGGAUCUAGAUGAUUGGACAUUUAAAUACUCCUCAUUUUUGUUUUGCAACACGUUCACCUUUUGGGUAGCAGUGUUCUUAACAGCACUUCUCCUACCACCUCAUUCAUUCUCUUCCUUGAUUCUCCUAACACUUUCCUUCUUUGGGAGAUCUUACAUGAAUUUAUUUGAUGUUUCCGCAUGGUCAUGGGGAUAUUCAUAUGAGUUUUCCAAUGAAAACGCACACUUAUUAUAUGUUGUAGCCUCCUUUUGUAAUGUUUUCUUCUCAACAUUGCUAGUUUUCCUUGGAUCAUACCAGACAAUAUUUUAUGUUUGCAGUAGGGUAAACAUUACCAAGCAAAAAUUCUUCUUCCUCCUACUAGUCGUUGUCAUUGGCUGCAUGCAGGUUUUUAUGUUUGCUUAGCUUAGUGAUGUGAUGGCCAUUGAUAAAUAAAAUCAAGGUUGGUGAAUGUACCAUUUCAUUCCAUUGAUAAAAGAAGUUUAAGUUUUAGAGUUGUUAUAUAUAUAUAUAUCAUCUAUCUUGCUCCACAUAUAAAUAUGGAGUGCAAAUCUGUUAAAUACUUAAAUGUGAUAGACUAAAACAUCAUUCUAAUAUAUUAAAUUUAAAAUAUUUUGAUAUUAUUAAAAGAAAUGAUUAAAUUAUUUUAACAUAUAAUAUCUUUUUUUAAGAGUAUUGAUUUUAUUUUUAGCUUUAAAAAAUACAAGUAAAAACAAAAUUUAAUUAACAAAAUUUUUUAUACAAUGCCUCAAAUUUAUGUUUUCUUUACACUAAUAGUAAUAUCGAUACUAACUAAAUUAAAAUUCAAUCGAUAAAUAAUUUAAAUUAUUAAUAAAUUAAAAUCUAUAUUAUACUUUAAAAUAUUUAUGAUAUAAAAAUAUAUUAAUAUAAUACCGACAUAUUGAUUAUUGAUUGUCGUGUUUAAUUAAGACUAGUAUAGCGUCUUAAGGUCAGAUGGGACUAUUGAAGAAACUUUUACCUCUAAGUGCCAAUUCGUUUGGAAUAAGAAAAAACAAUAAAAAGUGCCAGUACUUGUUUCUUUUCUUCUUUCUGUUUAAGACUUCUAUGGCUUGGGACCAUACCAGAAUUGUAUGUUCUACUUUUAAUUCUAGGACGACGUGAGUACAAAUUAAAUAUUUUUGUAUUGGUAACAAUAUUGAUCAUAAUCGAUUAAAAUAUUAAAUUUUACACUAAAGAACUUAAUAGAAAGAAUGUUGAUGAUGCUAACAACUAAACUUGAAUUUUUAAAUUUGAAAAUUAGAAAGAUUAAAUCUUAAAAGUAAAAGUAGAUGGACUAAUUAAAUUUCUAAUGUAUAAAGUGUAUAAGGAGUAAGGACUUAAAGUAUAUUUUAACACUUAAAUUUUUAUUUUAUAAUUUCAGACAAUCAAAUAAUUAAUCCAAUAUAAAACUUGGACGAAAAAAUUCUAUUUUCUUUUAAGCAUGUCGAAUUUAUUUCAAGCCUUCAAACAAACAAGCAAAGAAAAAAUAAAAUCAAAAGAAGAUAUCAAGUUGUCACUAGAUAACAAUUCUAGGUAGGAUUGGACCGAUGAGGUUCCGGUCCACAAUGAGCAAAACGGUGAGAGUGAUCCGAUUAAGUGAAGAAAUUUGAGAAGGGGGGGAGGGGGAACUUUCGUCGUUGUAAAGUGAAAAAGCUAAGGGAGUGAUUACAAUUUGAUUAUUAUUUCAUAUGCAAAUUCAAUUUUAAUUUAAAAUAACUUGAAGGCUAAAUUCAAUAAAAAAAUACUUUUAUAUUUCACUUUAAUAUUUAACAAUAAUAAGUUAAUUAAUAUAAUAUUAAAUUUAAAUAAAAUGGUUAUUUUAUAAAAUAAUUGUUUUUUCAUUUAUGAUAUAUGGACUUUUAUUUCUCAAGUUUUUAUAAAAUAAGGCUGUUAGGGUUGUUGCGUAUGUAUGCAUGUGUGUAUGCCUUGCAUGGGUGACAUUAGCAAACAAUAUCCCUCAGUUAGUAUAUAAGCUGAGCGAUAGUUGCUGAAAUGUGUGAGUUCCGGAAUAAUAAAAGUUCAAGUUUAUGCUUCUAUUUACUUUCUUGGCAAGUUUUCUCAGCUGCCAAACAGCUACAUAUGAUCGUUUGAUGUUCUUAACUAUCGACUUGUUGGAGUUUAGAGAAGUUGAGAGAGCAAAUAAAGAGAAAAAAAAGGAAAAUAUUUGCUUUCAAAAUUUUUCAUUAUUAUUAUUUUUACACAUGUAAUACAAUAUAUGGGUGUAGUGGUUACAGAUAAUUCAACAAGUCCUACUAAUACACCUUAAAAAUAUAAACCUAAAAUUUAUACAGAAACUGAUUAGGUAAAAUCAAUACCUAAAAAUAUCAAUUCAAUACUAACUCUGCUUGCUUUAACAAGUAAUCUCAGCAAAUAAAUUAAUUACAAAACAUUUAUAUCAGCAAAGGUGAACCCUACCAGCAUUACAACUAGUGGUUCACCAAAAACUUUACUAGCUCAUACUUUGAUGAGCUCCCAGCUUCAAUUGAACUCGCACUUUUUGUUCAACUCACAGCUUCACCGGAAGAAUUCGCCACUGCAUGCCACUUCACAACACGAUUGCAAGAAAGCUAAACCAAGCUGGGCUUAGCCCUCUGCUCUUGGCUCCUCAAAAUGACAAAACUCAAGCGGUGCUUCGACUCCUCAAGUUGACAAAGGCCUUUGUUCGUGUGAAAGGGAGGACGGCCUCACUCCUUUGCACCAAGUUGUUCAAACUGGAAAGGUUGAUCUUUUGUUCAAGUUUCUUGAGGUUUGUCCUGAGGCUAUUGAAGAUCUGACUGUUCCAGAUGAAACGGUUUUCCAUCUUGCCGUAAAAACCAGCAUGUUUUAAGCUUUUGAGCUCUUGGUGGGUGGCUUAUAAGAAGCCGCCAUGGAGCUGCCAAAUGUUGGGAGAAAGAACUACUUAGUUGGCCAGACAUUGAUGACAGUACUGUUCUGCACGUUGCAGUUUUAAACUCACCUCAGGUAUGCUAAUUUUGUUAGUUAAUUCAAUUAUUAAAUAUACAUAUAAUAGGGUUAUAUAUUUGAUUUUUUUUUAACUAACAGGUGAUAAAAGUAUUGCUGGAACAUUUGUGUCGACAUCAUAUCAAUGCCAAAAAUUUGGAUGGAUUCACUGCCCUAGAUAUCGAACCAGAGUUACCAGAAUGGCCAUUGGAUGAAGGGCAAGUGGAUAAUCGGGACUCCAUUAAAGAUAUGCUAAGCAAAGCAGGAGUUUGAGUGGUUCUUCGCUACCUAUGAGGCUCCGGUCUACAAUGGGAAAAACGGUGAGAGUGGUCCAAUUGUGUUGUCCUUAUUUGGGACCUGUUGCCCGCUUUUAGUUGCUGUUAACAUAUGGGCACUCAUCCUAUCAUGAUGGCCACAGCAUUGUUAAUUACUGCUGUUAACAAUGUUAACAAAAAAUUGUUAACUGUUUAUCCUGAAUUUUAAAAUAUGAAAAUAAAAAAGAUUAAAUUAUUAAAAAUAAAAUAUAUGAAAAAAAAUUUAAAAUUUUGAAAAGUACAUCGUCAAUCAUAUGGUCUGCUAAACCAUUCUUUCAUCACUCCUUCCACCACUCAUUUAGGUUGUUUUCUGUUUGAUCUAAGAUUUCCUACUUGGAAAUUUCCUUUGAUCUUUCAAGAUGUUUUAUUUUCUCAAAUUAGUGCGUUUUACUCACCUCUCAAAUCAAAACUUUUAUUCAACCUGAGUUGCAUUUGAUUUGGACUGGGUGUCUAUUUUCUAUGGCUUUGGGGUACUUGGAAAUUUCCUUCGACCUUGGAAGAUAAUUGUUUUUUGAGACAAGAGUGUUCGAGUCAUGUAUAAAUUUUGGUCAGAUUCCUGUGUUUUUGCAAAAUAUAAGUUCUAUUUCCUUUCUAUCUUGUCUUCUGGUUCUUUCUUCUUUGUGUUUUGUUGCAAAUUUCAUCAGCUUUCACUAAUCUGAAAAUUUACUGCCUAAUUUAUUACCCCCACAAAAAAAGCUAUGGAUGAGAGGAUGAUAGAAGCUGCCCACAUGGGAGAUAUUAACUUCUUGUAUGAGUUGAUUCUGAAUGAUCCAUAUGUUUUACAGCGUAUUGAUGAUGUGCCUUUUUUUAAUACUCAAUUGCAAGUAGCAACCUCUGUUGGGCAUAUUGAAUUUAUGAUGGAGAUGAUCAAAUUAAAGCCAACGUUUGCAAGAAAGCUAAACCAAGCAGGGUUUAGCCCCAUGCACUUGGCUCUGCAAAAUCACAGAACUCAUGCAGUGCUUCGACUCCUCAGGUUUGAUGAAGGCCUUGUUCGUGUCUAAGGGAGGGAGGACCUCACUCCUCUGCAUCAUGUGGUUCAAACUGAAAACUUUAAUCUUUUGAAAAAAAUUCUUGAGGUUUGUCCUGAGGCUAUUGAAGAUAUGACUGUUCGAGAUGAGAUGGUUUUCCAUCUUGCUGUAGAAAACGACACGUUUGAAGCUUUCCAAGUCUUGGUGGGGUGGCUUAUGAGAAGCUGCCAUGAGUCUGCCCAAUGGGAGAAAGAACUACUGAGUUGGGCAGACAUUGAUGACAACACUGUUUUACACAUUGCAGCUAUUAGAAACAGAGCUGGGGUAUAUGCUAAUUUUUGUCAUUAAGUCAGUUAUUGAUGUGCAUAUAUGGAUGAUAAAAGGGUUACUUAGAGGAAUAUUCUAAUUAACAGGUGGUAAAAGUAUUGCUGGAACACAUGCGGCGAGACCAAAUCAAUGCCAAAAAUUUGGAGGGAUUGACAGCACUAGAUAUCCAAUCACAAUACCCGUGGAAUGAAAGGCAAGCGGAUAGGAUUAUAGAUAUGCUAAGCAAAGCAGGUGGUUUGAGUGCUUCCUCUUCCUCGUUUCCCAAUACCUCCAUCUCUUCAUUCCACAUCGAAUCAUUAAAGAAAAAGAUGUCACGGUCUCAAAAAUGGGCGACAAGAGCAGGUCCAGAAAAGAAGGGUAUGCCACAUGAGAUCCGUAACACAUUUCUAGUAGUUAUGACACAUGCCCAUGUGAAGGAGGCACACGCCUAUGUGAAAAGAGGCACACACACGACUGUGUGCCCUAGAGACAUGACUGUGCGAAUAACCCAUGUUACUCUUUGUCCGAAAUUGUUAAAAUAAGGUGCAAAGCAGACACAGCCGUAUGAAAGUCUCACAUGCUCGUGUGCCACGGAACACUACUGUGUGCCCAGAACACACGCCCAUGUGAUUAUCAACUAAAAUCUCCAAAUCGAAACCACAAGAUCGUAUGACACCAAAAAUCAUCGAAAAACCCUAAUUCCUAAAUUCGCACAGCCGUAUGAACUGCCCGUGUGUGGCACAAGCCCGUGUGGUUACGAAACCACACCGAAACAAGCUACAGAACAUGCAUUUGCUACCGAAACAACCCUCAAUCCUCAUUAACAUAGUAAUACACCAAAAACAAAUAGUAUUUCAAGCAAUUCCAUAACAAUCUACACUUCGAUUGGUAAAUUUCAGAAACACACAAAAUAUGUCGAAUUUCACGGAGGCAAAUCAAAAUUUUAAAAAUGAAAAUGAUGAGCUUUCAAACCCACACCUAAAUUUGUGAUCAAAGCACGAGGAGAAAAACAAAGAAGAAAGCCAGAACGUAGGAGAAGGAAAUAAUAAAAUCUCCCCAACAAAAAUAAAAAAAAUUUGGAACAAAAAAAAAUGGAAACAAAUCUAACGUUUGGAAGAGGGAGGGAGAGGAGGAACGUGAAAAGAUUUUUUAGGAUAACUCCCUGUUGUAGACACAAAAUAAUAAUAAUAAUAAAAUAAAAAGAAUUAAAUUAAAUGAAAAUAACAAAUAAGUAUUGAAACUUUAAACAAGCUAAAAUAAAAUUGAUUCCUCUAAAACACUCAUGAGGGCUCAAACUUGAAAUCCGAAGGUAAACUAACACACUCGCCACUACCAACCAGCAGGCUCAUUCUAACAUUAAAACGCAAAAACAAGCACAAUUACUCAGCCUACUCACUAACCCUUACUUAAAACCUCAAAUCUUCUAACCCCAAAAUUUAGGAUGUUACAUGUAAUGUCCAUAUUUUUCUAAUACAAUUUUAUACAUGAAUUUUGGUUUUGUGCAGUUUUGCACAUGAUUUUUUUAUUUAAUUUAUUUUUCACAAACUACUAACAAAAUUAUUGAUAUAUAUCACCAUUUUAAGUUUACAUAUUAUAUACAUAAAUAAGUAUAUUUAUAAGAUAUCAAAAUAAAUCGAUGUCUUUAAACGUAACACCAAAACAAAGUUUGAUAUAUAACUCAACAUAUAAAAAGAAGUUAUUAAACAAUACAUAUAAUGUUUAGAACUAUAGUUCUAAUAUUAUUGGUAAAUUUAUAAUUUUCGGUUCACGUAAAUCUUAAUUAUAAAAAAUAAAAUUAUGACUUAUCUUGGAUUAAACUUACAUUAUAUUAUUUAAAUAAAUAAUUUACUAGUUUUUAAUGUCAGGUAGAUGUAUGUAAUUUUAUGCUUUUAAUAUUUAAUUAAUUUUAAAUAUUAUAUUUUUAAUUGAAAUAAUUAAUGUAAAAUAAUAUUUUUUAUUUGAAUUAUUGAAUGUAAUUAAAAUAUAUUAACUUAUCACUUCAAAUAUUAUAAUAGAAAUUUUUUAAAUCAAAAUUGCAUUUUUAACAUAAUCGACCUACAAUGUAAUUUUACUUUUAUGUAACUAAUACAAGUAACAUUAUUCAAAACAAUAACUAAUCAAUAUAAUUAAAUUUAGUAAUAAUUAAUUUUUAAUUAAGAUGCUUAAAAUUUUAGUAAUAAUUCAAUUUUACAUUGAUAAAUAUAUUAAUAUAAUUUUUUAUUUGUAAAUAUAAAUAUAAUAAUAUGAUAGAAAAUAAAAAGUAUUUUAAUAUGAAUAAAUAAAUUUUAAAAUUUAAAAUUCAACAUAUAUAUUUACAUAUUUCGCUAAUUCACCAACGUAUAUGCCUUGAUUUGAUAUAGUUAAUAUUCGGAUAAUGUUGUGAAUCACAUAUAUAUAUUUUGAAGUUUUAUCAUAUUUUCAUGGGUAAAAUACUUUAGAAGUUGUUGUACUCUUUGAAAAUUUAGAAUUUAGUUUUUAUGCUUUUAUUUUUAAGAAUUUAGUUCAUUUAUUUUUCAGAUUUUAAAAUUCAAAUCCAAUUGUUAAUAUUGUUAAUAUUUUUAAUUUCUUUAUGUUAAAUUCAAGUUCAUUACAACAUAUUUUUAGUUACAUGGUUUCCAAGUGUUUUUUUUUUUAAAUGUCACACCAACAAAUUUAACAAAAAAAAUUUGAGUGUUAACAAUUGGACCUGAGUUUUGAAAUUGAAAGGUAGAGGGACUAAGUUUUUGGAAAUAAAAGUAUAUGGAUUAAAUUUCAAAAUUUUGAAGAGUACAGAUACUUAUAACAUCUUUUAACCUAUUUUAAAAAUGUUUUGAAUCAUUACUUAACUUAUUUAGCUCUUCCAAUAAUUAUUUUAGAAUCUUUUUAAAUUUUAUCUUUCCUUAUAUAAUCUUUAUAAUUUUUUAAAAUUAAAUAUUUUGAAUUUAUUUUUUGUAAUUUUUGUUGAGAGAGAGACUAACCUACUCAUUUUCAAAAUUGUCAAGGACCAAACGAAUAUUUACAUCAAUCUAAUAUUUGAAUUAUUUGAAUCGAAACUCAAAUUACUAAUUCGAGUUGAGUUGAAAAAUCGAAUAACUCAGUUUCAUUAAAUAGAAAUUUAAUUUUUCUUUCUUUAUUCGAAUUAAAUUGAGUUUAAGUCGCCCUUAGUUUUACUCUAUAAAUAGGAUAUUUUUAAUAAUUUUUACCGUUCCUUCCACUUGCUUUUUGUUUGGUCCAAGGUUUUAUAGUUGGAAAUUCCCUUGGACCUUUAAAUAUGUUUAUUUUCUCAAAUUAGUGCGUUUAUGUCAUAAAUAAAAUCAACCUUUUUAUUUAAUGUGUAUUUCAUGUGGACUGGAUACCUGUUUUCUGUGGCUUUAGUUCUUGGAAAUUUCCUUGGACCUUGGAACAAAUUUGUUUCCUCAAACUAAAGUGUUCAAAUCAUGUAUAAAUUGUGGUCAGAUGCCUGUGCUUUUGCAGAAUACAGGUUCUAUUCCCUUUUCUAUAUUGUCUUCUGGUUCUUUCUUCUUUAUGUUUUGUUGCGAAUUUCAUCAGCUUUCAGUAAUCUGAAAAUUUACUGCCUAAUUUAUUACCCCAAAAAAAGCUAUGGAUGAGAGGAUGAUAGAGGCUGCCCAAACAGGAGAUAUAAUUAACCUCUUGUAUGAGUUGAUUCUGAAUGAUCCAUACGUUUUAGAGCGUAUUGAUGCUGUACCUUUUUCUCAUACUCCAUUGCAUAUAGCAGCCUCUGCUGGGCAUAUUGAGUUUAUGAUGGAGAUGAUCAAAUUAAAGCCAACGUUUGCAAGAAAGCUAAACCAAGCUGGGUUUAGCCCCAUGCACUUGGCUCUGCAAAAUGACAGAACUAAAGCAGUGCUUCGACUCCUCAGGUUUGAUGAAGGCCUUGUUCGUGUCAAAGGGAGGGAGGACCUCACUCCUCUGCACCAUGUGGUUCAAACUGGAAAUGUUGAUCUUUUGGUCAAGUUACUUAAGGUUUGUCCUGAGGCUAUUGCAGAUGUGACUGUUCGAGAUGAGACGGUAUUCCAUCUUGCUGUGAAAAACGACAUGUUUGAAGCUUUCCAAGUCUUGGUAGUGGCUUAUAAGAAGCCGCCAUGAGUCUGCCGAACGUUGGGAGAAAGAACUACUGAGUUGGGUAGACAUUGAUGGCAACACUGUGCUACACAUUGCAGCUAUCAGAAACAGACCUCAGGUUUGCUAAUUUUCCUAAUCAAGUCAAUUAUUGAUAUGUAUGUAUAUGAUAAAAGGGUAAUUUACAUUAAUUAAUUUCCAAUUAACAGGUGGUGGAAGUAUUGCUGGGACACUUGCGUCGAGACCAAAUCAAUGCCAAAAAUUUGUAGGGAUUGACAGCACUAGAUAUCCAAUCACAAUACCGAUGGAAUGAAAGGCAAGCGGAUAGGAUUAUAGAUAUGCUAAGCAAAGCAGGAGGUUUGAGUGCUUCCUCUUCCUCGCUUCCGAAUACCUCCAUCUCUUCAUUCCACAUCGAAUCAUUAAAGGAAAAGAUGCCAUGGUUUCAAAAAUUGGAAACAAAAACAGGUCGACUAAAGAACGGUAUUUCAUAUGAGAUGCGUAACACAUUUCUAAUAGUGAUAGUGCUACUUAUAACAACCACUUACGAACCCUCUUUAAACCCUCCAAACAUGCCUUAUGACAGUCCAUCCAUGAAAUACCAAGUCUCCUUAAGUCAAGAUCAGCCUCUCAAUUCCCACACAUUUUUGCAUAAAACCGACAUCAAUACUGCACCCAUACCCAGUCCCUCCGCAAUUGACGUUUCCAAAAAAGAUUAUUGGACAUCUAAUCACUCGUUUUUGGUUUUGAACAUGUUCAACUUUUCGGUUGCAGUUCUUUUAAUAGGACUUCUCCUACCAUAUCAUCCUUUCUCUUUGUUGAUUCACUUACCACUUUCCGGCUGUAUGGUAUCUUACACGGAGUUAUAUGCUUCCUUAUGUGAGUUUUCCAAUAAAAACGCACUUCUUUCUGGCGUUUAUAAUUUUUCCUUUACAAUGUUGCUGCCUUUUCUCGUAGUAUGCGGGUCAAUCUUUUAUGUUAUGGGCAAAGAGACAAAAUUUUCUAAGAAUCGGAAUUAAAUUGUAUAUUUGUUGAAGUUAGCUUCCAUGCAACACAAGCAGCAACAAACGUGUCCAUGCAAGCCACAUGCAGAAAAGAAGCAGCACAUGAAGGCAGCCGCUUGAGCUCGACAUUGCUGUCCAAAUUCAACUAGUUUUGUUGGAUUAAGUUUAUAUUUUGUAACUUAGUUCUUAUAGAACUUAGUUGGUAAACUUUUGAUGUAAUUUUUGAUGAUUGAUUGACUGAAAAUCCAGCCAAUGUAACUUAUGCAAGCUGAUUAACAAUUUCCAAUGUAUUAAGUGGAGUUAGGUAAGUGAUUAGGUAGUAUUUUGAUUUGUAAGUUUAACUCAAUGUUUGAUAUUUGUAAUGCCAACUUGCCAAUGUUUUGUUAAUGAAAAAUUAGCUUCUUUUUCAUUCAAAUUCUCUCCUUUCUUUGCUUUUGUUUUCUAUUUUCCACUUGCAAAGCUUUUCUUCUGUUUUGUUUCUUCCCCAAGCCACGAGGCUUGCUGUCCAAGCAAGGCUAGACCAGCUUGCUUACUGCCUUUAACACCAACAAUAUUUCUGUAAUAAUAAAAAUGAAAAUUUAUCAAUUUAAUAGUCUAUAUUUUUAUAUUUUUUAGAAGAUUAAAUCAAAAUUUUGUCAUUUAUAGGAGUCAAAAUAUAAUUUUAUCAUUACUAAUUUAAAAUUUUAUAAAUUAUAAAAGACUUAAAUAGAAAAAAAAAAUCAUUUUAAGGAGGCUCCAGCUCCCUGACUCCGCCUCUGCAGGUGGGUAACCAGUACCAAUCCAAAAUUCUCCAACCUCAUAAUAUAAUCUUUUACAUUGGCUUCCUCCUUUCUACACUGUGUCCAGUUUCGUGGAUCCUUCUAAUGUAAAUGCCGAAAGCGUAAUGAAGUUUUGGGGUUUGUAUUAGAGAUGGUGAUGGAGUAGUUAUUGGGUUGAGCUGGUUCAUUAGUUCCCUUCAUCUCUUCUACCGGACUCUUAUUCCUUUUUUAUUAUCAAGGGUGAAGGUCUGCACAUACUUUUGUUUAGGCCUAAUCGUCUCUUGAGGAAGAGCUAUGUUGUAAUGAUAAAAGAAGUGCGAAUUUGUUUGUCAAGUAGUUGUUGAAUAAGGAUCUUAACUAGGAUCUUAAAUAAAGGGAAAUGUAUUUGUUAUGUGCUCAUGAUACAUACCAUCGUGAUUCAUCAAAACAGCAUUCUAAAAUAUUUACUUUAAUUGUAAUUACUUGGUAUGCUUUACAAACGAGGUUGAGAUUUUGUUACAUAUUUUGUUUAUUUUUUCAAAAAACGAGGUUGAGAUUUUGUUACAUAUUUUGUUUUUUUUUAAAAUGAGAUUGAAAUUUUGUUACAUAUCUUAUUUAUUUUUCAAAAAAUUCAAUAUAAUUUAAAGGCACGUGACGAUAUAAAUUCUACUUGCACAAUUAAAAAAUUUCCAUUGGAAAUAUUUUAAAUAAUUAUCCUUAAUUCAAAACAAAUAAGUGUUGAGUGUAAUAGUAAAAUAUAUUGCAUUUCCAAGAAAAGAUGUAAGUUCAAACCUUGGAAAUAAUAUUAUUAGAGCGGCAGCCAUGAACUCCGAAUAUGGACCAUAAAAUAGAUAUAAAAAUAUGUAAAAUAUUUAGAAAAAUAAUAAAAUAUAAAACAUCACGUUAGAGUACUAUUACAUAUUACUAUAGAUUUAAUUUUAUGUGUUAUAAAUAAUAUAAUAUAUAAAAAUAACAAAAUAUUUAACAUUACAAACUUAUAAAAACGGGUUUAACCUGGGCUGACCUGGUCUUUAAAUGUUCAACCCCAUUUUUCAAAUCUAAUCUUUUUACCUAAAUCCUCCUCAUUUUUUAAACAAGCGAAUAUUCGGAGGAUUCUUCUAACCAAAAUAGAAAAUAUAUCAAAAAACUAAAAAGUAUAACAAAAAUAAUAAAUAAAAAAUUUACAUAUAAUUUGGAAUUUCUAAUUGUACUUAGAAUUGUAUAACGUAUAAUUGUAAUUUGUCAGCAAAGUUGUUUCUUUUUUUUUCCCCUUAAAAUUCAAAGAAUUCUUCUCCCUUUAUACAUAGGUCAUCGAUUCAGCAUUAGAAAAAGGGGCUCAAAUCGUUUUAUCGACAUGAGUGUUUUAUGUCGAAAAAAUAUUUUUGUUUUGAAAAUAUUUCUGUAUUUAGUAACAUAGUAGUAAAAAGAGUACCCAAUUGCAUCUGAACUUCAAACGGGUUUGGCCUUAACCAUGUUAAUGGUCCCAGAUUAUUGGUUAAUAAAGAAUCAAAGUCGAUGUGCCAAUGAAUCACGAAAUGCUAUAGUUCUAUAGUAUGAUUUUAAAAAUAUAUUCAGAAGUAAUUCGCGAGAUCAUGCACUCUUUUAUUUCCUAGUUAUAAUGAAAAAAAGUACAACUGGGUGAAUCCAGCUUAUUCUUGAAAUAAACAACUCACACACACUCACUUUCCAAAAAAGAUUAAUACACCAAGGACUACACUUAGAUUUAUUAGAUUUGUUGCUAAAAUAUCGGUAUUAACCCCGAAACUCUCGGCAGAUGGCCAGUGACCCAAGGAAACGAAAGAAUCGAUUACAUUUUUCAUAUGAUCUCCUAUUUUAUUUUAGAUAGACUAACAAAAAGAAUUCAGUUUUUUUUUGUAUUAUAUCGCUUUGACUCCUUUUCCAUUUAUUCUAUUCUAUCAUAUUUAUAUUAUUCUAAUUAUUCUAGUUCUAUGUAUUUCUUUAUUUGUUUUAAUAAAUUAUUAAAUUUAUUAUAAAAUUAUUCAUUAUUAUGAUUAUGAAUUUUCAUUUACCUAUGUCUAAACGGAGUUAAAAAUAUAUUCUAUUUAGCUAGUUAGCUAGAAAUGUAUUUUUUUAAUUGAAAAUUCCCAAUAAUAAUAAUUCUUAUUAGAAUUAGGGAGCAGGUUUCAUGUCAAUGGCAAAAUACCUCAUUUGAUGCUACACUCCUUUAAACAAUAAAUAAUAAAUAAGGGGUUCUUUUGAACUAAGAAGGAGAAGGAAGAAAGCGAGUUGGCGUGAUAAUUCUUCAGCCUCAAAUUAAUCCUUCCCACGGAUUAUUGUCCUAACGAAUAUUAAUUGUAGGGGUGAAAUCUUGAUAGAAUUCGAAAAAGCGAGGAGUAAGUCCCAAGCCAUAAAAUAAGAAAAACAAAUACAAAAUUCUCAUGUUUAUAGGAUUAAAUAAAGGGAUUCACAAAUAAGAGUGCCAGUGCUACAACCAGUGCAUAAAUUGUUAAAGCUUCCAUAAAAGCCAAACUAAGCAAUAAAGUACCUUGUAUUUUUUCCUCCGCCUCAGGUUGUCUCGCGAUACCUUCUACAGAUUGGCCCGCAGCAGUACCUUGACCGCCUCCAGGUCCAAUAGAAGCAAGCUCGACAGCCGACCCUGCAGUAAUAACGAAAGCGGCAGAAAUCAGUGGAUUCAUGAUAAGUUCCUCGCACCAAAAUAAAGAAAUAGUUAAUGAUACAAUCAUCCAAUGAAUUUUGACUUAAUUAUAUUAUAUCAUCCAUAUGUUUUACAGCGUAUUGAUGAUGUGCCUUUUUUUAAUACUCAAUUGCAAGUAGCAACCUCUGUUGGGCAUAUUGAAUUUAUGAUGGAGAUGAUCAAAUUAAAGCCAACGUUUGCAAGAAAGCUAAACCAAGCUGGGUUUAGCCCCAUGCACUUGGCUCUGCAAAAUGACAGAACUAAAGCAGUGCUUCGACUCCUCAGGUUUGAUGAAGGCCUUGUUCGUGUCAAAGGGAGGGAGGACCUCACUCCUUUGCACCAUGUGGUUCAAACUGGAAAUGUUGAUCUUUUGGUCAAGUUACUUAAGGUUUGUCCUGAGGCUAUUGUAGAUGUGACUGUUCGAGAUGAGACGGUAUUCCAUCUUGCUGUGAAAAACGACAUGUUUGAAGCUUUCCAAGUCUUGGUAGGGUGGCUUAUAAGAAGCCGCCAUGAGUCUGCCGAACGUUGGGAGAAAGAACUAUUGAGUUGGGUAGACAUUGAUGGCAACACUGUGCUACACAUUGCAGCUAUCAGAAACAGACCUCAGGUUUGCUAAUUUUCCUAAUCAAGUCAAUUAUUGAUAUGUAUGUAUAUGAUAAAAGGGUAAUUUACAUUAAUUAAUUUCUAAUUAACAGGUGGUGGAAGUAUUGCUGGGACACUUGCGUCGAGACCAAAUCAAUGCCAAAAAUUUGGAAGGAUUGACAGCACUAGAUAUCCAAUCACAAUACCUAUGGAAUGAAAGGCAAGCGGAUAGGAUUAUAGAUAUGCUAAGCAAAGCAGGAGGUUUGAGUGCUUCCUCUUCCUCGCUGUUGGAACAUUUGGCAGCAGCAAAAGAAGAGAACAGAGAGCAUAACAAUGAAGCAAGGUGCAAGAAGGAUUUUUACUUGCUCACAAAUGUGCAGCAAGGGAGCUUAUGGCUGAUAGCCUAUUCAGCUCAUUCAUUCAACUAGAAAAACAACAUAUUUAUAGUCAAAUACAUCACCAAAUACUACCUACUACCACUAGUUUUACUUUGAAUUAAGUAAAACUUAACUUGCACACAAGCUGAUUAUGUCAAUCAGCAACUAAAAACAUCAAAACAAUACCAACUUAGUUCAUUUUCAACUAAGUAGCUUAACAAAGAAACUAAAGAGAAAACCUUGCUGCUACAGCAAGUAUACGUGCUGCAGCAUGUCAUCAAGCUGCAUGCACUUCAAACAGCAGCAUGGUUGGCCAAUUUGAACACUCCUCCUUUGGACUCCAUGCUGCAAAUACAUAUCAUUCAGCAAGUUUUUGAACUAGGCAGCCCUUAGAUGCUUUGUUUCAAGCUGACCAAUUCAUUUUCAACCUUGGCCUCAUUCACAAACAAAUCUGACUUACACACUUGACUAUCCCAGUCUUUUGUGGCAAAGAUUUGUUCACCAAAUGGAGUCUUCUCCUCCUUCACAGCCUUGGUUGACAACUUGUUUCUUCUUGCACAAACAGUUCCUGAGUAUAGUUGCUUGCCUUCAUUCUGCCAUUUUGGCUUGCAACUAUACAACACACAUUAAGCUUCCACAUGUUGCUGAGCUCACACCUUUGACAGACUCACAUCUUUGCAUAUUGUCUUCAACAGGUGUCUUCAACAGGCUCGCACUUUGCUAAGCUUGCAGCUUUGACAUCUUGCUAAGCUUGCACAUUUGGAAAGCUCACACCUUUCUUUGAAACUCCUCCUUCAGCUUAUUCAAGCUUGUUUGGGGGUCUUAUAAGUUUGAGCCGGUGUUGAGCAGGGGAAACAAAAUCAAUGGUCCCUUAAGACUUAGGCUCUUGAUACCAUUUGUUGGAACAUUUGGCAGCAGCAAAAGAAGAUAACAGAGAGCAUAACAAUGAAGCAAGGUGCAAGAAGGAUUUUUACUUGCUCACAAAUGUGCAGUAAGGGAGCUUAUGGCUGAUAGCCUAUUCAGCUCAUUCAUUCAACUAGAAAAACAACAUAUUUAUAGUCAAAUACUUCACCAAAUACUACCUACUACCACUAGUUUUACUUUGAAACAAGUAAAACUUAACUUGCACACAAGCUGAUUAUGUCAAUCAACACCUAAAAACAUCAAAACAAUACCAACUUAGUUCAUUUUCAACUAAGUAGCUUAACAAAGAAACUAAAGAGAAAACCUUGCUGCUACAGCAAGUAUACGUGCUGCAGCAUGUCAUCAAGCUGCAUGCACUUCAAACAGCAGCAUGGUUGGCCAAUUUCAACACUCGCUUCCGAAUACCUCCAUCUCUUCAUUCCACAUCGAAUCAUUAAAGGAAAAGAUGCCAUGGUCUCAAAAAUUGGAAACAAAAAUAGGUCGACUAAAGAACGGUAUUUCAUAUGAGAUGCGUAACACACUUCUAAUAGUGAUAGUGCUACUUAUAACAACCACUUACGAACCCUCUUUAAACCCUCCAAAGAUGUCUUAUGACAGUCCACCCAUGAAAUACCAAGUCUCCUUAAGUCAAGAUCAGUCUCUCAAUUCCCACACAUUUUUGCAUAAAACCGACAUCAAUACUGCACCCAUACCCAGUCCUUCCGCAAUUGACGUUUCCAAAAAAGAUUAUUGGACAUCUAAUCACUUGUUUUUGGUUUUGAACAUGUUCAACUUUUCGGUUGCAGUUCUUUUAAUAGGACUUCUCCUACCAUAUCAUCCUUUCUCUUUGUUGAUUUACUUACCACUUUCCUGCUGUAUGGCAUCUUACACAGAGUUAUAUGCUUCCUUAUGUGAGUUUUCCAAUAAAAACGCACUUCUUUCUGGCGUUUAUAAUUUUUCCUUUACAAUGUUGCUGCCUUUUCUCGUAGUAUGCGGGUCAAUCUUUUAUGUUAUGGGCAAAGAGACAAAAUUUUCUAAGAAUCUGAAUUAAAUUGUAUAUUUGUUGAAGUUAGCUUCCAUGCAACACAAGCAGCAACAAACGUGUCCAUGCAAGCCACAUGCAGAAAAGAAGCAGCACAUGAAGGCAGCAGCUUGAGCUCGACAUUGUUGUCUAAAUUCAACUAGUUUUGUUGGAUUAAGUUUAUAUUCUAUAACUUAGUUCUUAUAGAACUUAGUUGGUAAACUUUUGAUGUAAUUUUUGAUGAUUGAUUGACUGAAAAUCGAGCCAAUGUAACUUAUGCAAGCUGAUUAACAAUUUCCAAUGUAUUAAGUGGAGUUAGGUACGUGAUUAGGUAGUAUUUUGAUUUGUAAGUUUAACUCAAUGUUUGAUAUUUGUAAUGGCAACUUGCCAAUGUUUUGUUAAUGAAAAAUUAGCUUCUUUUUCAUUCAAAUUCUCUCCUUUCUUUGUGUUGCGCGGAAGCGUGUAAAAGAGUAAAAUUAUUGUACUAAAAAAUCACACUAAGUUCAAUUCCUAGGAAAGAGAGGUGGAUCACGAGGAUCGCUUAAGUACCAGGUCUUUCCUAGCCAGAAUAUCCCUCUAUCUUAAUUUAGUAGCACAAUAAAUCACUACAAUCACACUCGCAAAAUAUGAAAAAUAAACAAUAAAGAACACUAGAAUUUUAACGAGGUUCAGAAAAUUUUGCCUACGUCCUCGUGCACUACCAAAUAUAUUUCACUCCAAAAUACAAGUGAAAGUUUACAAAUAAGGAGAGAGAACAAUUGCCUUAAGUAGAGAAUGGUAAAUGUGGGAUGUAGAAAAUGAGAAAUAGUUAGGCCUAUUUAUAGUUGAAGCUCAAGGAUCAACUUGCAAAGUCCCUAUACAAUUAGGGACCAAAAUUGCAAUUAUCCCAAGCCAAAUUUCAACCCUAAAAUCUAUGCCUUAAAUGUUUAGAGUUUCGGUGCCAAAUUUCUGACACCAUCCAUCGUUGAAAAGUCAAAGAUGGUUGCCAAUAAUCUCCACCUUGAAGAUUUGAUUAGGAUAAUCUUAUCUUCACACAAUUCUUUCUGCCUUUGACAACAAUACUUGAUAGUGCCUUCUUCAACUGUUAAACUUACAGGAUAUUGAUCAAGUUCAAACAAUGUUCGAACUUGAUUGUUGUUACCACUUUGGUCAUCAUAUCUGCAGGAUUAUCUGCAGUCUUGAUCUUCUGAAAUUUUCCCCCCAUCAAUAAUUUCUCGCACAAAAUGGAAUCGUACGUCGAUAUGCUUUGUACAUGCAUGAUAGACUUGAUUCUUUGCUAAAUGAAUAGCACUUUGACUAUCACAAUACACGUUAAUAUGCUUCUGAACAAAUCCCAAGGUUUUAACCAUACCUUGUAACCAAAUAGCUUCAUUUACAGCCUCUGUUACAGCCAUGUAUUCGGUUUCUGUGGUUGACAACGCAACUGUAGACUGCAGUGUAGACUUCCAACUUAUAAACACAUAACCGGUGGUUGAUCUUCGUUUGUCCAAAUCACCAGCAUAGUCAGAAUCAACGUACCCAAUAACACCUUUACCAAGUGUAGUAUCCUGCUUGAACAGUAAUCUAACAUCCACGGUCUUCAGAAUAUAUCGUAGAAUCCAUUUCACAGCUUGCCAAUGUCCUUUUCCAGGAUUAUGCAUAUACCUGCUCACUAUACUAACUGCCUGUGAAAUGUCGGGUCUUGUACACACCAUUGCAUACAUCAAGCUACCCACUGCAUUAGAAUACGGAACUUGUAACAUGUAUUCUUGUUCCGUAUUCGUCGAAGGAGAUAGUUGUGCAGAAAGCUUGAAAUGAGAAGCCAACGGGAUACUUACAGGUUUUGUUUGCUCGUUCAUGCCAAAUUGCUGUAGUACUUUCUUCAAAUACUGCUUCUGAGAUAAACUAACUCUGCCAUGAGCUCUAUCUCUACAUAUUUCCAUGCCAAUAAUCUUCUUAGCUUCACCUAGAUCUUUCAUCUCAAACUUGAGAUUGAGCUGAGUCUUCAAUCUCUCAAUCUCAACUUUGCUCUUAGAUGCUAUCAGCAUAUCAUCAACAUAUAAGAGCAAGUAUAUGAAAGUUCCUACUUGUAGCUUCUGAAAAUACACGCAAUGAUCAAAUUUACUUCUUGUGUACCUUUGUCCUUUUAUGAACUGAUCAAAUCGCUUGUACCACUGCCUCGGAGAUUGUUUCAAUCCAUAAAGCGACUUCGUCAGUUUGCAAACCCAAUUUUCUUUAUCAGCAACCUUGAAUCCAUCAGGCUGAGUCAUAUAGAUCUCCUCUUCCAAAUCACUGUGUAAAAAAGCCAUCUUUACAUCAAGCUGAACUAGUUCAAGGUCAUAUUGCACAACCAGGGCUAGCAAAAUCCGAAUAGACGAAUGCUUCACAACUGGAGAAAACACUUCAUUGUAGUCUAUUCCUUCUUUCUGAGCGUAACCUUUUGCUACCAAUCUAGCCUUGUAUCGAAUUUCAUUUUUACCAGAAAAUCCUUCCUUCUUUGCAUAUACCCAUUUGCAUCCAAUUGCCUUAUUUCCCUUGGGCAGUGUCACCAACUCCCAAGUCCUAUUUUUAUGAAGAGACUGCAUUUCUUCAUUCAUAGCCUGCUUCCACUUUACACCAUCAGGGUUACUUAUUGCUUCUGUGUAAGUAGAAGGAACAUCAUCAUCUGCAAUUGGAAGUGCAUAGGCCACUAUAUCAUUAAAGCGAACAGGCUUACGAAUCUCUCUUCUUGGCCUCCUAUAUGCAAUUGAAUCUUGUUGCUAUAGAAGUUCUUGAGUCGAAACUUCUUCAUCAUUUGCUCCUUUAGUAUUAGCUGGAUCAUCAUUAACCUUUUCAAGCUCCACCUGCUGCAAAGUGCCACUAGUUUUGUCAUCCUUUUGUGAAUCCUUGUUCUUCAUCAUGGUUGAUUCAUCAAAAGUCACAUCUCUACUGAAAAUAAUAUUUCUUGUAUCAGGACACCAGAGACGGUAUCCUUUUACUCCACUAGUUAUACCCAUGAAUAAUGCUUUCUUUGCUCUUGGGUCUAACUUAGAUUCUUUUACAUGAUAAUAUGCAGUGGAACCAAAAAACAUGUAAAGAAUCAUAAUCAGUAGCAGGUUUACCAGUCCACAUCUUCAUAGGAGUUUUUCCAUUUAUUGCAGCUGAUGGCAACCGGUUAAUUAGAUGGCACGCAUAUGUAACUGCCUCAGCCCAAAAUUCCUUGCCCAAUCCAGCAUUGGACAACAUACAUCGAACUUUCUCCAGUAUAGUCCGAUUCAUACGUUCUGCCACCCCAUUCUGCUGUGGUGUAUCUCGAACAGUGAAGUGUCGCACAAUGCCCUCAUCUUGACAUACUUGUAGAAAUGGAUCAUUUUUGUACUCAGUACCAUUAUCUGAUCGAAGUCGUUUGACCUUUCGACCAGUCUGAGUCUCCACCAUCUUCUUCCACUUCAGAAAUGCAUCCAAAAUUUCACUUUUUCUUUUCAUUAGAUACACCCAUACUUUUCUUGAAUAAUCAUCAACAAAAGUAACAAAAUAGUGCAUACCUCUCAAAGAAGCCACUUUGGUAGGUCCCCACACGUCACUGUGAACAUAGUCCAGAAUUCUUUCCGUAUUGUGAAUUGCUGAACCAAAUUUUACCCUCGCCUGCUUGCCCAGAACACAAUGUUCACAGAAUUCAAAUUUGCAAGAAUUUACACCUUUCAACAAGCCUUGCUUCGCCGAAGUCUACCAAGCUUUUUCACCAGCAUGUCCUAAUCGCAUAUGCCAUAACCUGGUAGCCUCUGAAUCUGCAUCUUUCGCAAAAGCUGUUGAUAUUGAUCCAAUAAUUGUACUUCCAUUUAAAUAGUACAAGUUAUUUCUUCUAGUGCCUUUUAUCACCGUCAAUACCCCAGCUACUACCUUUAGUAAUCUAUCUCUCAAAGUGACUGUGAGCCCUUUAGGUUCUAGGGCCCCUAAUGAGAUGAGAUUUUUCUUCAAGCUAGGUACAUAGCGAACAUCUGUCAAGACUUGGAUUGAGCCAUCGUGAUUCUUCAAUUUGAUUGUACCUACUCCUAUUGUCUUACAAGCACUGUCAUUGCCUAUAAAAACAACUCCACCUUCUAGUUUUUCAAGACUAGAAAAUCAAUCCUUAUUAGGACACAUAUGUUAAGUACAUCCCAAAUCCAAGAUCCACUCAUCCGUAUGACAUGUCAUUGCCAUGCCAACCAAGCUAAAGUCUGACUCCUCAUCAUGCUCCGUUACACAUGCAUCAGAAAUAGCCUUGCCCUUUUGUAACUUAAGACAAUUCUUUUUCCAGUGCCCUUUCUCACGACAAAAAGCACAUUCAUCUUUGGCGGGUCUCCCUUUGGACUUGCCCCUUCUACGAGGUUUGUUGCUGUGUGAACAACCUCUUACUAUUAAGACUACUGCAGUUGUAUCUCUGUGAUCUCUUUUAUCUUUCUUUCGAGUCUCAGAUCUGUACAAUGCACUACAAACUGCAUCAAAUGUGAUCGUAUCCUUCCCAUGAAGCAAUGUGGUGGUAAGAUGAUCAUAUUCAUCGGGAAGAGAAUUCUACAACAAUAAUGCCUUGUCUUCAUCUUCAAACUUCUCAUCCAAAUUUAGCAAGUCUGCUAAAAUUUUAUUGAAUGAGUUCACAUGGUCAUUCAUCGACAUACCGGGUGCAUACGUGAACCGAAAAAGUUUCUUUUCAUAUAAAGCCUAUUUUCAUGACUUUUCGUUAGAAACUUUUCUUCCAGUGUAUCCCACAACUUCUUCGCUAAUGUCUCCCUCAUGACAGAGUACUUCUGCUCUUUGGCCAAACAUAGGCGAAUUGUACCACACGUCUGUCUAUUGAUCUUGGCCCACUCCUUGUCAUCCAUCUUGUCAGGUUUUUCUUCAAGGGCUAUAUCCAACUCUUGCUGACAUAAGACAUCCAGGAUCUCACACUGUCACAUACCAAAAUUAUUGGUACCAUCAAAUUUAUCUACAAAUUUUGCAUUGGUCACGGUAGUCUUUAUUGAUGACGAUGCCUCUGCCAUUUUUCUCCUCAAUCCCAACUACUGUAUAUGUGAACAGUACCGUCUACGUGAAUAGUACAGUGGAUGAACAAUACCGUAUACGUAAAUAGUAUCGUAAACGGUCGUACUCCCCAAGUACGAAUCUAGCUUCGAUACCAAUUGUUGCGCGAAAGCGUGUAAAAGAGUAAAAUUAUUGUACUAAAAAAUCACACUAAGUUCAAUUCUCAGGAAAGAGAGGUAGAUCACGAGGAUCGCUUAAGUACCAAGUCUUUUCUAGCUAGAAUAUCCCUCUAUCGUAAUUUAAUAGCACAAUAAAUCACUACAAUCACACUCACAAAAUAUGCAAAAUAAACAAUAAAGAACACUAGAAUUUUAACAAGGUUCAGCAAAUUUUGCCUACGUCCUCGAGCAUUACUAAAUAUAUUUCACUCCAAAAUACAAGUGAAAGUUUACAAAUAAGGAGAGAGAACAAUUUCCUUAAGUAGAGAAUGACAAAUGUGGGAUGUAGAAAAUGAGAAAUAGCUAGGCCUAUUUAUAGUUUAAGCUCAAUGAUCAACUUGCAAAGUCCCUAUACAAUUAGGGACCAAAAUUGCAAUUAUCCCAAGCCAAAUUUCAACCCUAAAAUCUAUGCCUUAAAUGCUUAGAUUUUCGGUGCCAAAUUUCUGACACCAUCCAUCUUUGAAAAGCCAAAGAUGGUUGCCAAUACUUUGUUUUUGUUUUUUGUUUUCCACUUGCAAAGCUUAUCUUCUGUUUUGUUUCUUCCCCAAGCCACGAGGCUUGCUGUCCAAGCAAGGCUAGACCAACUUGCUUACUGCCUUUAACACCAACAAUAUUUCUGUAAUAAUAAAAAUGAAAAUUUAUCAGUUUAAUAGUCUAUAUUUUUAUAUUUUUUAGAAGAUUAAAUCAAAAUUUUGUCAUUUAUAGGAGCCAAAAUAUAAUUUUAUCAUUACUAAUUUAAAAUUUUAUAAAUUAUAAAAGACUUAAAUAGAAAAAAAUCAUUUUAAGGAGGCUCUAGCUCCCUGACUCCGCCUCUGCAGGUGGGUAACCGGUACUAAUCCAAAAUUCUCCAUCCUCAUAGUAUAAUCUUUUACAUUGGCUUCCUCCUUUCUACAUUGUGUCCAGUUUCGUGGAUCCUUCUAAUGUAAAUGCCGAAAGCGUAAUGAAGUUUUGGGGUUUGUAUUAGAGAUGGUGAUGGAGUAGUUAUUGGGUUGAGCUGGUUCAUUAGUUCCCUUCAUCUCUUCUACCGGUCUCUUAUUCUUUUUUUGUUAUCAAGGGUGAAGGUCUGCACAUACUUUUGUUUAGGCCUAAUCAUCUCUUGAGGAAGAGCUAUGUUGUAAUGAUAAAAGAAGUGUGAAUUUGGUGUGAAUUUGUUUGUCAAGUAGUAGUUGAAUCAGGAUCUUCACCAGAAUCUUAAAUAAAGGGAAAUGUAUUUGUUAUGUGCUCAUGAUACAUAUCAUCGACUCCAACACCCUUAAAAGUGAUUCAUCAAAACAGCAUUCUAAAAUAUUUACUUUAAUUGUAAUUAUUUGGUAGGCUUUACAAACGAGGUUGAGAUUUUGUUACAUAUUUUGUUUAUUUUUUUUAAAUGAGAUUGAAAUUUUGUUACAUAUCUUAUUUAUUUUUUAAAAAAUUCAAUAUAAUUUAAAGGCACGUGACGGUAUAAAUUCUACUUGUACAAUUUAAAAUUUUCCAUUGGCAAUAUUUUAAAUAAUUAUCCUUAAUUUAAAACAAAUAAGUGUUGAGUGUAAUAGUAAAAUAUAUUGCAUUUCCAAGAAAAGAUGUAAGUUCAAACCUUGAAAAUAAUAUUGUUAGAGCGGCAGCCAUGAACUCCAAAUAUGGACCAUAAAAUGGAUAUAAAAAAUACGUAAAAUAUUUAGAAAAAUAAUAAAAUAUAAAACAUCACGUUAGAGUACUAUUACAUAUUACUAUAGAUUUAAUUUUAUGUGUUAUAAAUAAUAUAAUAUAUAAAAAUAACAAAAUAUAUAACAUUACAAACUUAGAAAAACGGGUUUAACUUGGGCUGACCUGGUCUUUAAAUGUUUAAGCCCAUUUUUCAAAUCUAAUCUUUUUACCUAAAUCCUCCUCAUUUUUUAAACAAGCGAAUAUUCGGAGGAUUCUUCUGACCAAAAUAGAAAAUAUAUCAAAAAACUAAAAAGUAUAAUAAAAAUAAUAAAUAAAAAAUUUACAUAUAAUUUGGAAUUUCUAAUUGUACUUAGAAGUAUAACGUAUAAUUGUAAUUUGUCAGCAAAGUUGUUUCUUUUUUUUUCUUCAAAUUCAAAGAAUUCUUCUCCCUUUAUACAUAGGUCAUCAAUUCAGCAUUGGAAAAAGGGGCUCAAAUCGUUUUAUCGACAUGAGUGUUUUAUGUCGAAAAAAUAUUUUUGUUUUGAAAAUAUUUCUGUAUUUAGUAACAUAGUAGUAAAAAGAGUACCCUAUUGCAUCUGAACUUCAAACGGGUUUGGCCUUAACCAUGUUAAUGGUCCCAGAUUAUUGGUUAAUAGAGAAUCAAAGUCGAUGUACCAAUGAAUCACGAAAUGCUAUGGUUCUAUAAUAUGAUUUUAAAAUUUUAUUCAGAAGUAAUUUGCAAGAUCAUGCACUCUUUUCUUUCCUAGUUAUAAUGAAAAAAAGUACAAUUGGGUGAAUCCAGCUUAUUCUUGAAAUAAACAACUCGCACACACUCACUUUCCAAAAAAGAUUAAUACACCAAGGACUACACUUAGAUUUAUUAGAUUUGUUGCUAAAAUAUCGGUAUUAACCCCGAAACUCUCAGCGGAUGGCCAGUGACCCAGGGAAACGAAAGAAUCGGUCACAUUUUUCAUAUGAUCUCCUAUUUUAUUUUAGAUAGACUAAAAAAAAGAAUUCGUUUUUUUUUGGUAUUAUAUCGCUUUGACUCCUUUUCCAUUUAUUCUAUUCUAUCAUAUUUAUAUUAUUCUAAUUAUUCUAAUUCUAUGUAUUUCUUUAUUUGUUUUAAUAAAUUAUUAAAUUUAUUAUAAAAUUAUUCAUUAUUAUGAUUAUGAAUUUUCAUUUACAUAUGUCUAAACGGAGUUAAAAAAUAUAUUCUAUUUAUCUAGUUAGCUAGAAAUGUAUUUUUUUAAUUGAAAAUUCCCAAUAAUAAUAAUUCUUAUUAGAAUUAGGGAGCAGGUUUCAUGUCAAUGGCAAAAUACCUCAUUUGUUGCAACACUCCUUUAAACAAUAAAUAAUAAAUAAGGGGUUCUCUUGAACUAAGAAGGAGAAGGAAGAAAGCGAGUCGGUGUGAUAAUUUUUCAUCCUCAAAUUAAUCCUUCCCACGGAUUAUUGUCCUAACGAAUAUUAAUUGUAGGGGUGAAAUCUUGAUAGAAUUCGAAAAAGCGAGGAGUAAGUCCCAAGCCAUAAAAUAAGAAAAACAAAUACAAAAUUCUCAUGUUUAUAGGAUUAAACAAAGAGAUUCACAAAUAAGAGUGCCAAUGCUACAACCAGCCCAUAAAUUGUUAAAGCUUCCAUAAAAGCCAAACUAAGCAAUAAAGUACCUUGUAUUUUUCCCUCCGCCUAGGGUUGUCUAGCGAUACCUUCUACAGAUUGGCCCGCAACAGUACCUUGACCAACUCCAGGUCCAAUAGAAGCAAGCUCGACAGCCGACCCUGCAGCAAAAACGGAAGCGGCAGAAAUCAGUGGAUUCAUGAUAAGUUCUUCGCACCAAAAUAAAGAAAUGGUUAAUGAUACAAUCAUCCAAUGAAUUUUAACUUAAUUAUAUUAUUCCAUCGCUAAGAUUCAACCUGCCGAAGUAACUAAGAACUCCGAAUGGAAGUGAGAAGAUUAUUGAACUGUCAGAACUAUUUUGCAUCUUUUUUUAGGUCCUAUCCGCUAGAUUUUUUUUGAAUCCGCACAUAUUUUGUUCUUCCCUUUGUUUUUUCCAACCCAUUCUUUACUUUGAAUUCUUCGUUUUUAUCUUUAUUUUAUCUCUUUAUUCAUUCAAUUCAGAGUCAAAGACAAAAUAGAGGAACUUCUAUUCUUCUAUUAGAAUACCUAUCUAAGUCCACAGUAGUAGGUUGGAUUAGAUAUAUUUUAAGUUCGUAUAUAACUAGUCAAUAUCUCAUAUCUCAUAUACAUGUGUUUCUUACAUAACGUAAACCAACUAUUCAUGUCUUAGAUUCAAUUGGAUUCUAGAAUUAUUCCUCAAAGGAUAGACAAUAGCUGUCUUAUAGCCAUUAGAUUCCAUAUACCUAAUUUUACCCCCUUUUUUUCCUAAUAAUUUUUUAUAUCAUUUUUUUAUUGUAAAUUCGUCUCUUCCUUUUAUUUUUUUAUUUAGCAUUAUCUCACAUGGAUACAAUCUAAAUGGACGAAUUCAUUAGACCAAAUCAUUGCAUACAAAUAAAACAUCAAUAUCAGUAUUUGAUUGAGCUAAAUUCAUGCAAUUUAUUUUAUUAUUUAUGAAAAAAAAUUCUUUAGGUCAAUCAUUGAAUUGAAUGUAGAAAUUGACUAAAAUGGGAAUCAUUCUAUAUAAAGAACAACUUUUUUAAAAUCAUAGACCCUAAAUUGAUAAGAAUUCCUAUUCUAAUUAGGACUCAUAAUAUUGAAAUUGAAUAAACAAAAACAAUAUCAAGAUAAAGAUAAUAUUGAUUGAAGGUAAAUAUGAUAUAAAUAUAAGUAAUAAAAAAAUGGACCAACCCUGAAUUUUAGGAAAAAGAUCUUUUCAAUUAGAUCUCUUUCUUUUUUUUAUUACAAUUCUCUAAUAUCAUAAUCUUUUUUGUUAUUACUCUAGAUCGUCGUAUUUGUAUAUUUAAGGUCCCUAAGUAAGUAGAUUAUCCUGAGUUGUACAUACAUUGGAUUGGACCAAGCUAAACUAAAAAAGGGCUAGGCUAUUUCAAAAACAAAAACUAAUCAAUGAUGGCCCUCUAUGGAUUCGCUUAUAUAAGCCGCAGCUAAAGUUGCAAAAAUAAGAGCUUGAAUCCCACUUGUAAAUAAUCUAAGGAACAUGACAGGUAUAGGGACUACUGAAGGUACUAAAGAAACAAGAACAACAACUACUAAUUCAACAGCUAAUAUUUUCCCAAAAAGUCGAAAAACUAAGUGAUAAGGGUUUUGUGAAAUCCUCUAAAAUGUUAAUAGGUAAAAGAAUUGGAGUGGGUUGAAUGUAUUUACUAAAAUACCCCAAUUCUUUUUUUGAAAGACCUGCAUAGAAAUAUGCUACUGACGUGAGUAAAGCUAAAGCAACAGUAGUAUUUAUAUCAUUUUUGGGUUCGGCUAACUCUUCAUGAUGUAAUUGUAUGAUUUUCCAAGUUAACAGAGCGUCCGACCAGUUAGAAACAAAAAUAAAUAGAAACAUAGUUCCAAUAAAGGGAACCCAUGGACCAUAUUCUUCUCCAAUCUAAGUUUUGCUUACUUCUUGAGUGAAUUAAAGAACAUAUUCGAAGAAAUUUUGACCGACAGUUUGAAUUGUUUGUGGAUUCCGAACUGCGAUAACGACGGAACCUAAUAAGAUAGCAAUUAUAACCCAAGAAGUAAUAAGUACUUGGGAAUGGACUUGGAAACCUACUAUUUACCAAUAGAAAUGUUGGCUUACUUCCACACCAGAGAUAUCGUAUAACCCGUUUAGUGCGUUUGAUAUACCAUUCAUAUUGCCCUCUGACAGAAAUAGAAGUUUACUUUUAAAAAAAGGAAUUAUUUUUAUUCAAUCUUCUCUUGCCUACUCAAAUUCUAUAUUUUUGACACUGACGAAACUAAGCACACAAUAUUCACAAUUUUUUUAUCUCUUUUGUGCGAUUCAGGAUAUAGUAACUGAUUCCAUAGAUCUAUGUAAUUCCAAAAAAUAAUUUAUUUAUCUUAUUAUUAAUAAAGGAUUUCGUAUAUAACUAGAAUGACCCUCACAAAUUGCGACUACUAAUUUGUUAAGAAUUAAUCGAAUUAAAGCUAUAGAGUCAUCAUUUGCUGGAAUCGAAAUAUCUGCGAGAUUAGAUUGCUAUUUGUAUCGAUUAAACAAAUUGCUAGAAUUCCCAAAUUGAUACAUUCUCGCAGAGCCGUAUAUUCUUCUUGCUGAUCAAUGAUGAUUACAAUAUCAGACAAUCUCGUCAUAUAUUUAAUCCCGCCUAGAUAUGUUUGUAAGCGAGAUAAUUGUCUUUUUAACAUAGCUGUAUCUCUUUUCGGAAGAUAGUUGAGUCCCCCGGUCUUUUGUUCUGUUCUCAAGUCCCUGAACUUAUGAAGCCUCGUUUUUGUAGUGGGCUAAGUUGUUAACAUACCACCGAGCCAUUAGAAAAAGACAAUUGAAGAAGAAUUGUCCAUAAAUUUGCAGUCAAUAGUUAAUGGUUCCAAUUUAUUUGUCCUGAAUUUUGACUUUUGGAACUGAGAAUCCACAUUUUCUUUUUCAAUAGAAAAGAAAGGGAAAGUUUUUAGAUAUUGUGUGUCUUGAGAUACUAUAACCAAUUGAAGUUAUGGAUCCGAUCUAAAAAUGAAAAAGAAAAGGGAGAUACUCUCCUUUUUUUGUUUGUAGCCUUUUGGUGACAUGGCUGAGCUGUAAGGCGAGGGACUGCAAAUCCCUUAUUCCCCAGUUCAAAUCCGGGUGUCGCUUGAUCAACAAAAAACUCGAAAUCCUAACGUUUCCUAACAUCUAAGAUUCAAGGAAAAACUAAAGUAGUGGAAGGGAAUCGAUAAAUCUUGAUAUGGGAGCCCCCCUUACUAAUGGAGUGGCUACUAGAGGAGUCUUGAAUUAGAUUGGAUAACGGGAGUGUCUAAUUAACUAAUGAAUGGUUGUAGAAGGGUUGGAAGAUACUUUGUAUACAGACGGAUGAAAGUCUCUGAGUGUUCAGACAUCCAAUUAAUAUUAGAUUGGAUAGAUAAUUGACUUUUACUCUAUGAGAGACACCAAAAGAAAGAAUAAGUCUUAUUAUUGAUACAUGUGAGUAACAUUCUUUUGAUACUUCCAAAAGUGUUACUGCGCAUUUUGUUUGUGCUUAAUGGUUCUCGAUUUUACUCGAAAUCAUAUAUAUGUCUAAUUACAAUCUUAAUCCCCAUCAAAGUAGCAACAAAAUCAACAUUUAGUAUCUUAAUAAAGUCUAGGAUCUCUGAGAUAAGUUUUAAAGAGAUUUGAUCCUGUCUCCUUAAAAUAGGGGAUUCGAUUGUUUGAUCUAAUCCAAUAUUCAGGAUACAUUUUUUCUUCUAGAUCGAUUUCCAAUAUAAAAUAACACACGUCCAAAAUAACAAUAAAGAUCAUGAGCUAAAUGUUUUGUUUUAAAAACUUACCAACUCUAAAUAAAACAAGUUAUGUAAUUUACACAGCACAGAAUGCAGUUGUAACUUCCAUCCUCAUCAUUCCUUCAACAAUUUUCUCUUAAAUUUAACAUCUUUGAACAAAACACUAACAAAGGGGAAUCCCACAUUGUGCGGUUUCAUCAACGUUGGUUUCUCCUUGUUUUGGUUUAAAAUUAGGUCAUUUCAAGGGUUUUCCAUUAUAUGAAUGAAGUUUAACAUAAAAAAAAAGUACACAUUCCAAUAAAUAAUCAGAAAAUUAGCGUAAUUUUAAUAACUAGAAUAAAAUUUAUCAAUAUUAUAAAGAAGUGAUAAAUAGCGAUUCCGAAUUUGCUAUUAGCUGAUUUGGUCAAGAUUUAAUACUUCAAUUUAACCAUUUCCAAUUUCCUGGAAGGGAAGGGACCCCUUUUCCCAUACACAUUCAGCAUUGCUCACACUUUUUAGUGCAUGUUCUUUAAUGAAGUUUACUUAUAUUACAACAUCUAGACUUAAUUAUAAACAAAUUAUUUAUAUUUAUUUACUUAAAUAGAUUAUCCUUUACAAUUAAAGACAAAAACAUUCCACUAACCUUUCCUGUCGGAGCAGCUGCCAGGAAGGUACCAAUUGACAUAGGAGGAAAAUUAGAAGUUUAACCACCGAAAGCGAUUAAUUCAAAAAUUAAAGACUAGUAUGGUCCGUCAACAAGGAAACAAUAUAAAGUCAAAAAGGGCAGACAAACAAAGUAGAGAUUUAUGCCUAAAUGGCACCAUAUCAAAGCCAACUUGAUAUCAAGAAAAGAAAUCAUAAAUAAUAUAAUUGUUUUUUGAAAGUAAAAACAAAAUUGUGAUGAAAAAAAUAAAUUUACUUUUUUUUUUCUAAUUCGUUAUAAAUAAAAGGUGAAUUUAAUCUCUUUUACUAUAGAUUAUUAGUAAAAAUAAAAGUUAAAUUUAAAAGUUUUUUCAUUAUUAUAAAUAUAUUAUCAUUGUUUAUAUUUAAUCACAUUUCUAUUUUUUUUAAUAAAAAUGUUUAAAAUUAUCCAUAAUUCCUUCUCAAUAUUUUAAUAGGAGGAUAAAUACAUUCUAUCGUAAUCGAACCCACAUCCUCCUAUACCAACAAUAAUGCCGAUACUAACUGAGCUAACACUCAAUUAGACUAUUGAGUAGAGAAGUUCAUUAACCCAACUAGAUUAUUACUUAAAGUUCUUAGGCACAUCAUAUGUGAAUAAAUUUGAAAUAGAAAGAAAAAAGAACUUUCAAGGAAAAGUGAAAAAGCAAAGGGAAUGAUUAUUAUUUGAUAUAUAGUAGAAUCUUUUAAUUCUAUAAAUGAGAUCUUUUUAUAAUUUUUAUUUACUUUUUUGGAUUUAUCUAUUUUUUUUUUGAAUUUUUAGAAAUUAAUUUAAAUUGAUAGAAUAGGUAAACAAUAGAAUUAAUUUUGUUAUAUUUUUUAAAAUUAUCAAAUUUAUAGAAUAGGUAAAUAUUAAGAGCUAAAAACAUCAAUAUUACAUUAAAAAUUUAACUUAUGAGUAACCUCUUGAAACCGUUUUUUGAACAAAAUUGGCUUAUGAUAUUAUAGAAAACAUAAAAUUUUAAUUUUUAAACCGUUGGGUUUUUACUAAGAAAAUAGAAAUCGCAACCAUUCAUUUUAAUAAGGUGCGAUCGAUCACCUAAUAAAUUAACUUUUUAAAAUGAAAAUUUUUUGAAAUUCUCUUAAAAGGAUAAUUUUUUGAAACUACGUUUAGGGUUUGGGAUAUGUACAAGAAAAAUUAUAACACCUUCGUAAUGCCCAAAAAUUGAUAACUUGUUCAUUACGUGUUGUAUCAUAUCUUAGAAAUAUGAGUUCAAACUUUCAGUACUUAAUUGUCAUCCUUUAAAAUUAAAAUGAAUACAAAUUUAUUUAAUGAGCGAAUUUAAAAUUGAAAUUUGAAAAAUUGUCAAAUUUUGCAUUUUUGUUUAUUUAAAAGACAUUUUUUUUAUUCAUCCGAGUUUGAAAACAGCAUUCCAUCAUUAAACACAAUCAACAAUAUCAUAUUCCAAAAAUUUUGGUAUCGACCUCAUCAAUUUUUUAAUAUUGAAAUGUCAGCAAAAUAUAUUUAACGAAUAUACAUAAUAUCACAAUUAAAUGUCAAUCUCAAUCACGAAAUUCAACUAUAUUUCAAAAAAAAAAAAAUCUUCACAUGGAUUUUAUUUUAUGGUAUAUGUCAUGACAGUUAUUAUAUAACAAGAAAUUGGCAACCUAGCAAUGGCAUGGCGAUAUAAUUUGAACAAAAAAUUUGGGAUAUUCAAGUUUGAAGAGACAUGGAAUCACACUAUAAUAUUAAGGCAUUACAAUAUCUUCAAAAACAUCAGUCACAUAUCUCAACAACAUGAAGAGAAAAAAAUAAAGCUGCAUAAGGGAACUAUACCGAAGUGCCAAGCAUUGUAAUGUUGUGAGUGCUUACAUAUAUGGACGCAUAGAAAUUAAAUUUGAGAACAAAGACUCCUGGGGGAAACCAAAACUUCGAAUAUAGAUCUGGGUGAAACCAGAAUUUUGAAAUGACUAACUGGACGAAACUAAAAUUUGGAAAGUAGACUGAGCAAAACCAGAAUUUGAUUAUUUAGGUGAUUAUUUGAUGCUAAUGGUGAAUUUUAUACUCUUAAUCCUUUAAAUUCAUGUUUUAAUGCAUAAUAGAGCAUUUGGGUGCAAAAUGAGUGAAAACCGAAAAAUCGGAGCAAGUUAUAGGAGCCACAUGGGUUGACCUAUUCCACACGACCUAGACACAUGACCGUGUGAGCCACACAGCCAUGUAGUAGGCCAUGUUGAUUUCGUGAAUUUGCACCCUAAACUGUGGGAAAUCGCAUUUUUUAGAUUUUUCAGGAAUUCUAAGACGUAUAUAUGAUAAAAGUAAAAAGAUAGGAAUGAGUCGUCAUAGAAUACUCAAGAAAACAUCUCGACAAACACCAUUGAAACUAAUUCUAAAGUAGAUUUCCGUCAAGAUUGAAGAUUCUCAUUUGAUUUCUUUGGAGAUUGUCAUGAGUUUCUUUAUUUCUUUUCAAUUAUACUGUGUUUUGGAUUUUUUUAUUUUAUUUUCAAGCAUGAACUAAUUUUCUAAAUACCUAGGGGAGAUGAACCCUAUGAUAAAUUCUGUCUUUUGAUUUUUAUUUUUCGCAAUACAUAUUUAGAUCUUGUUUUCAAUUAUGUGUGCCUAAUUCUUGCUUUAAUAUUUCUAAAUUAUUGAUUUAUAUUUGAUGUACUUAAAUCAGAGGAGGAAAAGACCCUGUCUGAGAGUAGAUCUUGUGUAAUUGAGUGGAGUUACAUGCAAUUCUAGACAUAGAAUGACAUAAAUAUACUGGAUUAGAUUCAAAUCUAAUGGGCGAAUCCAUAGCACGAGUUAAUGCGAUAAUAGGGGUCUUAAUUAGAAAGAAAAUUCAAUUAAUCAACCUAGAGUCAGUUACUCUUCUUCUCGAAAGUGAUAUUAACAUAAUUUAGGGAUUUUUACAGAUCAAUAUACUAAGUAAAGAAAUAGCGUAAUUUAGAUUGAUAGUUACAAAUGAAAUUUAGGCGAAUUCUUUCCUGAGUAUUGUUUCACUUCUUGGUUAUUACUCUUUUUUUUAUUUGUUCUUUGAUCGUGUUCGUUAGUUAAUUAAUUUAGUUAAUUUUAGUUUUAAUCAUUCACUCGAAUUUAUCGGUUAAAUAAUAGAAAGACAAUAAUAACUAGUACUUUUAGUCUUCGUUGGAAUGAUAUAUUUGCUCAUUGUAACUAUAUUAUUAAUUGAUAAGUCCACUUGCCUUAGCCAAAUUUUUAAUUAAUUUCGUGAGACAUUAAUACUUUCUUGUUAUACUACUCUUACAUUGUUCUAUAAAAAAUUACUACAAAAAUACUUUAUAGAAAUUUAUUUUCUUGCUAUACUCUACUCAGUACUUAAUGAACUAUUUUCUUCAGUAUAAAACACAAACAAUCACCAGACUUCAUUGUAUUCUCAAAGUUUAUUUUUUCUUAAAACUCAUUUGCACACUAAGUAUAGGUGCGGUGGAUAGGACUUUAAAGAUAAUGACUUGAUACAUGUCUUGAAGCCUUAUCUUAUUGCUUUGAUUUUCUAUUCGUGUUGUUGUUCAUGCUUCGUUCAUAUGUUUGAGAUUUUCCUCACCAAAAUUCGGCAUUACCAUUUAAUUCUUCUUUAAGUCAUCCCAUAACUAUUUGUUCCAUUAAAUUUUGGUCAUAUCUACUUUCAUUUUUCAAGGGUUUGAUUAAGACUUCAUUAAUUUGUUAACCAUUACAGAAUUUGGGCCGAAGCCCAUAGAUUGUCAUGAAUAUUGGUUUAAUAAGCUCUCCUUUUGAAAACAUCACAACCACUUAUGCUCCUCAAUGAAUCACUACUUUCCCACUACACAAACAAAUUGUCACUCACACAUCAAACAAAUCACAUUCAAGAGACUACAAGGCCUUGUUAACAAAAGCAAACAAGACCUCAUACAAGAGAUGAAAGGGGACCAAUUAACCAGCUGAAACGAAUAAGAAUUCAACGAAGAUCACUCAAAGAAAUUGGAGUGCUUCAAUAUGGUUUCGGUAUUAAGGAUAGCUGGAACAAGAAUAAAAGCAAAGAGGAUAAAGGAAACGAUUUGUACGAGGACGAACAUCUUUGUUUUAGGCACAAACCUGCAGAAAACAUAACGGGCUAUCCGGUAUGAAACCAGCAGUGCUAGCGAUGUUGACAAGCAGUAAUUUAGAAUGCAGAGAGCACGAUAGGUCAAGGGUAUAGUAGUUUGAAGAGAAACCACAUACUGAAGUUUCCACGACCAUGUGGACACAGCAACUAAAAGCAUGUAACAGGUCCCAAACAAGGAAAGGGUUAUGAGAAGAAACAAGCUGAUUGAACGACUUGGUAGGAGAUAUGCUGUUAACCCGAUUGCUGCCCAAAAGGUUAAUGUGUUGUAUAACCAAAACAUGGAUGAUACGUCUAUUAAAUCUGACCAAUUAAUCUGAUCAUCGGCCAGUGGUGGCAGAGGACCUGGUAGGGGUGCAGUGCUGUCGGUUGAUUCUAAAGAUGCGUAAUACUUGAUAUGGUAUUUCAUGGAUGAACUGUUAUCAGCUUUCUUUGGAGGGCUUAAAGAGGCAGCGUAAGUGACUGUUAUAAUUAGCACUGUCACUACUAGAAAUGUAUUACGCAUCUCAAGCGGGAUACCCUUUCUUCCUCGACCUGCCAUUGUUGCAAAUUUUUGAAAACAUGACAUCUUCGGCCUUAAUGAUUUGAUGUGGAUUGAAGAGAUGGACUUAUUGGGAAGCUUGGAACCACACAAACCUCCUGCUUUUGUUAUCAUAUCUUUAACCGAGCCCUUAUAAUUAUUCACUUGCCUUUCAUCCAAUGGACAGUCUGGUUGGAUAUCUAAAGCAGUGGAUCCCUUCAAAUUUUUGGCAUUGAUAUGGUCUCGACGCAAGUGCCCCAGCAAUACUUGCACCACCUGUUAAUUAGAAAAUUCAUGUAAAUAACCCUUUUAUCAUAUACGUAUAUACAUCAAUAAUUGAGUUAACUAGCAAAUUAGCAUACCUGAGGUGAGUUUUUGAUAGCUGAAAUGUGUAGGACAUUGUUGCCAUCAAUGUCUGCCCAACUAAGCAGUUCUUUCUCCCAACGUUGGGCAGCUUCAUGGCGGCUCCUUAUAAGCCACCCCACCAAGACUUGAAAUGCUUCAAACUUGUCGUUUUUUACUGCAAGAUGGAAAACCCUCUCGUCUCGAACAGUCACAUCUUCAACAGCCUCAGGGCAAACCUCAAGGAACUUGAUCAAAAGAUCAACAUCUCCAGUUUGAGCCACAUGAUGCAGAGGGGUCAAGCCUUCCCUUCCUUUAACACGAACAAGGCCUUCAUCAAACUUGAGGAGUCGAAGCACAGCUUGAGUUAUGUUAUUUUGCAGAGCCAAGUGCAUGGGGCUAAACCCAGCUAGAUUUAACUUUCUUGCAAACGAUGGCUUUAAGUUGAUCAUCUCCAUCAUAAAAUCAACAUGCCCAGAACUGACUGCUACAUGCAAUGGAGUGUCAAGAAAAGGAACAUGAUCAAUACGCUCCAAAACAUAUGGAUCUUUCUGAAUUAGCAAAUACAAGACAUUAAUGUUUCCUGUUUGUGCAGCCUCUAUCAUUCUCCAAUCCAUAGCUAUGGAGAAGUGGAGGUAAUAAAUUACGCAGCAAAUUUUCAGGCUACUGAGAAAUGAUGAAAUUUGCAGGAAAACACAGAGAAUAGAGACACAUAAGACAAUAUAAAGGGAAUAGAAGCUAUAUUUAGCAAAACACACAGCAAUCCAACCACAAUUUUAUACAUGACUUUAAACGCGCUAGUCUGAAGAGAAACUUCUUAAAAAGUCGAAGGUAACUUUCACACUCCAAUUACGACUUGUUUAAAAGAAUAGAAAAUAUAGAACCCAUUUUGGUUGAAUGGAAAUCUUACUUCCGAAAAAAAAAAUCUAACCAAAAGGUUAGAGGUACAUAAAAUCGAAAUGAAACCCAACUCCUAGAACAGGAGGACAACAAACAGCUAUCAUCCUGGAUUAAAUAUAAAUGUUAAUUUCAUUCUAGAUACACAAUGCUUAAUAUAAUAUACUUCAACACACUCGAAUCCACGCCCUUCUGACAACAAUGUCAAUUGAACUAAUACGCAAUAAAUAACACCACUAUAUUUAAUUUUUUUAAAAAUAAUAACAUAUAUUUUAAAAAAUUCAAUUUAUAUGAGCCGGCCACCUUGCUAAGAUGAGAUUUUUUUGUUGUUUUUGGUCAUUUGCUUGUUAAAUUAACAAUUUUAUAUGAAUCUAUGUCAAAGCUGAACAUUUGGCAUACAUUCAUAUUAUAGAUGAGAUAGGUGAUUCACAUCAAAAUCAAAAUGUCGAGAGUCAAUAAGAAAUUUGAAAAAUACGAAAAGAGCUUCCAAUGAUAUCAUUGACGUUAAAGUAGGAAGAAGAAACUUGAUCUCUUUUUGUGAAGAAAAGGAAGAGAUCUUAUAUUGGUGGUGGAUUUAAUAAUGAGCCGGCCGUGGACCUCGAUGAAUGGUUGCUUUAUUUAUAUAGGAUUUGGUGGUAUGUAACAGGAUAUGGCUAGACCUCACUAAGAUAUGAUCAACCAUGCUGUAGAUAGUUGGUGGCAAGAUUUCUAUGAUGUGUAUUGGUAGGAUGAAGCUAGAAAAUUUUGUAGGGAUCAAAAUUAAAUUGUAUUUUUACGAUAAUAAAAAUAUAAUUUCAUCAUUUUAAUAGUCUACGUUUUAUAAUUUUUAAAAGAUUAAAUCAAAUUUUUAUCAUUUUUAGGGGGCAAAGUGCAAUUUUACCUUUACUAAUUUAAAAUUUUAAAGAGCUUAAAUGAAAAAUUUUCUAUUUUAGGGGAGACGGGCCCUGCCAGCCCCCUUAACUAGGCCCUUGUGUACUAGGAAGCAACAAAUGUAAUUGGAGGGUUCCGAUUGGAUUUGAUGGUGAUUCCAUAAGCAAACAAGACCCUAGUAAGGGGCGAACGUUUGAUUGAAUCGAGUAAAAAAAUUGAGUUAGUCGAGUUUACAAGCCUUGUUUUUAUCAUCUUAUCUCGACUUGAAUUUUUUUGCAUUCGAGUUCAUUGAAAUAAAAUUUCAUUUAAGUCGAAUCGAAUCAAGUGAAAUUGUUUGAGUUAAAUUUAAAAAAAUUAAACAUGUCAAGAUAAAAUCUUGUUACAAUAUAACUAAUUCUAUGUAAGAGCACAUAAAUUUGAAACAAUAUAUAUAUAUAUAUAUGAAAACUAUAAGAGAAAAAUAUAAUAUAUUUAAUACGAUAAACUUGAAUUGGUAAAUUUACUUGUUUAGAUCCUCAAAAUUAAUGUAUUGAAAAAUUUUAAACAUUUUUUUAUAUAUUCUUUAUUUUUUUUAAUUUUAAAAAAUUAUGAAUUUUUUGGAAUUUUUGAAAAAUAAUUUGAAUAUUUGAAAUUUAUUUUGAAUUGUUUUGUAAAUUUUUGUUGAGAGAGAUCGAUUUGAUCAUUUUUUAAAAUCGAUAGGGGUCAAAGGAAUAUUUACACUAAUCAAUUACACGAAUUGUAAAAUUCAACUCGACUCGAAUUCGAAAAAUUGAACUACUUGUUUAAGUUGACUUGAAAAAAUUGAAUAACUCGAUUAUUUCAAUUCGAUUAACUCAAAUUUUGAAAAAAAUAUUUUUUAAAUUAAAUCGAGUUUUGAUAAACCGCAUCUAUCUAGAUGAAAUGCCUUGAAAUUAGUUCAUCAUCAAUUAGAAAUUAGUUAUUUGACUCCUACUUUAUUUAAUAACAGAAGUCCAAUAAAUUUUAACUUAAUUAGAUCACUUUAAAUUUGGGCUAACCUUUUAAGAUAGUAAAUAAUAACAUGUAGUUGACAUUAUUAUAUAUGUUAUGUCCAUAUUUUUCCAACACAAUUUUAUACAUGACAUUUGGUUUUGUGCAGUUUUACGCAUGAAUUUUUUAUUUGAUUCACUAAAUCAAAGUAUCCACUGGAGCGAGCUCAAUACUAGCCUUUCACGUUCCGUAGGCCCAUUAAAUAAGUAGGCGUUUGCCACGAGUUUUAAAGUUACUCCAUACUUGGACACAGUUAUAUAUAUUACUUUAUUUUGUGUGAUGCACAAAUUUAAUUGUGUGGAUCAAUUAAAAUGUAUUCUCAAUGUUUCUAGUUGUUCGUGCAUUAUGCUACUUAAUCUUUGAUUUUGUCUGGUCGGUAAACAGUACGAAUAAAAAAUUCUUCGUCCUCGUACUAAUCGUUUACAUUGGCAUGGUUUCUAGCCCAAUCUAAAUACCGAAACUGUAAUGAAGUUUUGGGUUUUGUAUUAGUGAUAGUGAUGGGGUAGUUCCCUUCAUCUCUUGUACCGGAGUCUUUUUCUUUUUCUUUUUUUUGGUAUCAAGGGCGAAGGUCAGGUCACAAACUUUUGUUUAAGCCUAAUCGUCUAUUGAAAGGGUGAAUUUGUUUGUGAAGUCGUGGUUGAAUAAGGAUCAUAACCAGCUGUGCUUUUAUUGUAUUUUGUUCUUUUUGUAAUACAUCUUGAAGACAAUUCGAAGUCACAUAUCUUAUUUAUUUAAAAUCAAUAAGACUCAUGCCAAAAUUCCAUUUUCACUUGUAGGUUAAAAUUUUCAUGUUCAGUGUCUUAAAUAAUUAUUUUUAAUAUAAAAUCAAUAACGGUUAAAUACAAUGAUAAAACACAGUGCAUUUUUAAAAAAAGAUAUAAGUUUAAAUAUUGAAGAUAAUAUUGUUGAAUAGACAACUAUAAAAUUUAAAUAUAAAUUGUAAAACAGACAUAAAAAAGAUAUAAAAAAUUACCUUUAUUUAUUUAAUUAAAUAAAUUACCCUUUACAGUUUAAUCUAUACAAUUUCACUAGCCUUUCCCGUAGGAGCAGCCGUGAGGAAGGGACGAAAUGACAAUAGAAGGAGAAAAAUUGGAAGGGUUUAACAAGGAAACAAUAUAAAGUCAAAAAGGGCAGACAAAAAAUUUGCCUUUUCCAUUGAUUUUAGUUCUUGUCUUAUACUAAUAAAAUUAUGCCAUUGAUAUGUUCAUAAACAAAAGUUUCAAGGAAAUGGCACCCCCUGGUCUGAACCACAAAGCCAACUUGAUAUCAAGAAAAGAAAAGAAACCAUAAAUUCUUAUUUAUUGAAAAGGCUAAUAUUUAAAGUAUAAACACAAUUGUGAUGAAAAAAAUAAAUUUACCAUAAUUCCUCUUCAACCACAAUCUUUAAAUAAAAGGAUAAAUGUGUACCAACUAUUAAUCGUGCAUCUAUUUUGUUGAUUAGAGAAGUUCAUUGAACCAAUCAGGCUAUUAGGUAAAGUUGUUAGAGAUGUCUGAAAGAAUUGGGUAAAUAGAGAGAAAUAUCCAGCCAAACAGAGAAAUAUAAAAUGGAAAACUUCUUUUUGUUUGUUUAUUCCAAAAUCUUAACUCUCUGAAUACACAUGUUCAGUAUUUAUAGGCAUGAGUAACCGCUCCAUAUUGAGCAACAACCUUCACCGGAUACAUAACUAACUAACAACCUAUAAUACUCUAAUAUUCAUCCAUCUUCCCCACAGGCAAAACCCGUAGACAAUUCCGAAACCAAGCAAAAAUCGAUAGUGAAAGUGGCUUAGUGAGAACAUCAGCAACUUGAUCACACGCCGGAACCUCGCCAACGGCAACAGUACCAUCAGCAACCUUUUCACGAACAAAAAACAAAUCUAAUUCAACAUGCUUAAACUUUGAAUGAAGAACAGGAUUAGCAGCAACUGCAACCGCACCAGAACUAUCACACCAAAUAUUUGGAAUACUAGAAGACCGAACAUGUAACUCUUGAAGUAACGACAAAAGCCAUGUAACCUCACUAGUAACCGCAGCAAGACUCCGAUAUUCUGCCUCAGCAGUAGACCGAGCAACAACCUGUUGUUUCUUCGUACACCACGACACAGGAUUACAUCCGAAAUAAACACAGUACCCGGUAGUAGACCUUCGGUCAUCAAAAUCUAACCCCCAGUUUGCAUCAGCAUACCCAACUAAGGACAGAUUAGGUGACGGACGAAACAUAAUCCCAAACUCAAUCGUUCCACCUAGAUACCUCAAAAUACGCUUUAGAGCCGUCAUAUAGACAGAAGUGGGACAAUGCAUAAACUGACAUAUUUGAUUCAAAGCAUAUUCAACAUCUGGUCGCAUAAGAGUGACAUACUGUAGUACCCCAGCAAAGCUCCUGUAUUCAGUUGGAUCCUCUAAACACUCACCACCAUCUUUAGUUAAGAAAGAAGAACUAACCAUCAGUGUAUUAACACUCUUCGCAUUUUCCAUCGAACACCGAAUAAGAAUAUCACGUAUAUACUUCUUCUGACAUAGAUAAAGACAACCUGAUGAAGAACGAGUAACUUCUAUCCCAAGAAAAUAAUGAAGAUCGCCCAUGUCCUUAAGUGAGAACUCACUAUUCAGCAAUUUAACAAACCAUUCUAUAACAGAUGGCACAUCACCUGUCACAAUAAUAUCAUCAACAUACACAAGAACAUACAACGUUGAACCGGAAACAACCCGAACAAACAAGGAAGCAUCAGACUUCGAUACUACAAAGCCCACAGAUACUAGAAAUCCUUUUAGCUUCUCAAACCAGGCACGAGGGGCCUGACGAAGACCAUACAACGCUUUCUUCAAACGACAUACCAGAGGUCUGCCAUCGGAACCAUACUGUACAUAGCCAGGAGGUUGAUGCAUGAAGACUUCAGUAUCAAGAUCUCCAUUUAGAAACGCAUUAUUCACAUCCACCUGUCGAAGGGACCACCCCCUAGACAUAGCAAUAGACAGAAUAACUCUGAUAGUAGCCGGUUUUACCACCGGACUAAACGUUUCCUUAAAAUCACAACCUGAAACCUGAGAGCAGCCUUUCGCAACCAAGCGAGCCUUAUGGCGAGUAAUAGUACCAUCAGAAUUCCUCUUAAUCCUGAACAACCAUUUGCAUCCUAUAAUCUUACGAUUAGACGGAGCUGAAACUAGCUCCCAUGUGGAAUUGCGCAUAAGAGCAUCAUACUCAUCUUGCGCAGCAGCACGCCACUCAGCAGUAGCAAGAGCUUCUUCAAUUGUAGAAGGUUCUUUAACCUCAACAUGUAAAACCUUAGGCUUGUAAACUCCCGCUUUAGCUUAAGUGACCAUUGGGUGAGUAUUACCCACAGGUGGUCUACUAACUUGACUGUCAGAUGACGACGAAACGCCUUCAGACAGUCUUGAGAUAGACUGAGGAUGAUCAGUAAAAUCACCUAGUGAAGCCGACUCAUGCAAAAUUGAAAGAGCAUCCAACCCAGACCCAACAUCAUCCGAAGGAGCAUGAGAUUGCACCAAAUCUGUAUUUGAAGUAGAAACAUUAGGCUGAGACUGGAACCCUUGAAGAGAUGGUGACACAACACAAGGCAUAGGAGACGACGAAGAAGAAACAGUGGGCCACACAACGGGAACAACAUUCGAACUAGUCUGACUGGUCUUCGUCAUAGACUUAUCAGGGCUAGACUCAGCAAACAAAAAUCUCUGCUCAUCAAACACGACAUGUCUCAAAAUAAUAACCUUACCAUCCGGUAAAAGACACUGAUACCCCUUAUGACGAGGACUGUAACCCAACAAUGUAGACGGCUGAGACUGAAAAUCCAAUUUAUGACCAACAAACGGACGUAAAUAAGGAUAGCAGCAGCAGCCAAAAACUCGAAGAUGAUCAUAGGUCGGAUCAUUACCAUAAAGUGCCUUAAACGGAGAAUUUCCCUGAAGCACAACAGUAGGAAGUCGAUUGAUCAGAUGAACCGCGCAACAGAACGCAUACCCCCAGUACUGCAUAGGCAAACUCGCAUGAGCCAAUAACGUAAUACCCAUUUCAACAAUGUGACGAUGUUUACGCUCAGCCACUCCAUUUUGUUCAGAAGUGUACAGACACGUCAAUCGAUGAAUAAUUCCCUGGGAUUCCAAAACAGAUGUAAAACCACGGUAUUCUCCUCCCCAAUCACUCUGAAACUGCUUAAUAGACUUGCCAAAUUGUGUCUCAAUUAACUUUUGAAACUGAGUGAAACACUCUAUUGCUUGAGCUUUUUGACGUAUAAGAUAAACCCAGGUAAACCUAGUGCACAUGUCAAUAAACGAAACAUAAUAUCUCUUUUCAUCACAUGCAACAGAUGCGGGACCCCAAAGAUCAGAUACAACUAACUCAAAAGGUUGAUAACUAGUAGUAGAAGGUGAAAAAGGCAACUCAAAUUGACCUCCUGUAACACCUGAACUUGACGAUUCUCACAAUCAACCAACGCAUCAACCACACGCUUUAACGGCAGUACACCAGUCGACAAUCGAACAGACGAGAUGACCGCCUCAUAUUCCGACAGCAAUCCCGCAAGCACCACUUCAACCUUCUCUUCAUCAGAAAUACGCGAACCGGACGUAUCUAACAUAGCACAGAGAUCUUUAAUCUUAGCAACAUAAGUUUUAAUAGAGAGGUUACAUUUCUUCAAGGAAUGAAGCUCAUGCCGAAGUCUCGAUUGCUUGGCGCCAGUAUUGGUCGCAAACAGAUUAACGGCCAUACUCCAUACAUCACAAGCCGUGCAAGCAUCAUCAAAGGAAGAUUGAUGAGAAGAGCUUACUGUAGAUAAAAGCCAGGACGUCAGAAGUCGAUCUUGCUGCAUAAACACCUGAGCCGCCGGAUUUGGAGCACGCAAGCCAUCGGGUAGAAGAUUGAAACGUGAUGGUAGAGCAAUGGUGCCAUCUAAGAAGCCUGUAAGUCCAUAACCAUCAACUAUCAGUUUUACCUGUUUGCGCCAUUGAAGAUAAGUACCUUCAUCAAGUUUAACGACUUCAUGCCGAGGAAAGACAUUCGUGACACGAUCGGCAUCAAACACACCGGAGCUAGGUUCACCAAACUCAGAAUCAACGGAAGCCAUACUAAGAAAAAUCCAGAAUCAACCUGCGAAUGAUACCAUGAAAGAAUUGGGUAAAUAGAGAGAAAUAUCCAGCCAAACAGAGAAAUAUAAAAUGGAAAACUUCUUUUUGUUUGUUUAUUCCAAAAUCUUAACUCUCUGAAUACACAUGUUCAGUAUUUAUAGGCAUGAGUAACCGCUCCAUAAUGUCAUACGUGAAUAGAUUUAAAAAAGAAAGAAAAAAUAACUUUCAUCAUUAUAAAGGAAAAGUGAAAAAGCAAAAGGAAUUAUUAUUUGAUUUAUAGGAGAAAUUUUUAACUCUAUAAAUGAUAAUUUUUUAUAAUUUUUAUUUACUUUUUAUAAUUUUUAUAUUUAACAAAAUUAUUUUUUAAAAAUUUUUACAAUCUAAAUUAAAUUGAUAAAAUAUAUAAAUAAUAAGGUUAAAAUUUUUUUAAUUAUGAUAAAAUUGAUAAAAUAUAUAAAUAUUAUUAAAAAUUAAAUCAUCAACAUUAUUCUAUACUAACGAUUUAACUUAUAACCUGUUAGAAACAAUUUUUGAACAAAAUUGGUUUGAUGAUGGCUCCAAAUAAAUUUCAAGUCUAACGAACUUGUAUCAACAUCACGAAAUUCAACUAUAUUUCAAAAAUAUAUAUAUAUAAAAUAUAUAUAUUUAGGACUUUUUUAUGGUGCAUGUCAUGACAGUUAUUAUAUAACAAGAAAUUAGCAAUGUAAAAAAGGCAUGGAGAUAUAAUUAGAACAAAAAAUUUACAAAAUAGGGACGCUUGGGCUAUGAAGAUACUUAAAGUUUGAAGAGACAUGGAAUAUUAAGGCAUUAGAAUAUCUUCAAAAACAUCAGUCACAUAUCUCAACAACAUCAAGGGAAAAAAAAGAAAGAGCUGCAAAAGAGAACUAUACCGAAGAGCCAAGAAUUGUGAUGUUGUGAGUGCUUACAGAUAGACAUUAAAUUUGAGAACUUGAACACUGCUGCACUGCCACACAGAUCAAAUACUUGAUGGUUUAGUUUUAAGGAAGAAGGUAGUGAAAUUGUUGAUGGGAAAAUGGAGGUUCUAAUCCCGCUCCUUGUUGGAGACAAUUGUCUCAAGCUUUUUCCUUGUUUAAAGGUUCUCACCCCAAAACCCUUGCAUUCUUUUUUUUAAAACUCAAAAAGGAACUUUUAACUUCCUUUCUCCCCACCGCACCCAUGUAACUGCUUAUAUAUUAUAUGUACGUAAUAUGUAUAUAUUAUAUGUAUGUAAUACGUACAUAUUAUAUUAUAUAUUAUAUAACCCCACAUAUAUGUAUAUAUAUAUAUACACAUAUAGCAUUUUGUCCCUCAUUGCACAUCGGGGUUCGACAAGUGUUGCGGCUGAAGUAGUGAGAAUAUACAUUUUGUCUUGAUAGUUUUAAAAAGAUUGUUUUUAAAGAUAUUUUCGAUAUUUCUAAUUUAAAAAGAAAUUUAAUUUUAAUUACUUGUUAAUUUAAAGACAGCUUUAUUAUGACUUUUAAUAAUAGUAUUGUAAUUUUUAGAAAUUGUUCACUUAUCUAUAAAGGAUUGAUACAAAACAAUCUCUAUUUUAUCGAACUAAAGAUGUACACAAUGAUAGAAAUCGAAAUUGCAAAUAAGGAACUUAAAACUUUGUACUUUUGACAUUUGAGAUUGGGCCGUAUUAAGUAAGAAAAAAUUACUAACUUGUGAAAGAUGACAAUUUAAGUACACUUAGGGAAAUUUAUCUCCGACAAUGUGAAUCUUACUUGAAAAGUAAGAUUUCCAAGUAAUCUUUUAUUGAAAAAGGUACUAGAGUAAUUCAACCUUCAGAAUUUAUUCACACUAAUGCAUGUGGCCCCAAAAAUUUAUUGCGCGAAGCGAUUAUGAUUAUUAUAUUAAUUCAAAAUAUAUACAAUUGAUUUACCAUGCAUUGUAUUUUUCUUUAUGAUUCGUUUUACUUUUAGAUUAGGAAGGCCUACAAUAAGUAUGUAAAUGCAAAGAAAAACUGAGUCCAAUAUAUCAGGUAGGGAAAGUUUGUACAUUUAUUCAAGGUUCUUUAGUUGUAAACUAUGUAAUUUGGUUGGUGUUGAUUAAUAAUGAUCUAAAGUUUGUACAUUUAUAGAAGUGGAUGGUCUAAACCGGUGUUGAUUAUGGAUGGCAGAUAUGUGCAGUGCAGUGUUGCUAUCUUCGUCAUUUUUGGUUCAUCACUUGCCAAUGAAAGUCUUUCUUUUUAAGCAUUUGAAUCAACAGUUAAGAGAACAUCCAAUCUAUUGAUUUUAGUUUCUUAGCCGAAUGACGGCUUUUAGUUCAUAAUUUCCAUUGGCGAACCCAAUGCAGCAGCUAAGUGUAAUGAAGUGACAUCAAUGCGGCCUAAAAACAUUUCCAUCUCGGUAGAUUAAUCUAUACAAUUCGCCUUUCCUGUACGAGCAGCUGUGAGGAAGGGGCCAAUUGACAAUAGCAGGAGAAAAUUUGGAGGGGUUUAACCAUCGAAAGCGACUCAUUCAAAAAUUGAAGACUGGUAUGGUCCGUCAAUUACGGUCGACAAGGAAACAAUAUAAAGUAAGAGAAGGUAGACAAUUAUUUUGGUAGUGGUGAAGGUUAAAAGAACUGCUUCUUCCAUGGAUUUUAGAUUUUAAUCAUUCUGUACUAAUUGGAUGAUGCCUUUGAUAUGUUCAUACUUCAUAUUCAAAAGUUUAAACAAACUGGCACCCCGUGGUGUGAACGAGGAAGCCACCUUGAUAUCAAGAACAGAAAAUAAAUAUCAAAAUUAAGUUUUGUUAAUAAAUGAACUUCAUUUAAUUUUAAUUAAAAAAAUACUUUGUUAAUAUUAAUAAGAUUUUGAAAUAUAUUGUCUAAUAUUUUUAAUAAAGAAUAAAUCUUAAAAUCACAUAAAAUUUUAGUUCCAUGUGUAUUGUGUUCUAACCAGAAAUAUGAUAUAAAUAUUAAUAAACAAGGAUAUGUCAUGUCAAAUAAUACAGAAUAAAUUAAGAACAAAACUAAAUGUGAAAGCGUACUUGAAUUCAUUUAAAUAUUGUGGUUUUGAUCUUUAAAAUUAACACAUAAGUGUUUUAGAGAAGGCGAUACUCUCUUUUUUGAAUAAAUCGAUGUUUUUAUUUCUUUAAACUUGAAUAAUUGAAUCAAAAUUAAAAUUUCAAGUAUACAUUUAAACCACAAUCAAAGUUUCAUGUGUAUAAUGGCACCAAAUUAAAGUUCGUGUAUUGAUUUGCAUAUCCAAUCAAUGUUUAUGUACAGUUCUGAGAUUUAUCUCUUUUAAUAAUUUUGAAAUGCAUUUUUAAUAAUUUUAAUUUUUUUAAUUCGAAAAAUAUAGUUUAAGAAAAUCUCAAAUUUUAGGUUUUCUUAAGGAAAGUUCAGAAUUUUACAAAAAAAAAUUAGAAUUUUUCGAUUUUUUAGUAAUUUUAGAGAUCAUAAUGUGUUUUAUUUUUAUUUUGAAUUUUUUAAAAAUAUUAGUUAAAUACAUUUGUCAACCUCUUAAUCCCAAUUGUGGAGUUAAGAAGUUAUAUUAUAUGUGUAUCAAAUAAUUAUCCUUAGCAAAGGGAAGUGAGGAUUAUUAUUUGAUAUAUAGGGGUUCUUUCAACAAAGGAUGAGUGUUCAAUCAAAUCAAGUGAAAAAAAAUUAGAGUUAAUUGAGUUGAUGAGUCAUAUUUUAUCAUCUUAAAUUGAUUUGAUUUUUUUCAAAUCAAGUCGAGUGAAAUAAAUUCAAUUUAAAUCAAGUGAAAUUGUUUGAGUUAUUUUAAAAAAAAUUAAACAUGCCAAAUUGAAAUCUUAUUACAGUACAACUAAUUUUACAUUAAAACACAUAAAAUUGAAACAAUAUAUAUAUUUGAAAAAAAAAUUAAAGCAAAAUAAGAAAAAAAUAAAUAUUCUUUAGUAUGAUAAACUUAUUCAAUCAUCAAUUAUUUUAAUUUUGUAUAUAUAAUAUAUAAAUGUAAAAUGAUGUUAUGUGAAUAGUUUUGUUAAUAAUUUGUAUAUGUAAAAGUGAACACAUAUAUUAUACAUUUCCCUAAUUCACCAGCAAAUCUGCCUUAAUUUUGAUAUGGAUAUACUUAAUACUCGGAUAAUGUUGUGAAUCACAUAUAUUGUUUAAUUUUCUUUUUUGAAGUUUUAAUAUAUUUUAAUGGGUAAGAUAUGUCAUUUUUACUCUUUGAAAUUUUGGAAUUUAGUUCCUAGACUUUUAUUUUUAGGAAUUUAGUCAAUUUACUUUUUAGAUUUUAAAAUCAAAUCCAAUUAUUGACCCUCUUAAAUUUUUUUUGUUAAAUUUAAGUUUAUUAUAACGUUAUUUUUUUUAGUUAUAUCGCUACCAAAUGAGUUUCUUUUCAAAAUGUCACACCAAAAAAAUUUAACAAAAAAAGACAUUUAACAAUAUUAACAAUUGGACCUGAAUUUUGAAAUUUGAAAAGUAAAGAGACUAAAUUCUUAGAAAUAAAAGUACAUGGAUUAAAUUUCAAAAUUUUGAAGAGUAUAGAGACUUAUGGCAUAUUUUAACCUAUUUUUAAAUUGUUUUGAAUAUUUAUCUGCUUGUUUAAUUUUUAUAUUUUUUUGGAUUUUUAAUAAUUUUUGUGAAGUUUUUUAGAAUCAAGAUUAAAUUGAUAUAAUAUGCAAACAUUGAGGGUUAAAUUUAUUAAUUUUUAGAAUUAUGAUUAAUUUGACAGAAUGUGUAAACAUUAAAGGAUGAAUUUGUUAUUAUGUCAAUAAAAAAGUUACGUCAACAUUCUAUUAACAUUUAAUAGAUAAUUAACCAAAAAUAUUACUAUUGAUAACAUUGGUGACAAAACCAAAAAACGUGCUAAUACUUAGUGACUAACAACUCUUGGAUGCAAUGAUACGACUCAUUAUACUCUUAAGAAGAGAACACGAGUUUAAAAAUGAGACACAACAUUAUUAAGAGGGGGAUAAUAACAAACCUUAAACACUUACAGUAAAUAUAUAUCCAGAAUCAUAUGGUGCAUUAAACCAUUCAUUCAUCACUCCUUCAGCUAGCUUUUUGUUUGGUCCAAGAAUUCAUAGUUGGAAAUGUCAUGUAUAAAAUCAACCAUUUUAUUUCAUGUGGACUGGAUACCUUCUUUCUGUGACUUUGCUGCUUGGAAAUUUCCUUGGACCUUCGAAGAAAAUUAACUCCUUAAACUAGAGUUCUGUUCAAAUCAUGUAUAACUUGUGGUCAGAUCGGAAACAUGUGUUUCCGGAAAAUAUAGGUUCUAUUUCUAUUUCUAUGUUGUCUUCUACUUCUUUCUUCUUUGUGUUUGGUUGCAAAUUUCCUUAGUUUUCAGUAAUCUGAAAAUUUACUGCUUAAUUUAUUAAACCUCAAGAGAAAAGCUAUGGAUGAGAGGAUGAUACAGGCUGCCCAAACAGGAGAUAUUAACCUCUUGUAUGAGUUGAUUCUGAAUGAUCCAUAUGUUUUACAGCGUAUUGAUGAUGUGCCUUUUUUUCAUACUCCAGUGCAUGUAGCUGCCUCUGCUGGGCAUAUUGAGUUUAUGAUGGAGAUGAUCAAAUUAAAGCCGACGUUUGCGAGAAAGCUAAACCAAGCUGGGUUUAGCCCCAUGCACUUGGCUCUGCAAAAUGACAGAACUCAUGCAGUGCUUCGACUCCUCAGGUUUGAUGAAGGCCUUGUUCGUGUCAAAGGGAGGGAGGACCUCACUCCUCUGCACCAUGUAGUUCAAACUGGAAAUGUUGAUCUUUUGAUCAAAUUACUUGCGGUUUGUCCUGAGGCUAUUGAAGAUGUGACUGUUCGAGAUCUUGCAGUAAAAAACGACAUGUUUGAAGCAUUUCAAGUCUUGGUGGGGUGGCUUAUAAGGAGCCGCUAUGGAGCUGCACAACGUUGGGAGAAAGAACUGCUUAGUUGGGCGGACAUUGAUGGCAACACUGUGCUGCACAUUGCAGCUAUCAGACACAGACCUCGGGUAUAUGCUAAUUUUCCUAAUCAAGUCAAUUAUUGAUAUGUAUGUAAGUAUGAUAAAACGGUUAUUUAUAUAUGAAUAUUCUAAUUAACAGGUGAUGGAAGUAUUGCUGGAACACUUGCAUCCAUACCAAAUCAAUGCCAAAAAUUUGGAGGGACUGACAGCACUAGAUAUCCAAUCACAAUACCCAUGGAAUGAAAGGCAAGCGGAUAGGACUAUAGAUAUGCUAAGCAAAGCAGGAGGCUUGAGUGGUUCCUCUUCCUCGCUUCCCAAUACCUCCACCUCUUCAUUCCACAUCGAUUCUUUAAAAGAAAAGAUGACAUGGUAUGAAAAAUGGAUAAAAGCAGGUCGAAGAAUGAAGGGUAUGCCACAUGAGAUGCGUAACAUAUUACUCUGCUAAUUAUAACCACCACUUACGAUGCCUCUUUAAACCCUCCAAAUACGCCUGAUGACAGCCCAUUCAAGAACUACCAAUUCUCUUUAAGUCAAGACCAGCCUCUCAAUUCCCACACAUUUUUGCAUAAAACCGACAUCAAUACUGCGCCCAUGCCCAGUCCCUCCGCAAUUGACGUUUUCAUAAAAGAUGAAUGGUCAUCUGAAUACUCCUCGUUUUGGGCUUACAACUCGUUAACCUUUUGGGCAGCAGUUUUUUUAACAGCAAUUCUCCUACCACCUCAUUCAUUCUGUACGUUGGUUGAUACUCCUAGCACUUACCGUGUUUGGGAGAUCUUACAUGCAUUUAGCUGCUGUUUCGACGUGGUCACGGGUACCAUUACCAUAUGCCAGUGAAAAGGCAUACUCAUAUUUUUCUUCAGGCUCCGUUUAUAAUCAAGCAUUCUUAACGUUUCUGCCUGUCCUUAUGGUAUUCCGGGCAAUCUUUUAUGACCCGCAAACAUUACCAAACCAAAUUUCUCCAUGCUACUAUUAUUUGGUAAAGUUCUCUGGCAUUGUAUUCAAGAGAAGGUCACGGCGAGACGAGCCGUUUAUCAUUACGAUAGGUGUCAAGUGGAAGUGCAGUGAUGUAUGCAGCUGAGGCAUCCUAACAGACCGGUAGACUUGAACCUUGUUCCUACAUGACCCGAUCAAUUCGAUCAGGCACUCGCCAUCUAUUUUCAUUGUUCAACUCUUUGACAACACGAAAAAUCCAUUGUUCAACUCUUUGACAACAUGAAAAAACCAAAAGCUCUGCCCUCCCUCUCUAUCUAUCCAUGGGAUGGAAGGGCGGAGGCCUUUGGUGUCCCCUCCAGUCAAGAAUUGGGGCCUCAUAGAGAUAGCAAGCAAAACAGAAAAGAAUCAGAGAAACGAACUAGUAACUAGAAAAUAGAGAAAAGAGCUCAUUUUGUGUAUUGAAUCAGAUCAUCAAUUACAAUGUAGCAAAGAACUUAAGUAAUUAAAUUAGUUACUUAAGUUCUUUGCUACAUUGUAAUUGAUGAUCUGAUUCAAUACACAAAAUGAGCUCUUUUCUCUAUUUUCUAGUUACUAGUUCGUUUCUCUGAUUCUUUUCUGUUUUGCUUGCUAUCUCUGGUUGCCUUCCUUGCAACUGUCGCCGGAGCACUGCCAUUUUCACAUGGUAUCAAAGCAAAGGUUUUUCGACCAGUAGAUCGACGAUUACUCAUUUUUAUGGAUCCACCAUCAAUUCCCAUUGUUGCUUAGGUCAAUCUGUCUUUUACAAAUAACAAAAUCAGUGUUUAUCUUAAUGAUCAAUGUUUAUCAAAAAAAAAAUGGUGGAAAUCCACUUUCAAAAUGAAAAUCACCUAAAAAUUGAAUUUAUAUUUUUUUGAAGUUUGAAAAUAGAAAUAAAUCAUUUGGUUAUAUUGAAUCGUUGAAUAUGAGAAUAUUAAAUAUAUUUUAUUCUAGAUUCUUCUACGUAAAGUCGUCAUGAUUUUAAUGGAAUUAGAAUUGGAUUGAGAAAAUUAUUUAAAUAAAAAAUAUCGGGUUGAAUCGAAUUAUAAAAUAUUGGAUUAAAAGCUCAAAAAGUACUUGGACUUGGACCCAAUAUGGAAUAGUCCCAAAAGCCCUUUAUGUGAAAAGAGGUGGAAGUCUAACCCUAGUAAAAAUAGCUAGGGUUGUCGCCACCUAUAUUCUUAGUUGGACCAGGAGUUCGUUUUACUAGUUGAAAUAAACUUCUAUAAUUCAACAAGAAUUCUACCUUAUUUCCCUAUAAAUAGAUUACAUCAGUAGGGUUAUUUACAAAACUUUCAGAUAUUAUUAUUUUGCCUGAAAAUAGAGAGACUUUUAUUCUCUAAGAAUUAAAUAUAUUUUUUGGAAUAAUGAUUAUAUCGGUUUCUAUUUGAGAAGAGAUUUUCGUUUCCACAAAAAAAAAUAUUUCUAGUUCUGUGUUUGAUUCGAUUUAUUCGAGCCCACACUCAAAGUAGCUCGUGGUACGAGAAUAGCAUAAAAUAUCGUUUGGUUGAAAGUCGGGAACGACAAUAAUCCGUCUAUCCAAAAAUGCAGGUGCGAAUUCAGCCUAAAGUUUAUUACUAUAAAACCAUUUUUGAACCUAAUUUUUUUCAACAAGAAAAUCAUUUUCGAACCUAAUUUUUUUCAACAGUUAGUAUUAGAGCGUCAAGUUGUGCUAUGUUUAUAGUGUAAACCGAUAUCAAAAUUCUCUCUCUUCUUCAUGAUUAAUUAUAUUUGAUAAAAUGUGACAUUCUUGUGAUAAUAUGCAUGCAUGUUUACGGGAAUGUAUGCGGAUGAAUAUAUGAUAUUAUUUUAUUGCUAUGGAUGAUAAAGUAAAUUUGCCAAAGUUGUGAUUCCUAGAAAAUAAUAAUAAUUUAUUAUUAAUUUAGAUUGUGAACUAUCAUCUUCAUGCAAGAUUUAUUUUAUUUUAGAAUAAAAUAUGUGAGUAGGAAACGGAAAUAGGAAUUUCGUAACCUAAAUUUUCCCACCGAAACCCGAGAACUGAGAUAACGCAAAUUCAACCUAGCCAAAACAGCAAUGGCCGGAGGUGGUUCGAUGAAAGUGGUCGGUGGUGAUCCGACGGUGAUCGGCAAUGGUGACGACACAAAAACGAUGGCGGAAAGAUGAUGACAAAAACAUGAACCGCUAAAGCAGCAGAAGUCUGUGGUGACAAAAUUGAAGACUCAAAGUAUGCUUUGGGGUGAAUUUUGUAAUCUUAUUUUUAUUUAUUUUUGGCUUGUUAGAGUUGCGACCCAAAUUCUUUUUAAAAUAAAAUACCAGUGGCAAGAUGAGGGGAUCCACGAGGGCGACUUCUAUUAAAGUCAUGACGACUUUAUCAUACUAGAAUCUAUGAGUAAAUAAAUUUAAAUUGUCUUAUUUCGUAAAAUUGCAAUGACUAAUUGAUUUAAUUCCCACUUGAAACUUCAACUAUUUAAUUAUAACAAAUUAAUUAAUAAUUUAAAUAAAUUAAAUUAAUCAUUAAGUUAUCUUUUGUACCUCAUGAGAAAAUGCAUUCACUUCGAAUAGUGAUACAUGCAAUAUGUUUCUCUAUUUGUUGUUUUCAUUCACUCAACAUAUCAAUUCAAAUGCAAUUUAUAAAUGGUUGUGUUGAGCUAGCAAAGGGACAAUUGAAUAUAUAUAAUUAGGGCUCAAAUAAUUUAAAAUUAAGUUCUAACUCUUCCCUAUUAAUUACAACAUUAUUUAGUCAUAGAGUUAAUCCACUAAAAAUACCAUAACUAAAUUCUCUCUUAUUAUAUACCAUUACGAAAGCAACUGAAUUUAUAUUUGUCUAAUGACCUUGUCAUAUGUGUGUUGCCCUCAUAGGAUAUCAUUUAUCUCAUUGGGUUAAAUCUGUUCAAACAAUAUGAUCAUAUUUUAUCUCAUGAUGACCACCGCAUCUUCCACCAUGAAAAAGCCAAUUACUAAUACAUAGUAAUUAAAUCAUUUUUCCUAGACAAAUGACCCAUGACAACGUUACUUCUCCAUCAACCACGCAAUGUCAAAGAGAAGAUAUCAUUAACCAUUUAUUAGGCUAUGAAUUUCAUUGUUGUAAGUAAACCAAUGUCAUGCAUAAGUGUAAUACCCAAUAUACUGACUUUUGGCUCUAUUACAAAUUGAACUCUGGCUUUCAAUAUAUCAAAGUAUACAAGUUACAUACACAUAGUCAGUUACUUAUUCAGGAUUGAGGUAAGUCAUACUAUGAAUGUCACAAGCAAAUAAAUCCAUAAACAAAUGUAGGAUAAAUUCAACUUGGGUCUUGUCUGAUGUAUUAUCAAUCUAGACAAUCACACCUAUGUCUCUAUGUUUUGGGGAGUCAUACGUUCCAGUACCUAGGAUAAGAUAUUUCCCCAAUUGGACUUGAUAGACGACACAAUAGUCUCUUGAAUAAUUUUGCUCAAUUUUGAUUCUUUAGACCAUAUAGCAUUUAGAUUAUCUACCAAUAUAAGUUGUCUCAUAUCAUGAUCUGACCACAUGAUGCAACUUAAUAUUAGUUAAACAUUAAUUAAUCAGUGAGCCAAUAUUUACUUAUACAUUUUGGUUUUUAUGCAAAAAUCAUUGAGGAUAGAAAAAGGAUAAUAAUGUAAAUGAUGGAAUUUUACUAAAUAAAUUUAUUCAAAAAAUUACAAGCAUAUAUGACAAAAUAACUACACUAAAGACACUAGAUCAUAACGAAAGAAGCACUCUCUAUUUUUACAUUUCAUUUUAGAGUGACUAGCAUAAGCUUAUGGUGGAAAGUGAUAGCCAAAUCAUUUUGAAUCCAAUGUAAACAUGUUAUUUGUUAUGAUAUAUGGAAAAAUCUGACAAAAAUUAUAUAAAAAAAGGAAUGGUAAUAUUAUUAAAAGUGUAACAUUUGAAGUAUAAUGUAAUAGAAAAAAUAUUUUACAAAUAGACAAAAUAUUAAUUUUAGUUGAGAUGUACUUUAAAAAUAUAUAAUAAAAAAUGGAAGAAUUUAAUUCAAUAGUUAUUAUUAUUUUGUUUAUGUUCAAGUAAAAUGAAUUAAAAUCAUUAAAAAUAAGAGUAAAAUAAAAAAAAGGUGAUAUACCUUCUAAUUCUUUGGUAUUAUUGGGAAUAUAAGGUUACCUGCUUGUUAGUUGGAUUUUAUUUUUGGAUUGUAUUUUGUCCAUUUUAUUAAAAAAUGACAAAUUAAUCUUGUUAGAUUAAAGAGCAAAUUAGUACUAUUAAAAGUUGGUUCAUUUACAUUAGCAUGAGAUACACAUGGCACGACGCGUGUAACUGUUUGAUUAUGUCAUCAGUCAUACCAAUUUUUAACGGUAAAAAGAGAAAAAAAUUUACAAAAAGAAAUUAUUUCCUUUUUGAUCCAACCUAAAAGAAUUAAACAAUUACAUUGUUUUUAAAUAAUAGUUUAAGAACAUAUAACAAUUACAUUGUUCUAAGCAUUGUAUCAAUAAAAAAAGAAAUCAAAUAAUUAAUUGCCAGCUCAUCAAUAUAUAUAUUUCAGAAUGCCUAAAUGGACAAAUAUAAAGUUUUGAAGGGUGAAAUUUUUAUAAUUUGAAAAAUAAAAAACAAAGUUAAAAUAUACUAGCGGUUUGAGAAUUAGGUUAUUGCAUGGGAACCAUCUAUUGUAAGAAUGUUAUAUGGUCUAAGAGGGCAAAUGAUUCUGCUCAUUUUAUAAAAUAUACAUCAUGUUUUUUUUUCCUUAUGGAGUCUUCAUUUUUCUUUUAUUGGGAAUUAUCCAUAUUUAUGGAAAAUCAAAGAUAUGGGUAUCAAAUAAUAGAAAGUCAAAGAUAUGGAUAUCAAAUAUUGGAAAGUCAAAGAUAUGGGUAUCGAGAUAUUGGCAUAAUAAAAUCUGAGAUAUUUGCAAUAUAUGGUCCCUAAUUGUAAAGUGACUUUGCAAGUUGAUCCCUGAACCUCAACUAUAAAUAAGCAUGACCAUCUCUCAUUCUGUAUCUCAAACUUGCCAUUCUCUACUUAAGGCAUUGUUUUUUCUCUCUCUCUUUGUAAAUUCUCACUUGUAUUUUGGAGUGAAAUAUAUUUGGUAGUGGCCGAGGACGUAGGCAAAAUUUGCUGAACCUCGUUAAAUUAUUGUGUUCUUUAUUGUAUUAUUCUGCAUGAAUUGUGUGUGUGAUUGUAGUGAUUUAUUGUGCUAUUAAAUUAAGAUUGAGGGAUAUUCUGGCUAGGAAAGACCUGGUACUUAAGAGAUCCUUGUGAUCCACCUCUCUUUCCAGGGAAUUGAACUUAGUGUGAUUUUUUAGUACAAUAAUUUUACUCUUUUACACGCUUCCGCACAACAAUUGGUAUCAGAGCUAGAUUCAUACUUGGGGAAUACGAUCGUUCACGGCACUGUUCACGUACUGUAGUUGGGAUUGAGGAGAAAAAAUGGAAAAGGCAUCGUCAUCAACAAAGACUACUGUGACCAAUGCGAAAUUUGAAGUAGAGAAAUUUGAUGGUACCAAUAAUUUUUGUAUGUGGCAAUGUGAGAUCCUGGAUGUCUUAUGUCAGCAAGAGCUGGAUAUAGCCCUUGAAGAAAAACCUGACAAGAUCGAUGACAAGGAGUGGGCCAAGAUCAAUAGACAGGCAUGUGGAAUAAUUCGCCUAUGUUUGGCCAAAGAGCAGAAGUACUCUGUCAUGGAGACAUCAGGGAAGAAGUUGUGGGAUACACUGGAAGAAAGUUUCUAACAAAAAUUCUUGAAAAUAGGCUUUAUAUGAAAAAGAAACUUUAUCGGUUCACGUAUGCACCCGAUAUGUCGAUGAAUGACCAUGUGAACUCAUUCAAUAAAAUUUUAGCAGACUUGCUAAAUUUGGAUGAGAAAUUUGAAGAUGAAGACAAGGCAUUACUGUUGUUGAAUUCUCUUCCUGAUGAAUAUGAUCAUCUUACCACCACAUUGCUUCAUGGGAAGGAUACAAUCACAUUUGAUGCAGUCUAUAGUGCGUUGUAUAGAUCUGAGACUCGAAAGAAAGAUAAAAAAGAUCACAAAGAUACAACUACAGAAGUCUUAACAGUAAGAGGUCGUUCACGCAGCAACAAAUCUGGUAGAAGGAGUAAGUCCAAAGGGAGACCUGCCAAAGAUGAAUGUGCUUUUUGUCGUGAGAAAGGGGCAUUGGAAAAAGAAUUGUCCUAAGUUACAAAAAGGUAAAGCUAUUUCUGAUACAUGUGUAGCGGAGCAUGAUGAGGAAUCAGACUUUAGCUUGGUUGGCAUGGCAAUGGCAUGUCAUACAGAUGAGUGGAUUUUGGAUUCAGGAUGUACUUACCAUAUGUGUCCUAAUAAGGACUGGUUUUCUAGUCUUGAAGAACUAGAAGGUGGAGUUGUUUUUAUGGGCAAUGAUAAUGCUUGUAAGACAAUGGGAGUAGGUACAAUCCAAUUGAGGAAUCACGACGGCUCAAUUCAAGUCUUGACAGAUGUUCGCUACAUACCUAGCUUGAAGAAAAAUCUUAUCUCAUUAGGGGUCCUAGAAUCUAAAGGGCUCACAAUCACUUUGAGAGAUGGAUUACUAAAGGUAGUAGCUGGGGUAUUGACGGUGAUGAAAGGCACAAGAAGGAAUAAUAUGUACUAUUUAAAUGGAAGUACAGUUAUUGGAUCAACAUCAACAGCUUCUACGAAAGAUGCAGAUUCAGAGGCUACCAGGUUAUGGCAUAUGCGAUUGGGACAUGCUGGUGAAAAAGCUUUGCAGAGUUUGGCGAAGCAAGGCUUGUUGAAAGGUGCAAAUUCUUGCAAAUUGGAAUUCUGUGAACAUUGUCUUCUGGGCAAGCAGACGAGGAUAAAAUUUGGUUAGCAAUUCACAAUACAAAAGGAAUUCUGGAGUACGUUCACAGUGAUGUGUGGGGACCUACUAAAGUGGCUUCUUUGGGAGGUAUGCACUAUUUUGUUACUUUUGUUGAUGAUUAUUCAAGAAAAGUAUGGGUGUAUCUAAUGAAAAGGAAAAAUGAAGUUUUGGAUGUAUUUCUGAAAUGGAAGAAUAUGGUGGAGACCCAGACUGGUCGAAAAGUCAAACGACUUCGAUCAGACAAUGGUAUUGAGUACAAGAAUGAUCCAUUUCUACAAGUAUGUCACGAUGAAGGCAUUGUAUGACACUUCACUGUUCGAGAUACACCACAACAGAAUGGGGUGGCAGAACGUAUGAAUCGGACUAUACUGGAGAAAGUUCGAUGCAUGUUGUCCAAUGCUGGAUUGGGCAAAGAAUUUUGGGCUGAGGCAGUUACAUAUGCGUGCCAUCUAAUUAAUCAGUUGCCAUCAGCUGUAAUAAAUAGAAAAACUCCUAUGGAGAGGUGGGGUGGUAAACCUGCUACUGAUUAUGAUUCUUUACAUGUUUUUGGUUCCACUGCAUAUUAUCAUGUAAAAGAAUCUAAGUUAGACCCAAGAGCAAAGAAAGCAUUAUUCAUGGGUAUAACUGGUGGAGUAAAAGGAUACCGUCUCUGGUGUCCUGAUACAAGGAAAAUUAUUUUCAGUAGAGAUGUGACUUUUGAUGAAUCAACCAUGAUGAAGAACAAUGAUUCACAAAAGGAUAACACAACCAGUGGCACUUUGCAGCAGGUGGAGCUUGAAAAGGUUAAUGAUGAUCCAGCUAAUAUUGAAGGAACAAAUGAUGAAGAAGUUUCGACCCAAGAACUUCUACAGCAACAUGAUUCAAUUGCAUAUAAAAGGCCAAGAAGAGAGAUUUGUAUGCCUGCUCGCUUUAAUGAUAUGGUGGCCUAUGCACUUCCAAUUACAGAUGAUGAUGUUCCUUCUACUUACACAGAAGCAAGAAGUAACCCUGAUGGUGUAAAGUGGAAGCAAGCUAUGAAUGAAGAAAUGCAGUCUCUUCAUAAAAAUAGGACUUGGGAGUUGGUGACACUACCCAAAGGAAAGAAGGCAAUUGGAUGCAAAUGGGUAUAUUCAAAUAAGGAAAGAUUUCCUGAUAAAAAUGAAGUUCGAUACAAGGCUAGAUUGGUAGUAAAGGGUUACGCUCAGAAAGAAGGAAUAGACUACAAUGAAGUAUUUUCUCCAGUUGUGAAGCAUUCGUCUAUUCAGAUUUUGCUAGCCUUGGUUGCGUAAUAUGAUCUUGAACUAGUUCAGCUCGAUGUGAAGACCACAUUUUUACACGGUGAUUUGGAAGAGGAAAUCUAUAUGACUCAGUCAGAUGGAUUCAAGGUUACUGAUAAAAAAAUUGGGUUUGCAAACUGACAAAGUCGCUUUAUGGAUUGAAACAAUCUUCGAGGCAGUGGUACAAACGAUUUGAUCAGUUCAUGAAAGGGCAAAGGUAUACAAGAAGUAAAUUUGAUCAUUGCGUGUAUUUUUAGAAGCUACAAGAAGGAUUUUUCGUAUACUUGCUCUUAUAUGUUGAUGAUAUGUUGAUAGCAUCUAAGAGUAAAGUUGAAAUUGAGAGAUUGAAGACUCAACUCAACCUUGAGUUUGAGAUGAAAGAUCUAGGUGAAGCUAAGAAGAUCCUUGGUAUGGAAAUAUGUAGGGAUAGAGCUCAUGACAGAGUUAGUUUGUCUCAGAAGCAAUAUUUAAAGAAGAUACUACAGAAGUUUGGCAUGAACGAGCAGACUAAAGUUGUAAGUACCCCGUUGGCUUCUCAUUUCAAGCUUUCUGCACAACUAUCUCCUUCGACAAAUAUGGAACAAGAAUACAUGUUACAAGUUCCGUAUUCUAAUGCAGUAGGUAACUUGAUGUAUGCAAUUGUGUGUACAAGACCCGACAUUUCACAGGCAGUUAGUAUAGUGAGCAGGUAUAUGCAUAAUCCUGGAAAAGGACAUUGGCAAGCUGUGAAAUGGAUUCUACGGUAUAUUCAUAAGACCAUGGAUAUUGGAUUACUGUUCAAACAGGAUACUACACUUGGUAAAGGUAUUGUUGGGUACGUUGAUUCUGAUUAUGCCGGUGAUUUGGACAAACGAAGAUCAACCAUUGGUUAUGUGUUUACUCUUGCUGGAGGACCAAUAAGUUGGAAGUCUACACUGCAGUCUACAGUUGUGUUGUCAACCACAGAAGCUGAAUACAUGGCUGUAACAGAGGUUGUAAAGGAAGCUAUUUAGUUACAAGGUAUGGUUAAAACCUUGGGUUGGUUCAGGAGCAUAUUAAUGUGUAUUGUGAUAGUCAAAGUGCUAUUCAUUUAGCAAAGAAUCAAGUCUAUCAGGCACGUACAAAGCAUAUCGACGUACGUUUCCAUUUUGUGCGGGAAAUUAUUGAUAAGGGGAAAAUUCACCUUCAGAAGAUUAAGACUGCAGAUAAUCCUGCAGAUAUGAUGACCAAGGUGGUAACAACAAUCAAGUUCGAACAUUGUUUGAACUUGAUCAAUAUUCUGCAUGUUUAAUAGUUGAAGAAUCCACUAUCAAGUGUUGUUGACAAAGGCAGAGAGAAUUGUGUGAAGAUAAGAUUACUCGAAUCAAAUCUUCAAGGUGGAGAUUAUUGGGAAUUAUCCAUAUUUAUGGAAAAUCAAAGAUAUGGGUAUCAAAUAAUAGAAAUUCAAAGAUAUGGGUAUCAAAUAUUGGAAAGUCAAAGAUAUGGGUAUCGAGAUAUUGGCAUAAUAAAAUUUGAGAUAUUUGCAAUAUAUGGUCUCUAAUUGUAAAGUGACUUUGCAAGUUGAUCCCUGAACCUCAACUAUAAAUAAGCAUGACCAUCUCUCAUUCUGUAUCUCAAACUUGCCAUUCUUUACUUAAGGCAUUGUUUUCUCUCUCUCUCUUUGUAAAUUCUCACUUGUAUUUUGGAGUGAAAUAUAUUUGGUAGUGGCCGAGGACGUAGGCAAAAUUUGCUGAACCUCGUUAAAUUAUUGUGUUCUUUAUUGUAUUAUUCUGCAUGAAUUGUGUGUGUGAUUGUAGUGGUUUAUUGUGCUAUUAAAUUACGAUUGAGGGAUAUUCUGGCUAAGGAAGACCUGGUACUUAAGCGAUCCUUGUGAUCCACCUCUCUUUCCUGGGAAUUGAACUUAGUGUGAUUUUUUAGUACAAAAAUUUUACUCUUUUACACGCUUCCGCACAACAUCUUUAAUGAUAAAAGCUUAAAGAAUAAUCUUUAAAAUUUGGUUGUUGGUAGCUUUAUUUGGGUAGAAUUUGAGAUUUAGUUCAUAUAUUUUAAAUGUUAAAAUUUUAAUUUUUUUUACUUUUUCAAUUUAAUAUUGUAAAAUAAAACCAUAAAAAAUUGUGUACAAAUAGUAUUGAAUUUACAUAAAAAUAUAUAAAAAAUGCAGGAUAAAUUUGAAUAAUAAUACAUGAACACUUAAAAUGAUAAUAUAUGAAAAAAAACUUAAGAUAAUAAUAUACGAUAAAUUUAAACAAUAUUAAUAAUGAAUUUAAAAUAAUAUUAAGCAUAAAUAUUAAAAUAAGGUUAGAUUUAAAAAUAUAUAAAAAUAAUGGAAUAAUAAAUACUUAAAUAAAUUAGAAAAAUAAGCAAAUUAAAUCAAGCUAAUAAGGAUUAAAUUGGAUUUAAAACAAAAUUAGAAGGUAAAAACGUAAAUAAAAUAAAAUAAAGGACCCAAUUGAAAAGCGCGAAUAACUCAAAGGGACCAAAUGGGGAAAUAUCCCCGCCUUUUGAAAUGCAUCGUUUCACCAGGACCAAAUCAGAAACCAAAUAAAAUUUAAAGUAUCAAUUGAAGAAAAUAAAAAAAUUGAAUUAAAAUAAUAAAAAAUACGGAGGGGGCAAAUGCAUAAAUAUCCUUACCAAGACCAGAACAGGCAGAUCUAGCUGCCUCUGGGUCGAGUCAUCGGGUAUAGUCAAUACGGCACCGUUUUGGAGCCAUUGAAACAGACUUUAAAUGGUGUCGUUGCAUGGCCUUUAUAAAACAAAAAAAAAGAAAAAUAAACAAGUUUUUAGCCAUUUCGAAUCAGAUAAAAACCUUAGCCACACGCCGUUUAGAAGCCUGGCCAUUCAAAGGCCAAUCGAUCCCUGUCUGAACUUCGAUUGCGACAGAGUGAGCAAGGAUUCGACACCACCAAGUAAUUUUCUCACCUUAAAUUGUUUUUUUCUUUUUUUACACAUGAUGAGUAAACAAAUAGAUGAGUCUAGAACAGAAAAGAAAAACAACGAAAAGAAAAAAAAAGGUUUCAAAUCACCUUUAGAAAAUUCUGAUUCUUUGAUUUUUCGUCCCCUUUUAUAGAUUUGUAAUUGGCUUUUUAUAGCCGAAACGAAAAAAAGAAAAUAUGUAAAAAAGAAAUCUAUUAUGUUAUCUAGCUAUUUUCAUUUGCUGGCAUAUUGUUGCUCGCUUUUUACUGUUAUUCGUUUCUAUUUCAGGUGUACGAAGGAGCGAUGACGUGGAGGUGCAACACGCGUGGAGGCCUGGUUCCCAGCUGCGGCGUGGACUGUUCCAAAAACCCUAGGGGUUUCUGGAGAUUUCAAAUUGGGCCACUUCAAAUCGGGCUAGGGUUUAAUUAAGUCUAGGAUUGUAUUAGGUCUAGGAUUGGGUUAGAUUUUGGGUUUAGGCCUCAAUCCGAAUUUGGCCUAUUGUAACUGAACUUUUGGACUUAUUAAUGGUUAUUUUGGGUAUUGGGCUAUUAGGGUUUGUUGGGUUUGGGUUUUAGAUAUUUGGGCUGAUUUGUGUUUGUUUAUUUUGGGUUGUUUGUGUAAUUCUGGACUUUUUAUUUUAUUGGACUUUUAUUUUUUGAUUUGGUUUUUUUUGUGUGGGCUCGAGCAGAUUGGGCCUGCUACAAUAUUGAUGCAAAACUUUGUCACUAAAGUGCAAAUUGUAACAAUAGUUAAGUAGUCUUUUGUUCGAAUAACAUUAGAAGCACAUCAAAGUCAAAGCACAUAGACUUUAAGUUCAUUGUUGUUAAAAUAAAAGUUUAGGGUGGUUAGAUGUCUAUAAAGUAUAUUGAGACAAACUCCAUGGUUGUGGAUUCGCUUAUUAAGGGACUACCACCCAAAGCUUUUUUCCUGAGCACACUGUUGAUAUGUGUGUAAUGUCAUUCAAGGAUAUUUGAUUUUAGUAGGAGUUUGUACUUUUAAACGUUUUUAUGUUAUAAAUACAUUUUCAAUUAUUUUAGUUUACAAAUAUUAAGUUUUUUUUUUUUGUAGAAAGAAAGUUUAUUUGGUAAAGUUUGAUCUCACUAAGAUUAAUGUGGACCGGUUAGAAUAUGCAUGUUUGAAUCAUAUUACAUGUAAUUUUCAUGUUACACAUCCAUACUUAAUCUAUGUCAUUUGGUUGUGCUAAUAUAUGUGAUUAAGGCUGGAUUUAGUUAUGAUAUAUGUAACAAAGUUGCAUUCUUUCUAUGUUAACAUAAUUAAUGGACAGAUUGUUCGAAAUACCUUUUAGAUACGAUAGUAAAAUUUUGAGCUCAUAAAGUUAUAUAAUGACAUGUAAUUAUAAGGUAAUCGGUAUAUAUAUAUGUCAUCCAAGUGGUAUAUAUGGACAUCACAUAUAUAAUAAGCAUGUUACAUGUUAUUAUUUACUAUCAUAAAAGAUUAACUCAAAUUAAAAGUGAUCUAAUUUGGUUAAGAUUUAUUGGAUUUUAGUUAUUAAAUAAAAUAUAGGUCAAUAAUAUGUGUAGAUACUCUAGUAACUAAUUUCUAAUUUAUGAUGGGCUGAUUAGAAAUUAGGUUAAUGUGAAAAUGUUAUAUAUUAGGAUUUUGGUCUCCAAGUUAUGCAUAUGUAACUUUUCUAAUAUCCCAUCUUGAGAAAAGAGAGAGUCACAUUCUUUAGAUUACUUGUGAGCUAAUUUGGAAGAUCAAAACCUUAAAAUUCGUAGAUUUCAAGAAAUCGGUAAAUUCAAAUACGCUUCUGCAUUUAGUUUUGUUCUUAAUUAUUUGACAUGAUAGAUUCUGGUUUAUUAAGUUUUGUAAAAGAGUUUUACGGUUUUAAUAGGAUAAUUACGAAUCCCAAAUAUAAACUGUAAAACGGACAUGAAGAAUAUAAAAGAAAUAUUACAAGAAUUUUGAAAGAGAAAAUUAAAUUGAAAAUUUUAAUGUUAUUUUUAUCUUUCAUAAUUAUUUUUAUUUAUAUUUUAUUUACAAGAACAUUUUAUUAAGAGUUUAUUAGGAUUAAGUUUAUUUUUACUUUUAUUAAAUAAAUGUUAGACUAAAAAUAAACUUUUUUUUCCACUGUUGGUAUAAUGGAUAGUAGGCUAGGUUGUCCUUUUUUAUUUGUUUAGGCACCCGUGUACGAGAAUAAUUUAUAUUAGAAUAGUCCUAAAGGUUAAAGAUUUUAAUAUUAAUAAAAUUUUGUCACAUCAUCAAAUUUUAAAAAUAUAAAAUUAUUAUUAUACACUCGUUCAUAUUAAAUUUACUUUUUAACUUUCGUUCUUUUUAAACAUAAAUAAUUAAAAUAAAAAUAGAAAAAUAGAAUAUUUAAAAUUUAUACAAUCCUUAAAGAUUUAAUCCAAUAUUUUUUUUUGUUUUAAAAAAUGUAUAAUAUGAAAUAGAAAAAAAAAUUAAAAUGGAAAAACUCCAUUGCCUAUAAACUAAUUUUUAAAAAAAAAUUGGUUACAAAAAUUAAAAAUAUUAACUUCUGAAAAAAAACUAAAAAUGAUUAAAAUUUAUAAAAGAAGAAAAGAUGUUUAUUUAUAAUUUAAAAAAAUUAAUUAUUUUAAGUAAUUUAAUUAAAGUUAAAUUAAGUUAAAGAAGAAAGGAGAAAUGGAUAAGUAUAUAAUAAUACAUAAUUUGUUAAAUAUAUAAAGAAAUUUAUUUGAUUUAGUACCUAAAUAUUAAUAUUCGAAACUCUCGAUUUUUCACAAUUUAUUCAAUCAAAUUUAGAUCCAACUUUAAUUAUAUUACAAAGACAUUCUAUUUUAUUAUUUUAUUAACGGGUGAAAAAACUUAGUUCAACCCAUAAACAUUGACCACAAAGGGAAAUUUGAAACACUUACCACCAAUCCCCUAUCAGAAAGUCUUUCCCACAUUCAACUAGAAAUCAGAGCUCACCAAAAUGUUUAUUCUUUUCAAUCUGAACCGACUCUACAAUCACUUAUUGCUCAUGGUCUUCAGCCUAUAAACCCAGAAGCAUUAUUAACUUCUAAAUCCAAAACACUAAUAUCAGCAUCCAACCCUACAAUGGUAGUCUUAUUGACUCAUUUAAACAAGUUUCCUUUGUCAAUCUAUAUUCCAUAUUGGGUAAUCUCCAAUAUUAAUUCAGAAUUUAGGAUAGCUGGAACAAGAAUAACAGCAAAGAUGCAAAGCGAAACGACUUGUAGGAGGAGGAAGAACCUUCUUUUGGGUACAAACCUGUAUAGCAUAUAAUAGGAUGUCCUGUAUAAUGUCACGAGAGCUAGUACCGUUGCCAAGCAGUAAUUAGUAGUGCUGAGUUUAGAAUAGGAAACGGAUCCAGGAGUCGAAAGAUAGAAAAAAUACUGAAGUGCGAGUGUCCGUAUGGAAACAGCAACCAAAAGCAUGUAACAGGUCCCAAACAAGGAAAGUGUUAUGAGAAUAAACAAGGACAUUGAACGGCUGGGUAGGAGAUACGCUGUUAAAACAGUUGUUGCCCAAAAGGUUAAAGUGUUGUAUAACCAAAACAUUGUGGACACGUCUAGUAUAUUUUCUAUUUUUUUUUCUUCAGCGGGUGGAGGACUUGGUACGGGUCCAGUGCUGGUUGAACCUAAAGAUAUGUCAUACGUGAGAUGGAAAUUCUGGGAAUUUGAAAUGGUAUCAGGCUGCUUUGGAGGGUUCAAAGUGGCAGUGUAUGUGGCUGUUAUAAUUAGCACUGUGACUACUAAAAAUGUGUUACGCGUCUCAUGUGGGAUUCCCUUCUUUCCACGACUUGCUAUUGUUGCAAUUUUUUGAAGAACUGACACCUUUCCUUUUAAAGAUUCGAUGGGGAUUGAAGAGAUGGAGGCUUUGGGAAGCGAGGAAGAGGAACCACGCAAACCUCCUGCUUUGCUUAUCAUAUCUUUAAUGGACUCCUUAUAGUCCACUCUCCCUUCAUCCAAUGGGUAUUGUGAUGGGAUAUCAAGUGCAGUCAAUCCCUCCGCAUUUUUGGCAUUGAUAUGGUCUCCACACAAGCGUUUCAGCAGUACUUUUACCACCUGUUAAUUAGAAUAUUCAUACAAGUAACCUUUGAGUAUAUAUAUACAUAAAUAAUUUUACUAGCAAAAUUAUCAUACCUGAGGUCUGUUUCUGAUAGUAGCAACAUGUAAAACAGUGUUGCCAUCAAUGUCUGCCCAACUCAGUAGUUCUUUCUCCCAACGGUUGGCAGCUUUAUGGCGGCUCCUUAUAAGCCACCCCACCAAGACUUGGAAAGCUUCAAACCUGUCAUUUUUUACGGCAAGAUGGAAAACCGUCUCAUCUCGAACAGUCACAUCUUCAAUAGCCUCGGGGCAAACCUCAAGGAACUUGAUCAAAAAAUCAACAUUUCCAUUUUGAACCACAUGAUGCAAAGGAGUGAAGCCCUCCCGCCCUUUGACACGAACAAGGCCUUCAUCAAACCUGAGGAGUCGAAGCACUGCUAGAGUUUUUUGAUUUUGCAGAGCCAAGUGCAUGGGGCUAAACCCAGCUUGGUUUAGCUUUCUUGCAAACGAUGGCUUUAAGUUGAUCAUCUCCAUCAUAAAAUCAAUAUGCCCUGCAGAAGCUGCUACAUGCAAAGGAGUAUGGAAAAAAGGUACAUCAUCGAUACGCUGUAAAACAUAUGGAUCAUUCAGAAUUAACUCAUACAAGAUGUUUAUGUCUCCUGUUUGUGCAGCACCUAUCAUCCUCUCAUCCAUAGCAAGGUGCGGAAAUUUGCAGAAUAUAGAAAUGGAGUGAAGAAAAAACGCUUUAGCAGAGGAUAUGAUUAUGUUAAGGAUAUAAUGAAGUGUUUGAUUAUUUUUUCCAGAUGAAGUGUUAGACAUUUUAUAGCACUUAAUUAUUUUGGAUUUAUAUGUGAUGUCAGCCUCUACACGUAUAUACGUGAAUGUCACCUAUUAGAAAGAAAUAGUAAUUAAAUUCAUAUUUAAUAUACAUUUUUAAUCUAAUUUUUUUAAUUCAAUUUAAUUUUAGUUAAAACGUUUAAAAACAUUUAUUUAAUCUAAUUUCUUUAAUAUAUUAAAUAAAAAAGAAAUAUUAAAUAAAUUGGAUUAGAGAAUAUAUUGAAUAUGGAUGAAUACUGUAUCAUACUAAUUUUAUGUCUCUAAAAAUUUUAUAUAUUAUUUAGUGGUUUAAUUUUUUAAGAACAUUUGAUAUAAUUCAUAAAGAAAACAAAUAAUAAUUAAUAAUAAAUUUUUUAAUAAAAAAGGUGUGAAAAAUGGUAAGUAGAUAAUAGCUAUUAUCGCUUACAACAUGUUUGGAUUAAAAAGAAGAAAAAAGAAGGGAAAAUUAAGUAAAUUGAGGGAAAGAAAAUUCGGUUUCUUUGUUUAAGUAAAGAAAAUUAAGUAAAUUUUUUAUCGUAUCAUUAGAUUUUAUAUUUUAGAUUAUUAUCUCUUCUUCUUCUUUUUAACUUGUAACAAUCUUAUUUUUAUUUUCUAUUUUUUUAGGUUACUAGAAAUAUUUAAUUUUAAAUUUGUUUGAUAUAUAUUUUUAAAAAUUUUAACAAUAUUUUUUUAUUAACUAUUUUGUUAAAUUAUUAGGAAUCCUUCAUUUAUAAUUUGGUUAAGAUUUUUUUUUUAGUUUGAUCAAAUAAGCUUAUUAAAAAAAGAAUAUACCAAUAUAUUAUUGGUUAACAUUUUAAUUAUUAUUUUAUAUAGAAUAUUGAUAUUUUUCUAUAAAUUUAAUUUGCUGUGAUUUAAUUUUGUUAUUAUAUAUUAUUUAUGAACUGUUAAAAUUAAAAAAUAAAAGUAAAAUAAUUCAUUUUCUUUCCUUUUCACAGUUUAGCAAAACAAGUCCACAGGCUCGUCUCAUUCAAAAAAAGUAAAUUAUAUAUAUAUAUAAGGGCUAGUUUUAACAAAUGAAAAAUAUAGAAAAACUAUAUUAAAAGAAAUGGGGAAGGGAAAAGAACAGAGGGAGAAACAGAAGAGAAUGAAAAAUAAAGAAAAGUUAAAAUAACAUAAAAAAAAUUAAGGGUGGGUUUGGAUGGGCGAUUGGGUGCGGUGCGGUGCGUUUAGCUUAUUUUUUGUCUCACACUACAGUGUCGCUACAGUAUCUAAUCUCACCGCCACCGCUGUUUUUACACUAACUGCAGGUAAACGCACCGCCCAUCCAAACCCACCCUAAAUUGAAUUGCUCAAAACGAAAAAAUUAUAGGAAUCGGUUGUAUAAAUCACCCUAAAAUUUUUGUUUGAAAGAUGAUUUAACAUGUCACAUCAGUUUAUCGUUACACCAUUAACGGAAAUUAACAGCUCAGUGACUAAAAUGUUACAACGUGAUAACGUAAAUGACUAAAAUGUAACGUUUCAAACAUAAGUGACUAAAAUGUAAGCAAAAGUGACUAUUUUAAUAAUUUACCCUUGCAUUUAUCCAAACAUACGCUUAACGUAAACAUUUUUUUAAUUAUUUUUAUUUUAUUUUAUUUUUUACCAUUAUCCGUUAUCCUUAUUUUUAAAAAGUAUAAUUAAUAAAUAGUAUAAUUAUUUUUUAAAAUUAAUUUUAAGUAAUACACCAAAUAGAUUUUAUAACUUAAAUUUAAUAUUUAAUUUUAUAAUUUUUUUUUAUCAAACAACGUUUACUCCUAAGUAAAUAAAUAAAUAAAGGCCUUGUGUAAUUAAGAAAGUUGAGAAAGAGUUAGUCCUCACAUUGGCUAAAAUAACGGAGGAAAGAGAAAAAUUGGCCAAUAAUGGGGAGGCAAUGUCAAUGAGCAUACCCCACACAUACUAUUUACUGUCAAUGGUGAUGGCUGAAUUGGCUACUAUACAUGGAUUUUGUUUUCCUUUUCUUUUUUGUUCUUGUCCUGUAUUAUUUGCAUUUGUGAUCCCAAACUAUGUAAAAUUCCAGUCACUAUGUGAUCACAUUUUAAAAAAAAAAUUAUUUAUUAUCGAUUGAGUAUCAGCUUGAUUGGUAUAAAUAUUAUUGUUAAUGUAUAAGAACAUAAAUUUGAGUGUGUUAAAGCGCAUUAUCCUCUUAUUUAUAGAUUGAGAAGUGGUUAUUGGUAGUUCUAGACAUUGUGUAGAAAAGAAUACAUAUAAUCAGAAUCUAUAUUAAAAUUUUUCAAAAAAAUAUAUUUAUUACACAUGAAUUAAAAGAAAUCUAUUUAUGGGUAGUUCAAGAUUGUUGAAGCUAUAAAAUAAAAAUUCAAUUCGAAAAUAUAAAUCUCUUUUGUUUAACAAAAUAUUAAUAAUUAGUUGAGUUAAUAUUAUGAGUCAAUCGAACACCAAUUUAAUUAAGAAAUUACGAAAAUAUCGUUCCAUAAUUAAAAUAAAUUAUAUUAUUUGAGGAUAUUUUAAUAUUUUUUAUGUAAAAAAAAAUCAAUAAAAAUAUGAAUAUGAUGGGAUUUGAAAUAAAAUCUAGAAUUUACCACUCAACCAAAAUUUUAUUUUAUUAUAUUUUAUACAUUUUUAUUUUAAUAAGCACACUUUAUUAUCUCCGUCAGUUAUAUAUAUAUUAAUAAAUUUAUUGAUUGAGUUGAUAUCACAAGUCAACUCAAUACUAACCGACAAUUGAAGACAACACUUUGAUAGACAGUUGUAGUGCAUUUAAUUAAUAUUUUUAUUUUGAUGUAUUUAUGUGUUUAAAUUUUAUUUUUGCUCCCAAAUUAAUUUAAUUUUUUAUUUUAAUGUCAUACAUAUUUUAUAUAUUCUUAUGAUUAAUUAGCUUCAAACCAUAUGUUUUAUUAUUUAUUUUAUUUUUUUAAGCAUAUAUCUGUAUUCCAAAUCUAAACGCAAUUGCUUAUGUUAGUCAAUGUUACAAAUUGAGAAAUUUAUUAAAACUAUUGAAAUCUUCACAUCUAACCUGGUUUUAUCAUGUUUGGAAGACGCUAUUGAUCUUCUUCAAGUGGUUUUUUCACAAAUAUACUAUUCAUAUAUAUAAAAUAUGAUGAGUAAUAAUGUAUAGUGACGUGUCCAAACACUAAUUGAUGAAAAAAGUGAGUAAUAUUUUAUUACAACAUGAUGCCUUUUCAUAGUAUAAAAUGACUAUGCGAAUGAGGGCUUCCUACCAUUACCAGAAAGCUGAGGCUGUAGGAAUGAUGGCUUUUGCAAGUUGUGAUUUUAGGAUUUUGUGUUUGAUUAUUGUUUAGUUAUGCUAAAAUGUCACAUAUGGGUACUGUUUUAAGUUAUGUGUGAAUUCUAAGUUGAAUAUGUAGCCGCCUAAAAUAUUUAGGAGCGCUAAUUGAGAUCAUUACGAAAGAAAAUUGUAUUCUAACGGUGUAUGAAAAUUUGGACAAAAAUCUCAACUUUUUAUUUUUUUUUAAAUUUUAUUUUUGCUCCCAAAUUAAUUUCAUUUUUUAUUGUUGUACAUAUUUUAUAUAUUCUUAUGAUUAAUUAGCUUCAAGCCAUAUGUUUUAUUAUUUAUUUUAUUUUUUUAAGCAUACAUCUGUAUUCCAAAUCUAAACACAAUUGAUUAUGUUAAUUAAGGUUACAAAUUGAGAAAUUUAUUAACACUAUUGAAAUCUUCACAUCUAACCUGCUUUUAUCAUGUUGGGUAGAUGCUAUUGAUCUUCUUCAAGUGGUCUUUCACGAGUAUACUAUUCAUAUAUAUAAAAUAUGAUGAGUAAUAAUGUAUAGUGACUGUCCAAACACUAAUUGAUGAAAAAAGUGAGUAAUAUUUUAUUACAACAUGAUGCCUUUUCAUAGUAUAAAAUGAUUAUGCGAAUGAGGGCUUCCUAACGAUGGCUUUUGCAAGUUGUGAUUUUAGGAUUUUGAUUGUUUGAUUAUUGUUUAAUUAUGCUAAAAUGUCAUAUAUUUGUGAGCCCUACACUCACAUCAAAUUUAGAUAUGACAAACAUGAUUUAAAACAAAACCAUAUUAUAUUACUAGCUGUGAGCAAUUUAAAGAAAUUGAAUUUCUUUUUUACAAUUUUAAGUUAAUCAAUUAUUUGAUUUUUUAAAAUUAACUUGAAUGAGUGAUUUUGUUUUUCAAGUUUAAGUCAAGUUGAAUUUUACAACUCAAAUAUAAAUAUCUCUUGGGUCACUGAUAGUUUUAAAAAUGUACAAACUGAUCUGUCUCAAAAAUUUUAAAAAUUCAAAAUGAUCUUCUAAAACUCAAAAUAUUUAUAAAAUAUUUUCCCAAAAUUUUAUAAAUACAUAUAAAUUCAAAGAAUUUACCACUUAAAAAUAUAUAAAAAAUAUUAAAUUAUAUUUUUUGAAAAAAUUAAUAAAAUAAAUUUGAGGUCUUAAAUAAGUAACUUAUUAAUUCAAUUUUAUCAUACUAAUUAUCUUGUAUUCCAAGAGUUUUCAUAUAUAUCAGGGGCGAAGCCAGAAAAUUUUUUUUUAGGGGGGCAAAAUGAAUUUUUUAUUUUUAAUAGUCUAUAUCUUUAUAUUAAUAUUUGAACUGGUAUAAAUUAAGAUUGUUACGUCUAACAUUUAUAUCGAAUAAUUUUUACUAUAGAGAAAAGAAGUAAAAAUAAUAAUAUAUGAUGUAAAAUUAUUAAUUUGAGUCUUAACACAGUCGGUAUUUGUAUGUUGUUUAUGUAAUAUGGAGUGAGUUCAAGUAUGUUCAUGUGUAAUUUUUCUUUCUAUUUAAAGGUUGGAGAGGAGUUAGGGUGAAGCUAGAAUUUAUUUUUUUUGGGAGACGAAAUUAAGUUGUAUAUUUUUAUGAGAGUUAAAAUACAAUUUCACAAUUUCAAUAGAUUAUAUGUUUACAAUUUUUAAAGAACUAAAUCAAUAUUUUAUCAUUUUUUGGGGCUAAAGUACAAUUUUACCAUUUAUUAACUUAAAAUUUUAUAAACUUAAUUUAAAGGGUUAAAAUUUGAAUUUCACAUUUUAAAGGGAGGGAUAGAAACCCUUCUAGGCUCCCCUCUUGCCGCCCCCCUAAGAUGAUAUAAAGUAAAGCAAUAAGUGUCUAAAAUAUAUGAAUUAUGAGUACUGAUUACACUUGACCAAUUGCUUUUCUUCAAACAAAGCAAACACUAAUGCACAUGAAAAUGCAAAUUCACAUGCAACCUAGAUAUGCAUUCUAUAUACAAUGCAAUGCAAUGAAUAAAUAAAUAAAUAAAUAUAUAUUAUUUAAUCAUGAGAGUUUUGAUCCCCUUGUGAUUCUUUAACCAACCAUUCUCACACCUAAUUAUAAUUCUAGUAUAGUAAAAGUACGUGAGUGAGUUGAAUGGAUGGUGGUUGUUUGACAUAACAUGUAGAAAGUGAAAAAAUAGUUGAAAAUAAAUCAAGUAUUAAAACAAAAAAUUUAUGAAAGAAAUUCUAGUAUUAUCAAUUUUUCGUGAGGCUCAAAGCUAUUUGGAACAAAAAUAAAAUCAAUGUGUAUAGGCUUAACAAAAUAGCUAUCAUCUUGCAUUGUUAUUUCAUCCUAACCUCUUCCCUCAUAACUUCAUCUUCUAUUUUCUGUUUGACAUUAUCAAAAGUAAAACAUAGUUUUUUUAGGUUUUUCGACUAUUUAUGCAUCAAACUUUUAGGCCAUUUUGGACAUCUUCAUAAUGUUUUUGGGCUUUAAUCUAAGAAAUAAAUUUAGAUAGAUCUUUCAAGUCACAUCAACAUUUCAUAAAUGAUUUAAUAAAUGAGUAAUAAAAGGAUUUAGGGUUAAUGUGCAAAUUUGUCACUAUACUUCAAUUUGAUUGGUAUUUGAUAUUUGAUAUUGAAUUUUAUUGCUUUAAUUUAAUUGAAUUUUGCCACUAAAAUUAGAAUUUUUAUUGAAUUUUCUAUUCAAUUUAAAUUUAAAAUAACUUGAAGGCUAAGUUGAUUAAAAAAUAGUUUUAUAUUUCGCUUUAAUAUUAAAAAAUAAUAAGUUAAUUAAUAUAAUAUUAAAUUUAAAUAAAAUAGUUAUUUUAUAAAAUAAAUUUUUUUUUCUCUUUUAUGAGAUAUGGACUCAUUAACAAUAGAAAUUCUAAUUUAAUUUAUUAAUUUUUAAUAUUUAUAAGUUAAAUUAUUGUUAAAUAUUAAAAUAAAAUAUUUGAAAGAAUUUUUCUUAUUAUAUAUAUUAUGUUUUAAAAUCAUCAAAUUAAUAUUGAGUGGUAAAAAUUAAUUAAAAAAUUGAUUUGGAGAAAUUUUUUAAUAAAAUUGAAAAUUUAUAGUAAAAUUCAAUCACAUAAUAGUUGAUUGAUAAAUUUACACAAAAACUUAAAAUAUAGCUAUGAAUAUCAAUGAAAAUAAAGUAUAGUAGCAAAAUUCAAAGUAUAGUGACAAAUCAUAUAAGUUCAAUGAAUAAAAGAAAUAAAAAAUUAAAUAUAUGAUUAAAAAGAUUUUUUUUUUUUUACGAAAUUGAAAGAUCAAAUAAAUCAUUAUACGUAAUAUAAACAAAAUCACAAGUAUCCUUAAACUUGGCUUAAUUGCCAAUUAGACAAUUUAGGAUGUCAGAUGCAUAAUCAACAAUUUGGAGAUAAAAGGAUGAAUAACCAAGUAUUUUUAUAAAUAAAUUUGUUUUAGAAGAAUGGGAUGAGUUUUAGAGUAUAUAGAGAAGUAGGGUAGUUCUUCCUUCUCCGCAUAGUGGUUUUGCCUACAAUAAUGAAGCAAAGGGAAAAACACGAGGAUGAGAUGCAAUGAAUUCCCCUUGCAUACCCAAUACGUACUAUUUACUAUUUCUUUUCCCACUGAGAAGUUGGUAUUUUGGAAUUAUCGUUUUCAGCUCUACAAAUGUUCUUGGUGCUGUGUCUGUCUUUCUUUGGUGGGUUCUUGCUUUCUGAAUCUGGUUCUACUGUCGAUUUGGAUGGUUAGGAUACAGCGCUUCAGGCAACUGAUGUUCAAAAGGUUCGAUGGCAUUGGGGAUAUGAUGAUUUUAAGUUUAUUGUCGCCCCAUCAGUUGGUUGUUUGGGUGCACAACUAAAUUUUAGUAUUAUUUUAUUUUCCAUAAUUAUAUUUAUUUAAAUUUUAUAAAUAUUUUCUAAGUCUUAAGAUUUUAUUUUUUGCAUUUUAUGAUUUCUUUUUUUGGAUUUUUAAUGGUUUUUAAAUUUUUAUAAUUUUUCUAAAAUGUUUUAAGUAUUUUGAUUGUGUGAGGUUUUGUGAAUGAAGCGAAGGGUAUCUUUAUUGUGGUGAACUUUUAAUUAGCUCAAAAUGAAGUGAUUUAUUACGUCGUGUGAUUUACGGAUAAGUGUUAAAAAUGAAAUGAAUUGUUGAAUUUGAAAACAAUGGUGUAAUAUUGCAGGGAUUUCCAACAUUAUCAUAAAUUUUAGUGAAUUUAGAGACGAAAUCACAGGUCCACUGAGUUUUGUUCAAAUUUAGGGAUUUCAUCGUCAUAUACGGUCGAUUUGGAUAGUUAGCAUACAAAGCUUCAGAUCAUUGAUGUUCAAAAGGUUUGGUGGCCAUGGGUAUAUGUUGAUUUUGAGUUUAUUGUUGCCCCAUAAGUUAGUUGCACUAAAAAAAUGGGUAUUACCGAUGCUAAAAAUUGUUACUAAAAUUUUAUUGUAGCAAUAAAAGUUGUUGCGGGAUUGUUGUGUAUAUCUUUGUUGUCUAAAAUAUAUGCAACUCUACUCAAUUACACAAUAUUUACUCUUAAAUAUGACCUAUUCAACCACCGAUUUCAGCACAUUAAACACAAAUUAAUAAUCUAGAAAUAUCAAACCAAGAAUUAAAUACACAUAAUUGAGAACAAUAAAUUAAGUGUUUAUUGCAUAAAAUAAAAAAUAAAUGAUAGAAUCCAUCAUAGAGUUCACCUCCCUAGGUAUUUAGAAAAUUAGUUCAAGCUUGAAAAUAAAAACAUCCAAGAAAUAGUACAACCAAAAGAAAUAAAGAAAUUCAUGAUAAUCUCCUAAGAAAUCAACUGAGAAUCUUCAAUCUUGACAGAAAUUUGCUUCCAACUUGGCUUCAAUGGUAUUUUUCGAGUUGUUUUCUUGAAUAUUUUAUGACGGCACUCUCAUAUCUUCUUAAUUUUGUCAUAUAUACGUCUUAGAAUGCCCAAAAAACUUAAAAAUUGUGAUUUUAUGCUGUUUGUGUGGCAAUUCCACGAAAUCGACACAGCCUACUACACACCAGUGUGGGUCAUACGACUGUGUGCUUUCCUCGUGUGAAAUUUAGAAAAUGCAAAAGAUUCCCUAUGCACUAGCUGCUGGAAUCUAAUGUAUGCUCAAGUAUGUAUGCGUCCAGAUAUUGCAUACAUUGUUGGGAUGUUAGGCAAACAUUUAAGCAACCCUGGUAUAGACCAUUGGAUAACAACUGAAAGGGUUAUGAGGUAUCUUUAGAGAACAAAAUAUUACAUGCUCACAUAUUGGAUGUUUGAUAAGUUAGAGAACAUCAAGUUUACAGACUCCAAUUUUGAUGGAAUAUUGAUGCAACAUUUUGCCACUAGAGUGCAAACUGUGACAAUAAUUAGUAGUCUCUUAUUCCAAUAACAAUAAAAGCACAUCAAAGUCAAAGCACAUAGACUUUAAGUUCAUAGUUGUUAAAAUAAAAGUUCAGGGUGGUUAGAUGUCUAUAAAGUAUAUUGAGACAAACUUCAUGAUUGCGGAUUCGCUUACUAAGGGACCACCACCCAAAGUUUUUUUCAUGAGCACACUAUUGAUAUGAGUGUAAUGUCAUUCACUACAGAAUAAGUUUUUAGUGGCGUUAUUUUGGGGCUAUAACUGCCUUAUAAGCGUCGCUAAAACAACUUGCGGCGUUUUGAAAAGCACCGCUAAAAACGCCACUAUAGAACAUGACCUUUAGGGGCGCUUUUCCCACAAAUGCCGCUAAAAGUAUGACCUUUAACAGUGUUUGUGGGGCAAACGCCACUAAAGAACAUGACCUUUAGCGGCGCUUUCUCCACAAACGUAACUAAAUGUCAUGUUCUUUAGUGUCGUUUUUAGUAAAAGCGCCGCUAAAAUUCAUGUUCUUUGGCGACAUUUGUGGAAAAAUGCUACUAACUUUAGCAGAUUUUUACCAACCCAUUUUCAUUCAUAUAGAAUCCUAAUUGUUAACAUAAUUUCCUGUAACAUCAAAUCCAACCAAAAACUAAAAAUUUAAAUGAUACUUCAAUUCCAACGAAAGAAAUAUGUAUGUGAUCUAAAUCAGUAAAUGAAAUAACAAAAUAUAUUAUAUUCAAAAGUUAUAUUGUUAAAAUAUUCUCACAAUAAGAAAACAAACAUCUAAGAUGAUGGAUUCUACGACUGUUGAAACAUCUUCAUCAUAUUCUGAAGCUGUAGCUGGAGUUUGUCAUAUUUUUUGCUUGCCCCUGCUUCCCUUGCUGCCGCCUCCGCUUUAAGUUAUAGUUGGAGUUUUUCAUAUUUUCUUUAAGUCUUUGCUUUUCUCGAUGCUGCCUCCACUUUAAAUUGAGCAAUUUGCUCAACUGUGCUCGCUUGCAUUUGAACCAUCUGGUCUCUUAACCUCUGAACUUCAGCUUGAGCCUGAUUCUCUGAAGGCAUGUAUUGUUGCGAACUGGAUCCAAAAUAUUGGGUUGGGUUAACAAAAUAUCCUUGAAAUCAAACCCGACCAUACUUUUCGAGACCCAAAACUUCGGUAAUAAUUCAGUUAUCAAUGUCAUCAAUAUUAACAGAACUAUCACUUGAAGCGAUCGCUUCAUACUCUGCCCUUUUAUCCUUUAGUUUCUCCUAAUAAAUCAACCAAAGAGUUAGAAACGAAAUAUAUAAUCAAAACAAAUGCAAUAUAACUUUGGGAGUCUAAUGUAUGCUCAAGUAUGUAUGUGUCCGGAUAUUGUGUACAUUGUUUGGCUGUUAGGCAAACAUUUAAGCAACUCUAGUAUAGGCCAUUGGAUAACAAUCGAAAGGGUUAUGAGGUAUCUUUAGAGAACAAAAUAUUACAUGCUCACAUAUUGGAUGUUUGAUAAGUUAAAGAACAUCAAGUAUACAGACUCCAAUUUUGAUGGAAUAUUGAUGCAAAAUUUUGCCACUAUAGUGCAAAUUGUGACAAUAAUUAGUAGUCUUUUAUUCCAAUAACAAUAUAAGCACAUCAAAGUCAAAACACAUAGACUUUAAGUUCAUGGUUGUUAAAAUAAAAGUUCAGGGUGGUUAGAUGUCUAUAAAGUAUAUUGAGACAAACUUCAUGAUUACAGAUUCGCUUACUAAGGGAUUACCACCCAAAGUUUUUUUCAUGAGCACACUGUUGAUACAGGUGUAAUGUCAUUUAAGGAUAUUUGACUUUAGUGGGAGUUUGUAUUUUUAAAUUUUUUUAUGUUACAGACACAUCGGUUAUCUCAGUUUACGAAUAUUAAGUUUAUUUUCUUUAGAAAUAAAGUUUAUUUGGUAAAGUUUGACCUCACUAAGGUUAAGGAGGACCAUUUAGAAUAGGCAUGUUUGAAUCAUAUUGCAUGUAAUUUUCAUGUUACACAUCCAUACUUGAUCUAUGUCAUUUGGUUGUGCUAAUAUAUGUUAUUAGGGAUGGAUUUAGUUAUGAUAUAUGUAACAAAAGUCACAUUCGUUCUAUGUUAACUUAAUUAAUGAAUGAGAUUAUUUGGAAUACCUUUUGGAUAUGAUAGUAAAGUUUUGAGCUCAUAAAUUUAUAUAAUGACAUGUAAUUAUAAGGUAAUUGGUAUAUAUAUGUGGCCAAGUGGUAUGGACAUCACAUAUAUAAUAAGCCUAAUUACUCCAAAAUCCUUGCAGCCCUUUAAUGACUUUUAAGCAAUCAUAACCAUUUUAUUUACAGGUCAUUUGUAUGAAGGAACUUUGUGGUCAUGAUCGAGAGAUUCGAAUUUAGCAUAUUUACAGAGAAGGAAAUCUUGUUUCAGAUUUCUUGGCCCAUAUGGGAUUCCGGCUUUGAUCUAAGUUUACUACGAGAGCCACCUGGAAAUGCUCUCUCAAUUUCAACUAUACUAUGUGAUGAUAUUGCUAGUUCUUUGCCCUAUCGCCUGUGCUCAUUUGUGGUUAAUUAGUUUGUAAUAACCCAAAUUUGCCCAGGCUUACAACCCAAAAAUAAACAGAAAUAAAACCCAAAAAUAAAUAACAAGGCCCAAAUAAUAAUAGCCCACAAAACUUAAAAAAAAUCCAGCCAACUGAAACCCUAAUGCCCUCAUAUACGCCGCACCUCCUCCUCGGACACACUGCUCGUACCUCGUCCCAAGGUCUGACUCUUCCCAUAACAGCCCAAUUUUCAAUGAUAUCAGAAACAAUGAUUUUGGAUCACUAAAUCUGAUAAGUAAGCUUGAAAAUUUAAUAAUUAAUAAUUACGGGUCAAGUGUGAAUUUAGAAGAAUUUUUGAAUUAGUGAAUUUUGUUAUUUAAAAAGAAUUUAAUAGGUAAAUCGGGUCUAAAAUGAGGUAUCGAGACCUCGAAUCCAUAAGUCAACACAUAAAUAUUUUUAUAAAUAUUUAUGGAGUGCCAUUGAGUUAGUAUUAAAGUUUCAUCAGAAAAUUUUAACGUUUUGAUAGUCAAUUAAUUAAAAAGGACUAAAUAGAAAAGAUGCAAAACUUGCUAAAGUGAUUAAAUAGCCUAAAAAUUAAAUAAGGAAGGCCUAAAAGAUAAAAUGGACCAAUUUAAGUGGCUGAGGUGGCAUACGGUUAAAAAAAUUAAAGAUUUUUAUGUAUUUAAGGGCAAAAUUGGAAUUACAAUAAAGUUUAUGUGGCCAAAAUUUAUUUUAAGGAUUUCAAGACCAUUUCUUCUUGAAAUUUCGGUGUAAAACAGCCAUGGAAGAGGAUUGAGAGCUGAUAUUUUAUAUUUUAGCUUCAAGUUCAAUUCUUGUUUUUCCCUUGAAAUUUUUAUAUUUUUGGACUUUUACAAUUAGGUCCAACUUAGUAUUCUAUUAGUUUUUUAUUUUGUUGAAAGUUUUGGAAGAUACCAUUGAUAAGUUCAUAUGAUUUUUAUUAUUUGGUGAUGAAAUUGAGAUGUUAAUGGAUGUUUAAAGGUGUUUUAUUAAAUAAUUUUGGAUGAAAAUAUGUUUUAGGGAUUAAAUUGAAAAGUAUUGAAUUUGUGGAAAAUUCUAAAAUUUUAAGAAAUCCAUGGGCUUUCAUUGACAUGUAUGCGAAUGAUUAGGCUUGUAUCAAUGAUUAAAUUGAAAUAAUUUCAUUUUCCGAGCCUAGGGAUGAAAUCGUCAUGUAUUAAAAGUUUAGGGUCAAAAUGGUAAUCAAUAUAUUGCACUAAAAUAGUUUUGGGUAGUAGUAGUGUGCCAACUUUGAAAAAUCACCAAAAACUGUGGGAAUCGAAUUAGAAGAUGAGUAAAAGAUGAAAUUAAAGCUUAUUGUGUCUAGUUUCUCAUAGAAGAAACAGUGUAAGCAAUGGAAUUAUAAAUCAUGAGAUAUAAUAAAUUUUGUGAGACAGAGUCAGAAUAAUUUUGGAAUCCCCUGUUCUAAUUUUGGAAAAUCAUUAAAAAUUGUAUAAAAAUAAUUAUGAGUUAUAGUUUAUAUGUUUAAAAUCCUGAAAGAGUUUAUUUUCAAGAGAAACAAACAAGAACAUCACCCAAACUCUGUACAAUGAGAUAAUUACUUUUUGGUGAAGAGAGGUCAGAACUGUCAAACAGUGAAACAGGGGAGAAUUUAAAGAAUAAACUGUAUUUAUUGGCUAAGCCAAAAAUUCUAAAAAUUUUAUGGUAAAAUGAUAUAUGAGACUAGUUUCUGGAAAAAUUAACAAAUCUUAAUUUAGAGCUUCGUAGCUCGAGAUAUAAAUAAUUUAGUGACUCUGACUCGGAUAGACAACUUUGAAUUUAUGUAUAAGUAAAUCGUGAAAAUAUAGUUAAUGUUAUUUAAGCAUGUUAUAUACAUUAAGGAUGUGGAAUGGAGAGGAGGAGGAGGAAAAUUGGAAAAUAUAUGAAUGACUUGUGUAUGAAUUGGUCAUAUGCCUGAUUAUAAUCGAUAAACGUUGAAUUUGAAAUGAUAUAAUGUUUUAUUUCAAAUAGUUAUUAUGAAAUUAUGAUUAUCAUUAUGUUACAAAAUUUAAUUGUAAGUUCAUAUGGCAGAAUUUUAAUGAUUAAUUGUUAAUUUCAUAAUUAUAUAAUAUAUGAUGGGAUAUAAUUGUUGAUGAAUUGAGAAUAAAAUAACAAUGCGAAAAUCGAAUAAAUGAUCAAAUUUAGUGGAACGUCGGAUUUGAGUACUUCUGAUCAGUGACAAGUGAUAUAUGAUUUCCGUGUAAGACCAUAUUUGGGAUAUGGCAUCGUUGUGACAUGUGUUUCCGUGUAAGACCAUAGCUCGGCUAUGGCUUCGGUGUGUGAUAUGUAACGAUGUGCAAUACCAUAGCUAUACUAUGGCAAUGUGGAAACAAAGUACUCAAUUCCAUAAGACGUUCUCUAAUUUAUCAAAUUGUGGUAAGUGUUAAGCAAAUUUUAUGUGAUAAAACAUAUUGAACAGUGAAAUUGAGCUGAAUUAUGUGAUCUCAUCAUUCAGAGAUUGUGUUUGAUAGGUUAUGUUAAUAAAUUAUGUGUAUGUGAAUUUAAGUGACAGAAAUUAAACAGCUAAUGAUAUUGAGCUCAUUUACAUGAAUCUGUCAUUUGAAAUUGUGAUUGACAGAAAGAAAUAGUGAAUUGAAUAUGAAAAUGUGAAUAGAAAGCACAAACUAAAUGUUCUUGCGAUAAAUAAUGGCUCAAUGUGAUAGUAAAUGAUGUUAAUCUAAUGAAAGUUAAAUUGAAUUGUAAAUGACUUGAAUUAUCCGAAAAUGUUCUAUAAUCUCUGGUAAUGUCUCGGAACCCUAUUUCGGUGACAGAUACGGGUAAGGGGUGUUACACUUCCCCUGGCCACCUUGCCUAGCCUUGUAAAACAAAAUAGAAGAAGAAGAUAGAAGCGAAAAUAGCAGGGGAUAGCAGAAAAUAGUAGCAUAAUCGGCUGUAAAAGCCCCAAUGAAAUGUAAUUUAUUUUUUUUCUACGGAUAAUCAAAUAUUAAGAGAACAAAAUAUCAAUCGAAAAUCCUGAAGGUUUACUUCUACUGUUGUUUUAAGUUUUGGUUCAUUUUUAUUCUGCCUUUUAUUUUUCAUUUUUUUACAUACAAAGAAAGGAAAAAGAAACAGAAAUAAAAUACCAUAGUUUUAAAACAACAAAGGAAUUUCUUUGCAUAUUUAUCGAAAAUAGAGCAUAUAUACAUAGAUAUAUUCAAAAAAACACAAGUUUUUUUAACCUCUGUUGUGACUGAAGAAGGUGGAACCAAAUGGUUUUUUUUCGCCUUUUCUGAAUUUCAAAGGGGUUUCUUAGGAUUUUAACCUCGGAUUGAGAUUUGGGAGGCCGAAUAGGUCGAAAAGGGGCCUUUUUUUGAACUCCGGUCGACGUAUACGGCGGCAUACGGUGGUGGAUGACGGUGGACGGACGGUUGCCCAGUGACUAGGGUACAGCUAGACCACGACCGGAGGAAAAGGGAUUGAGAGAGAAUCCCCUGAUUUUUUUUGGAAAAAGAAGAAAAUGAAAUUUUUAAAAAAAAAUUGACUUAACUAGGGCCCCUAAACGGCGCCAUUUAGGGCUGGUCAUAAUAGCCCUAAAACGAUGUCGUUUUGCCCAAGACCCGCGCAUGUGACCCGACCCGCCAGAGGAUCCGCGUGUUUUUAACUUUUGGGCUAUUUGCGCUUUAGGCCCUUCAUCAUUUUUGGUCUAUUUCAAUUUAGUCCUUUUGCAUUUUUUCUUUAUUUUUUAAUUUAGACCACAGAUUUGUCUCGGUUUUCAAUUUGGUCCUCAAUUCGUUGGACCCCUGGGGAGGAGAUGCGUGGCCUGGAAAACUGGUUUAUUACCCAUUUGGCCCUCCUCCCUCUCGCGCUCUUUCAUUUUGGUCUUUCUUUAUUCAUUUUAUUAUAGCUUUGACCUUUAAAUUUCAUUUUUAUCCCGAGUUAGUCCAUCUUUGUUAUUUUUGUUAUAUUAUUAAUUAAUCUAAUUAUUAUCAUACUUAUAUUUUCUUUUUAUAUUUACUUAUUAUAUUAUUAUAUUAUACUAUUAGUUUUGUAUUAUUAUUAUUAUUAUAUUAUUAUUAUAUUUAUAUUUAUAUUUACUUAUCUAAAUUUUAAAUAUAUUUUGUCUUAGUAUAUAUUAUUAUGUAAUUACUUAUAUCUUUUGUAUUUUUUUAACUCUAGAUUAUUCGCUAUUCUAUUAUUAAUAUUAUUAUUGUUAUUAUUUACUUAUUUAUAUCCUUUUUAUUUCAAACUUUGUUAUAUAUAUACAUACAUACAUAUAUUAUUUUUUAUAUUUUUAUAAUCUUAUUUAUUUUCAUUAUUGUUAUUAUUGUUUUACUUGAUAUUUAUUUAUUUAUGUGUCCAUUAUUAUUUUAAGAAACAUUUUAGUUCUGUUUGUUUAUUUACUUGUUAUUUUAUGUAUAAUUGAUUUGUCCCCUUUUUUUAUUUAUUUAUCUUAUUUUCGUUGUUGUUGCUCGUAUUAUUUAUGCUUACAUCAUUGUAUUUAUUAUUGUUUUGUUACGCAUAUUAACCCCGUGUUUUAUUUCUACCAUUUCGUGUUAGAUUAAUCUCAUUUGAUGCAUAAAUCAUGACUUUAAAACAAGUAAAACUAGAUAUUUUGAGAUCCGAAAAGGUCGUGCCCUAACUUACGGGGCUUUGAUUUUCUCGAUAAAUUCAAAUACACGAAUCUUUUCAAACAUAAGUUUUUUAAGUGAUCUCGGGAAUUAAUAAAAGAUCGGGUUCUAACUUACGGGACUUGAUUUCUUUUCCAAACCCGAGAUAAUCAAAUCGAAUAUCCUUCAAAUAAAUAAAGCUUUUGGCAUUUAUUCUCGAAUCAAGUAUUUAAAUAUAUUGUGUCCUAACUUACGGGAUAUAAUUCUCUUUCUCGAUUAACGCGAAAUAUGCCCUUUUCUUGAAAACUUUCAGCAUUUUAACAAAGGAUUGUAUUUUGAAUCUUUUCAAAGUUUCCAAUUCUCGACACUAAGACACUAAUUAAUCAACCAGGUACCAAUUUCUAGGCGUUAUGAGGGUGCUAACCCUUCCUCGUAUGUAACCGACUCCCGAACCCAUCUUUCUGAAUUUCGUAGACCAAAAGCGUUGUUUUAAUAAAUCGAACCGUUUUGUUAAAAAUAACCAUUUUUUGAGUUGACCUGAUCACACCUCCUCAAAAAAGGAUUGGUGGCGACUCCCAUAUUCAUUUUCGUUUUAAAAAUCCAAGUCGACCUCUUUUAUCAAAAAAUGGUUUCGACAUAGUUGUUAAGGCUUUUGCCUCUUUCUUUUAUUAAAAAAAAAAGCUGGGCACGAUGAAUCGACCUUAGCUAGUAAAAAACUUCAAUCACCGAAUUGCAUAAAAUUCUAACUUAAAUUCAAAUGCAGAAGCAGGAUCGUUUAUCAAUCCACAAUAUCAACAAAUCUCAAUUCAAACACAAAAUUAACCGGUGAAAAAAAAUAGUUCAACCCAUAAACAUUUACCACAAAGGGAAAUUUGAAACACUUACCACCAUUCCCCUAUCAGAAAGUCUUACCCACAUUCAACAACUAGAAAUCAGAGCUCACCAAAAUGUUUAUGACGAAGCCAUUUUUUUGAAAAGGGUCGACUUUUUAUUUAAAAACGAAAAAGGGAGUCACCACUAAUCAUUUUUAUGAGGUGUGAUCGGGUCACCUCGUAACGGUUUAAUUGAUUAAAAUAAAAAUUUUGGUCUACAAAAUUUAGAAAAAUGGGUUCAGGAGUUGGUUACGUACGAGGAAGGAUUAGCACCCUCGUAACGCCCAAAAUUGGUACCUAAUUGAUUAAUUAAUGUCUUAAUGUUGAAAAUUAAAAACUUGAAAAGAAUUUAAAAUACGAUCCCUCUUUAUUAAUGUUAUUUUUUAGUUAAAAUUUCUUGGAUAAAUCAAAAUGUGUGCUUAAGACUUUCUCGUCCCAAAGUAGCAAAAAUAUUAUGUCCCGUAAGUUAGGACACAACACUUUGAACUUUGGAGAAUGAACUUGCCUUUAUUUUUUAUUUUAAAUCUUAUUAUUUUGAUUUUAAAAGGAUAUUCGGUUAUUUGAGUUCAACGAGAGAAUCGAAACCCCGUAAGUUAGGUACGAUUUCCUGAAUCUCCAAAAUAUGAAUUAUUGCCUAUUCUUUUGAAAAUUUUCCAUUUUUAUGAAAUUGGAUGAAAAUUAAUGAUAUUUAAAAUGAUAUGCAAUAUAAAAUAAAAUAUUAUAAUAACCAUGACGUAAUUACAAAGAUGAAUGCAAUAUUGUUUGGUGGAAAAUGUUUUCCGAAAAAUAUUUUCUGAAUUUUCCAGCGUUUGUUUGGUGGAAAAUGAAUUCCUAAAGUAAAACAUUUUCCAAACACGGGUAAAAUUAGUCCCCAAUUUUUGGAAAACGUCUUACUAAUUUGGAAUCAGUAAGAAAUUUUCCCGUUCUCCCUUCUCUACACUCUCGUUCUCCCUGCCUCUCUAAACCAAUCUUAGGGCUCAUUGAGCUGGUUCCGGGCUAUUUUUCCCCCUUGAUUUCUUCUCCUUUUUAUAAAUUAAUUUGGGGCUUUUCAUCACUGUGUGUUGUUUUUGUCUGGGAUCUCUUGCAUGGGUUUUCUGCUAGUUUGGGUUCUCUGUGCUCAGGCUUUCUACAAAUUCUGCUCUUCCUCUCUUGCUUGGGUCGGGUUUUUGUUACCGUUUUGUAGCCUGUGGCGUUUGGCUUGUCUUGGGCAAACUUUCUUCGCUGACUUUCUUUAGAAAGGUAUAUUUUCUAUUUUCACUUCCAUUUUCUACUUAUUUUUUAGACGCAAAAUUUCUUAGCAAUUCUUUUAUCUUGAACAAACAAUGUUUUGAGGUUUUGGGUCGUUUCAUAAAGUAGAAAAGGAAUCGAACUGUUAAUAUUCUUAAGAUUGAGAAAUUGAGGACACGUUUGGUUCGCUGUAAUGGAAUAGAGGCGUAAUAGUAAUUCAACUGUUUGGUCGAAUGGAAUGGAAUAGAGCUAUAAUAGUAUUCUUGUGUUUGGUUGAAUGGAAUUAUGUUGUAAUAGCAUAAGGAAAAAAACUAAAAUGAGUAUACCCUUAGCAGAAUUUUUUUAGGUAGAUGAUUAUUAUUAUUCUUAUUAAAUUUUAAUAAGAUUAUUAAUAUAAAUAAUAAAUAAUAUAAUCAUAUUUAACAUAAUUAUUAUUAAAUAUAAUUUAAUAAAAAAUAUAUAAUUUAAUAAAAUUCUUAAUAUAAUUAUUCUUAUAUUAAUUUCCUAAAAUCAUAAUAUAUAAUAAUCACUACACCAAAACAGGUUUUUAGCGGCGUUUGGAUAAAAAACGUCGCUAAAAAUUGAGCAUUAGCUGCGAUUUACGUCAAACGCAGCUAAAGAUCGAGCAUUAGUGGCGCUUCCAAGAAAGCGCCUCAAAAAAUGAGCAUUAGCGGCGUUUAUCCAAAAAACGCCGCAAAAAACGUAAACCCAACGGCAUCGUUUUUGACCUUUCGGGGCUUUAGCGGCGCUUUUUCAAAAGCGCCGCUAAUACUCGGGUCUUUAGCAGUGCUUUUCCCAAAAUGCCGCUAAUGCUCUAGUCUUUAGCGGCGCUUUUUCAGAAGUGCCGCUAAUGCUCGGGUCUUUAGCGGCGCUUUGUCAAAAAUGCCGCCAAAGCUCGGGUCUUUAGCAGCGCUUUUUCAAAAAUGCCGCUAAUGCUCGUGUCUUUAGCGGCGCUUAAUCCCAAAUUGAUCCUCCAUACCAAAAUGAGUGGAAAUGAGUUUAAAAGAUGUCCAAAACAUUAACAUUUAAACAUUUGUUAAGAAAUUUUCUUUUGUUUUCAAUAUAAAUGGCUUAAAAAAUGAAAAAAAAGUCUUAAACUUUGUUUGAUUAAAAAUUUUCGUAUAUAAAAAGGAACAUAUUUAAAUUUAUGUGGAUGGUUUUUAUUUAGUUUCAUUAAUAUAGGGAGAUUAAAGAUUGGUGGAGAUUUUACCUAACAAAUUAUUAUAGAAAGAGAGAAGAUGGAUUUAACACCUUUUGAGAAUCCAUUCCCCAAUGAGUUGUAUGGUGUAUCAAUUACGCAUGUAUGAAUAUAUUUUCCUUCCACCAUGUGCUGCCACGAAACUUAGGGCCAAUAUUGUGGAUUCCCGGAGAAUUAGAAGAUAAAAGAAAACCUAUAGGAGAUUCUUGUAAGAGUUACUGGUUUAAGAUUGGUUUUGGAUUUUGUAGGAAAGAUAUGCUGCAUCAAUUACACAUGGGGAUUUAAUACAAGUUGGAUCAUUUUCCUCAUCAGCUAACAUUUUCUUAUGCUAGUUUAGAUCCAAAUCCACACACCCAAUUUUGAUUUGCGCUUCCAUCAAACUAAUUCUUUUUACUGUGAAAAACAUAUUAUUUCAGUAAUAAAUGUUGAAUCAACAUUAUUUUAAUAAUAAAUUAUUUUAUUCCUUUUACUAUAGUAUUUUUUUCCCAUCAUGUUGAUUUAGGUAUAGUUUGGAUAGACAUUGCGUUUACUUGUGUUUAGUAUAAAAACAACAGUGACGAUAAAAUUAGAUAAAAGUGAACUAAUCGCACCGCACUGGCCAUCCAAAUCCAAGUACCAUACUCUUCUUUUAGUUUUUUUUAAACCCUAAAUAAGAAAGACAACCUCAUUUAGCGAAGUCAUUAACCCCUUUCUUAAAUUUCCAUAAUAAAACUCAUACCCUAUUCAAAAACCCUAUUUUAACAAAAUUCAACUAUCUUUGAAUUAUUCGUAACCCUAUAUUUAUAAUACAGACGUGGUGAUCAGUUAGACCUUUAAUUACUUAACAUACUUUUUUUUUAUUGACUAACAUCUCUUGUUUUUAUUGACUCCUUUAAUUUUAAUUUAAUAAUUUUAUAAUUUAAUCUAAAGAGGUCAAAUUCGAAUUAUUUUUUUGAUAUAAUUUUUAAUUUAACAAGAGCUGAAUCAUACUUUAUAGGAUUUGAACCUUGGACGAUAGGUUUGAAGACCCACAUGCUACCGAACUAAACUAAUAUCACUUUCUUAUCAUAAUAAAUAAAAUUGUAAAAAAAAUCCUUUUAUUUUAUAACCCUAAUACAAUACAUUGUAUGUCGUAUAUAUAUAAUAUGAGAAAAUGAUAGAUUGAGCAAAAUUGCAUCAUAGGUUGUGUUCAAAAUUCAAAUUCUUUUUGGUUUAGAGGGUUUUAUGUUUGGUUAGUGAUAAGUUUUUUUUCUUUCGCAUGUGAUUUAUCUUUUCGAUAUGUAGGGUGAAGGAUUUAAAUUGUGGAAUGUUUGGUUUAUAUAAGCAGCUUAAGGUAAGAAAAGAAAAGCAAGAUAAAAUUUGAAAGAUGAUCCCAUUGUUGACUGAUUCAUUUACUGCGAGCUUCUCCCUCAUAUUGUAGCGACACUGAUGUACAAAAUAUUUCAAAGAUGUACAAAUUUUUCGAGUUUAAAAACUACAUUGAGUGUAUUUUCGUAGGAGUUCAGUUGAUUUAAAAACUACAUUAAAUGGUUUAGGAUUUAAGGUUUACUUCAGAUUUGUUAAAUGAUGAAAUUUUAUACAAUAAAUUAAUACUUUUAUAUUUAAAAAUAUUUAAUCUAAAAUAUUCGAUAUAUUUAAAUAUUAGAUUUAAAAAAAUUGAUAAAUAAAUAAAGUCACUUAACUAAUAAUUUUUGGUAGAUAAAAUAAAAAAUUUUUAACAGAGCAAAACGACGUUAUUUUAUCAAUAGAUAAGCAAUAAUGGCGUUUUUUGUAAAAACGCCACAAAAUUUAUUUUACUUAGAAAAAAAUUUGGCGCUGAUUUUUCCCAAAUUUUCCCCCUAAAACCCCUAACUUUGCAAACAAAAUGAAAAAAAGAAGAGGAAAAUGAAGGUACCAAAGACGAUUCAGCACAAAACCUCUCCAAUCUACUUACGAGUUCUACCGUUUGUUUCCCUGGAAAAUAUAUGAGACUUAAUAUUUUCUGUUCCAUUUUUCCUCUUUAUUUUCUAAUUUUGGGUAUUAUUUACUCAGAUCCCCUUUCUUUUUAUUAUUGUUUUUUUUUUCUCUUAUAUUUUAGCUAGAAAUCGACGAUGCAAGUUACUGCUGGUAACAAGUUAUUGCUUAAAAUUCAUCGUAACAAAUCUACUUCAAAGGAAGUUAUUCAUAUUCCUUCGUAUCGAAGCGAAGUUAUUUACGGUGGAACUUGGUUCUCCAGCUCUCGUAAGUUUGUUCCCAGUUUUGUAUUUGCCAUCUAUACCAGGUUUACCUCUCUUACUUCUCUUCGUCUUCAUCUCCCUUUCAUUUAUUCUACCAAAAACGCCUCUUACUUGUCAUUUUUUUCUCACAUAUCGUGCAAGACUCAUUUUUCUUUCUUUAUGCUCUAGUCUUAACAGUGCACUUCAACUGUUCAAUAUAAUGCUUCUUUAUACAAUUUGUUUCUGGUUUUCAGGGGGUGUUGUUUGUAAGAUGUUGAAGCAAGCGAUAUGGAAGGUGUUGAGCAAAAGGGUAGUUUCAGAUUCUGGUGAUAAACUUCUUUUGCCUUGUUUGUACUUGCCCACGACUUCUUUUCACGCUGGACAGGUAGGUACUCUUUUUUUUUCUUUUAACUCUUACUUUAGUUUUUUUUAUGGAUACCCAAUUGUUAAUUUAUUAAAUAAUAAAUCUUUAAUAAUAAACCUAAAUUUAUGGCAUUUGAAUUAUUUGUAGAAUUUGAAUCAUAAAAACAUUGUCAAGUAUCUUGGAUCAUUGAAGACAACAAGAAGUUAGGUUUUGUAGUCUCUGUCUGGAAUUCUUGCUCUGAAGUUUGUCUAUUUUAUACGAGUUGAGUUUUCAUGGUUUGCUGUUGCAUUGUUUCUUCUGUUCUUUGUUUUGUUAUUGGAACUAUUUCCAAUUGUCUGGUUUACUUGAAAUCCGAUAUUUGAUUAAAGGGACCAAGUAGAGAGCACAAGUGAGAGCGAAGGCAGUGCAAGUGAUGAAGUGCUUGUUGUUCCUUAUGAUAACUUAGCACCUAUUUCUUGUGGUAAUAUUUUCUCAUUAUUCUUCUACUUUUGAAUUUAUUGUAUUCCAAAUAUAGCAUCAAGAAAAAUAUAAUAGUACAUUAGAGUUCAGCUUGUAUAAUUUGUUUGGAUUCUUUCUGUCUUGAAGCAGAUAUUACUGAAUCUAAGCAGCUUUUAGAUAAGCUUGUUGUGGUGAAGUAUAAUAGAGCUUUGGGAAAGAAUAUGGGUUUCGUUGGUCCCAAGUAAGCAAUUAUCUAACUUCUGGAAGUUUGAUACUUAUUUUUUUCCAAGAAAAGAGAAGCAUUUCUUGAUGAUUCCAUAGUUAUAUAUUAAAGACUUGCCUCUACAUAAAUGAAUAUAGUUUCUAUGACAUACAUAUAUUUAUGUAUGCUUUUUAUAUAUGCCUCUACAUUCAUAUAUUUAUAUAUGCUUUUUAUAUUGUAUUGUGCCAAAUAAAGAGAAUAAAAGUUUUAAUUAUUGAUAGAUUCUGCUACUUUUUUUAUGUACUUUUUAUUAAAUCACUCUUUAAUCAAAUGUAGAAUUAUAAAAUUAUUAAAUUUUACUAUAAAUAAUUAUCCUUAUAUAAUUAAUUAUUUUAGUAAAUUUUCCAACUAUCAAAACAGAUCACUCCACCAUCCCACGUCAAAAUUUUGUUAAGGGUAGGAGUUGAGAGAGGUAGAUACUUUGAUGAAUAUUUUCUUUUACAUGAUAAUUAUAUACUUCUUUAAGUUUGUUUUGGAUGUUGGGACAAUGUCAGUUGAUGCCGAAAUUUGAUAGUGCUGCAAAUUGAAGUGUUUAAGUGCUGCAAAUUGAAGUAUUUAGUUGCUGCAAAUUGAGAUGUUUUAUCGCUGUAAUUGAGGUGUAUAAAUGUUGUUAAUUGAUAUGUUUAAGUGCUGCAAAUUGAAGUGUUUAAAUGCUGUAAAUUGAAGUGUUUAAGUGCUGCAAAUUGAAGUGUUUAGUUGCUGGAAAUUGAGAUGUUUUAUUGCUGUAAUUGAGGUGUAUAAAUGUUGUUAAUUGAUAUGUUUAAGUGCUGCAAAUUUAAGUGUUUAAAUGCUGUAAAUUGAAGUGUUUAAGUGCUGCAAAUUGAAGUGUUUAAAUGCUGUAAAUUGAAGUCUUUAAGUGCUGCAAAUUGAAGUAUUUAGUUGCUGGAAAUUGAGAUGUUUUAUCGCUGUAAUUGAGGUGUAUAAAUGUUGUUAAUUGAUAUGUUUAAGUGCUGCAAAUUGAAGUGUUUAAGUGCUGCAAAUUGAAGUGUUUAGUUGCUGCAAAUUGAGAUGUUUAACGCUGUAAAUUGAAGUGUUAAAGUGCUACUUUCCAUUGUCACCUCCCCCAUUUCUUUAUGCAUCAAUAACUAUAUUAAUGAAAUCAAGUACUACAAUUAUAUACUAUUGCAGAUGGGGGUUGGAGAAUAUGAUCAAGGGGAAAACAUCAGAUAUGGUGAUUCCUAGCCAAGCAGUGGCUUCUUAGACACCCAACAUUUUGCACAACCAAACAUGACCACAACUUUUAAACCUACAUGUUGAGGUUGCUACACACAAGUCCCUUCCUUUUUUUAGUUUAUGUGCUAUGUGAUGAUUGUGUUUUAAAAUUUAACUUGUUUUAGUUCCUUACAUUCUUAUACGAUUCACACUCAAGGAGCUAGAUUUGGAGCUUAAACUGUCACUGUAAUCAGUAAUUUUUUUUUUGCUUCUUUAAAUGCAUGCUCAUGGAACUACAUCUUAUGCUUUCCUAGAAUUGUAAGUUCAAAUAAGGUGUUGAUCUGCAAUUUAUACAUACAACUUGAGCAAGUUGAUAUGAACUAGUUUCAAUUUUUUUUUUUAAAUGAAAGGAAUGUUAUGUAAUCAAAGGCAAUUUGACUUGUUGCAUGAGAUAUAGUGAAAAACAUUUAUCUUCUUAUUCAUGAAUUUCCAUUUUAAUACGUCUUCAAAUUAAAUUAUACAUUUUUUAAUUGGUAGAAUCUCACUUUUGCUGUUGCUGCAAUCUUUAACCAAAGAAUGGAGUGAUGUAUGUACUGAUAACAGUUCUAAAGGAUUUGUUUAAGCAAGUAAAGAGAUUGGCGUUUUUAUAAUAAUUUAGGAUAGGAAUGGAGCAAAUCCAAAGAAUGGAGUGGCAUUUUUAUAAUAAAUUUUUUUAUUUUUCGUGACCUUUACUAGCGUUUUUGGAGAAAGCGCCGCUAAAGGUCUUGUUUUUUAGCGGCAUUUUUGGGAAAAGUGCCGCUAAAGGUCUUAGUCUUUAGCGGUGUUUGUGGUAAAAGCGCCACUAAAGGUCUUGGUCUUUAGUAGUUUUUGUGGGAAAAGUGUCGCUAAAGGUCCUGGUUUUUAGCGGCGUUUGUGGGAAAAGCGUCGCUAAAGGUCUUGGUCUUUAGUGGCGUUUGGGGGAAAAGCGCUGCUAAAGGUCUUAGUCUUUAGCGGUGUUUGUGGGAAAAGCGCCGCUAAAGGUCUUGGUCUUUAGCGGCGUUUGGGGGAAAGCACCGCUAAAGGUCCUGGUUUUGAGCGGCGUUUGUGGGAGAAGUGCCGCUAAAGGUCAUGGUCUUUAGCUGCGUUUUUUCCGGCUAAAAAAGUGCCGCUAAAAGCCUGUUUUGGUGUAGUGAAUAUAAAAAUAAUAUAUAAUCUCAUUUAUUAUUUUUAAAUCGCAAUACAUAUUUAAUGUGCUAAAAUAUCAUUAGUGAAUCAAAUAAUUUAAUUAUUCUACAAAAAAAUAGAAGUAAUAAAUAACUUGAAAAUUAUAUUUUGCAUAAAUAUAAUAUUCAAAUAUUAACAAACAUACCCUAAAUCAAAUUUCAUGUAUAAUUUUAAAAUUUACCCCAAAGAUUUAGUGUACUUCUUGACCUGAACUUGACAAUUAAGUUUAUUUUAGUACUUGUAUAUUUUUUGUCCACUUUAAUAAUUGAACUUGACAAUUAGAUAUAUUUUAAUCUUUGAACUUGAAAUAUAUAAAAUUUUAUUGACAUAACACUUUAAGAUUGUCUCACAUCAUUAAAUUUGGACGGAAUAUAAAUUCAUAGUCAAAAUAGACCUACUUGUAAAGUUAGAUACUAAAGUAGACCCCAACAACAUAUAUAAGUAUCAAAAUGAAACUAGCUUACAAAGCAAAACUUCGUAUAAAAGAAGAUAAACAAAUUGUGCUACUUGAAGGGAACAACACUGGCACUGGAAAAACAUUCCGUGUUUGAGGACAUAAAAUCUCUUAAGCACUGCGUCCAGGUUAUGAGCUACUCACAGCAACACAGAUCGCUGGGAAAUAGUGUGCCAAAUUACCUUUUGUAUCUCUUCUUGGAACCACAUGGACAGGGAGCAUUACGGCUCAUUUCUCCACUCUUUACCAUAUUAAACUUGGUAAGAUCCAAUGGUGUUAAACCCGUUAGCUUUUGCACCUGCAAAAGAUAAAAAAAAACUAAUGACAUUUCCAAUGGAGAAAGAGAGAGAUGCAUAAACUAAUACUUGUCAUUGAUGUUUUAAACUGUGGGAGAAACAUUCAUCCGAACUCAAAUGCGAAUUUCAGCAACUGAAGAUGAAUGAAGGCAGACAUCUCAGUCUUUUAAGCAAUCUGGCAUUGAACCAAAAAAGCAUAACGCAGAUCAGCAGACCAAACAUCUGUAACUCUAUGUUAGUUCGACUCUUUCUUUUCCUUUAUGCAUCCAUGUUUGAUGCAAGUCUGGGACCAGAAUGAAUAUAGGGAGAUAAUCCUUUAAAAAUCCUCCAAAUACAUUAAAAAACUUGGACAAAAAAUGAACACAACACACCCGUGUCAAACAUAUAUAUCAGACACUCAAACUAUAGUCUGAACAACAAGAUAUACAAUCAUCAUUUUGACUCAGAUAAUAUGCAUAACUAACUCCCCUACCUUCUUAGACAAAUAUCUUACUUAUCUUUCAAAUAGCUCAUCCUACAUUCAACAUCAUAUUCACCGAGCAGCAGCCAAAAGACAAAAAUACAUUAACUUAGAGAAUUUAAGAUCAGACAAAUUGAGCAAUAGGCAUAAAGACACUAGCUCAUACGUUUUAAUCAUUCAACAUAUUAUCAGCAAAAACAUAACUGAAAAAAACCAGUGGUGAACCUACCACAGCAAAGUUCUUUGGCAUCGGUUUGCCUUCCUCUUUCAGCUUAACCAUCUUCUUAUGAACUUCUUUAGCCCAUGUGAACUUCGCAAGCGCAUUCUCAACAUAUAAUAAGGUACAAUCACACUGUUUUGCAGCUUCUUUCUUUUGACUCAGUUGGAGAUUCUAAAAAAAAAGUCAAAAUCUAAAUCCACAAUCAGCGAAUUCACCUACAGGGCUCCAACCAUGUUUUAUAGUUUGGACGAGAAAAGGCAGCACCUUCUUACAUGCAAUGUCAGUGGUCAACAGGACUGGAAUGCUCGCCUGUUUAUCAUGGUGGAAAUCAAAUUCUUAUAUAAAACAUAGUUAACAUUUCUCAGCAUAAAGCCUUCAUCUUUUGUGCAAACAAAUUUUAAAUUAACAGAACUCAACUAGUCGAAAUCACAAGCCAUUCAAAAAACAAUAGAAUCAGACAAACAUGUAAUAGAAUAAAAAUUUUCAUCUGUUCAAUCUGUUCAAUCGAACAAACAUUGAAAACAUUGAAAGAAUUUUCAUCUGUUCAAUCGAACAUGCAAUACAAAGAAAAGCUGAAUGGAAAACGCUAGAAACGAAUCAAAAUUAGGAGAACAAAAACAAAUAUUCCAGAUUUGAGCAAAAGCAAAACUAAAUCGAUUUUACAGAAAAGAGAAGAAAAGAAAAACAGGGAAAGAGUGUGAGAAUUUUUCGUUGUUGAUAAAAUGGAGAAAAGAAAAAAAACGAGAGAAGAAAAGAAAUGUACGAGAAUAAAAGAAGCAGAAAUCGAUGGAAGGGAAAAAAUUACCUUGCAAAACGUCGGAGAGGAUGAGCGCAGAAAACGAAAAAGAUGGUAACAAAUUGGGAGGGAAUCCCUAUUCCGCGCUUAAACAUCAGAAUGGCUAUUACAGCCAACGUGGGUAAUAGAUGCGGAACGGAACCAAACAUCCGUUUGGUGGUGGGCCUAGGGAAUUGGGGGGAAUGCAUACCGAUUCCCCCCAACCAAACAUACCUUGAGUUUGUUCUCUUAAGAGGAAAUGGUAAUGAGGUGUAAAAGCCAAGAGGAAAUGAUUAUCUUUACCGCUAGAAAUGAACAAGGUAUGUUAUUCAUAUUUUUCUCCGGAUGCAGGUUUUAAUUGGGCAAUAGUUUUACUUUUGUUAUAGCUAGAGGUUUUACUUGUCAUGCAUCUUACUGCAUUUGGUUAGUUUUAUGUUUUAUUGUUUUAUCUUUCUGGCAUUUUAUAUUUAGUUCUCCUAUUUUUUUAGACAAUUUCUGCAACAUUGGUUUCCUAUGACGUGAUAGUAUUUUUUUGUUGUAGUAGUGAUAACAUUUGUGGUUGGCAAGAUUCCUUUAACACGGUUUAUCUGGAAAGGUCUAUCUUUGGGUUGCUGAUAGUGUCACCGAGUGAAAUAAAUGCUAGUUGUGGCUCUUAUGAUUACAAACUAUUAGCUUAUUGGUAAAUUGAAUGUUCAGAUGUCAUGACUGAUGUAAAUUCACAUACUUUUAAACAUUGUGCAUCUUCUAAUUUUAUGAAUUUUAACAACAAAAAGUUUUCUAUACAUAAUGAUUAUUUGAUUACUGUAUGUUUGAUCUUGGAUUUCUGUUGCUAAACAUGAAUUGGAAUAAAAUGAAUGCUAGUUGUUCAUUUGAAUAACAAGAAUGAAAUAAAUGCUAGUCAAGGCCUCUAAAAGACUAAUUUAGUAAUUUGGCUGAAUUGAACCCUUAUAUCAUUAGGGAAUAUAACAGAAGAACUACUAAUAGUUUGAAUAGAACAUAAUGAACUGAUUAAUAAUACAUUUAAGAGGUAUGUUAGUAGCUGCUAGUCUCUAGUUCCUUGAGAGUUUGGUUGUUCAGAGUGUCGUCUAGGAUUGUAUUCUGUGCUGUCCAUGCAAGUGUAAUAAGAUUGACUAAGGUCUUUUCCCUUUGAAAUUGUUGAUCACUCAAUUAAGCUCAGUUGACCGGCUAUCAUGUCCUUGCUCAAUUAAGCUCUGCCAUAACUGCACGAAAGAACAACAAUUCCAUACACUCAUUACAAAGAAUACAAGUAGUGGAGUUCACGGACUAGACAAUUAAAGAGAACUUUACACAUGUAACCAAAUUCACCAAUAUGAGCAUUGAUAUCUCAUUUUUAUGAGAUCUUAUUAGAUUAUUGAUUAUGAAUAUGUUUACUCGAUCAUUUCAAGAUCAUGGUUUCAUUACAUGGAGUUGUUUGAUGGUGAAGGCAAUAAUACAUUUUUAAGAUUACUGCAGCCAAAAGAGUUGUUGCAAAGGAGACCAAAGUCCAGAACUCUUUUUCUUUUGUGCUUCCACAACUGAGUUCUCCAUUACCUCAACUUUCAGCUUCAAAUCUUGAGCUACUUGUCUCUUUCUGUCAUUGAUUGUUACUUUUAUGUGGUCUAAUAUUAGUUAUGCACUUGGACAAUGUUGUUGUUAUUAUGUGGUGUACUACUAAUUAUGCAUUUGGAUAAUAUUAUUAAUUUCUAGUAUUAAUUGUGGUUUGGAAGCUAAUUUAUAAUUAUUCAAUCCUUAUUUUUUAUUUUUUAACACAAUUAUAAAUAAUUUAUUUGACUUUGGUUGUUUUCAAUUUAUGACGGUUAAUAUUGUAGCUUAAUAAUUGAGUAUUUUGAUUUAUUUAUUUAUAAAUAAAUCAUUUCAAUAUAUGUAAAAAUAAUUUAAAAUAUAAAAAUUUAUUAAUAUGUAUAUAAAUUUAUUAAUAUAUGUAAAAACAACUUUUUCGGAAAAUAUUUUCAGGAAAUCUACCAAACAACAAAAAAUAUUUUACACAGAUUCAUCCAAACACUAGAAAAUAUUUUCAGUAAAUCAUUUUCCAGAAAAGUAAAUCAUUUUCAGGAAAUCAUUUUUCGAAAAACAUUUUACUGGCAAACAAACGAACCCUUAUUGCUCAUGGUCAUCAACCUAUAAACCCAAGAGCAUUAUUAGCUUCUAAAUCCAAAACACUAAUAUCAGCAUCCAACCCAACAAUGAUAGUCUUAUUGACUCAUUUAAACAAGUUUCCUUUGUCAAUCUAUAUUCUGUAUUUGGUAAUCUCCAAUAUGAUUUCAGAACAUACGAUAGUUGGAAGAAGAAUAGCAGCAAAGAUGCAAAGGGAAAUGACUUAUACGAGGAGGAAGAACCAUCUUUUGGGUGCAAACCUGUAUACCAUAUAAUAGGAUGUCCUGUAUAAUGUCACGAGAGCUAGUACCGUUGCCAAGCAGUAAUUACUAAUGCUAAUAUGAUGAACAGAAAAGGAUCCAGCCGUAAGAUAGUAUGGAUACUGAAAUGCGAGUGUCCGUAUGGAAACAGCAACUAAAAGCAUGUAACAGGUCCCAAAACAGGUCCCAAACAAGGAAAGUGUUAUGAGAAUCACUACACCAAAAUAGGCUUUUAGCGGCGCUUUUUUAGGCCUUUAGCAGCGCUUUUUAGCGCCACUAGCGCCGCUAAAAACGCCGCUAAUGACAGUGUCGCUAACUUUAGCGGCGCUUUUUCCACAAACGCCACUAAAGACCAAGACCUUUAGCGGCGCUUUUACCACAAACAUCACUAAAGACCAAGACCUUUAGCGACGCUUUUCCCACAAACGCCGCUAAAAACCAUGACCUUUAGUGGCACUUUUACCACAAACGCCGCUAAAGACCAUAGCUUUUAGCGGCGCUUUUCAAACAAACGCCACUAAAAAUAUAUCUUUUAAAAAAAUUAAUUUUUUUCAAAUAAUAUUUAUUUCUAUAAUAAAUAUUAUAUUAUGUUUUAAGGAUAAAUAAAAAAUAUUAUUUAAAUUAAAUUUUCUACAAAAAUUUUAACUUUAAAACUAAAUAUAAAUAUAAAAAUUAAUGAAUUUAAAUUUAGAAUUUAAAAUAAUAAAUUAAUAACACAAUUAAAAUCCAAAAGUUAGAACACUUAAGUAAAAAUAAAAAUUUAGAAUCAAAACUAAAAUAAAUGAUACAUAUGCAAGGUAAUAAAAUAUACAAUGCAUUUUCUUAAUCAAGUAAAUCUUGGUUACAAAACUAACACAGAAAAUAACACAGUAUACAGUAUGUUUUGUCUUUCACAUUUUAAAAAUAAUAAUAAUAGCAUGUUUGUUUGCAUGCUACCAUGAUCAAAACACAAAAAUGAAGUUCUCCACCUAAUACAAAUUUCUCCUACGAAUGUGCAGAAUCAGAUCUCUAGAUUCUCGGAGUUCUUCAUCUGGUGCUGUCUCGAUGGUUUUGAUUAUUGUGUCAUCUAGCUGGAUUCAAAAAAAAGAAUAGAAUGCAAAGCAUGUUAUACAUUUGGACUCCAAAUUUUUAGCAACUCAAAAGAAUGCUAAGAAUGUUGUCCAACCUUCCAGUACUCACAAGGAUCUUGAAUAAAAAUGAAAUCAGACCUCACCACUUCAUAUAAGAAGCCUACACAACUAAUUACACAAAAGAAAAAGAUGAGAAAAAAUAACAAUGUAAAAAAGACGUUUGAAUGAGAUAAUAUAGAACCCAGAGUUAACUCUGUGAAUACCUUCACUUUAGAGUGGGUGUACACAGUUCGAUAAAGAUCAGCACGAGUAGCAAAUAACUUGUGGAUACUAAGAUCUAGCAAGAGCACCCAUUACCAUUAUUAAGGAGUAAAAAAACACUAAAAGAACUAAACAUGUAUUUUGCAAGUAAAUGAAUUAGAUGAUACUAACAGUCUUUAGCACGAUAGCAGAUCUCAUCACCCAAAACUCGCAGUCUCCAUGAACCUGCAGGUGGUGUAGUAUGUAUAUUAAGUUUCACUUACUUAUCCACAUCAAUUCCAUUCUAACCAUUUGCAACAAUAUCAUAUAAGAAUUGCUUCUCCUUUGCACUCUUCAAAGUAAGCACAAAAUAGUGUAUGUGUUAGAUAAAGAAAAGAAACAAAGAAUGUUUGUACUUCAUACUGGAGCAAAAUAUAAAAAAUCCAGUGAUCAACAUGUGCCUACACUUAAAAUAUAAAAAAUCUAGUGAUCUACCGAAAUUAAACUAUUCAUCAAAAUGAUUGCAAUUAACUGAGUUAAAACAUGAUUUUUUUUCUUUUCUUGCAAAUAUCUAAAGUUUUUUAUACCUUCCCAAAUGGUGAAACAAGCUGGUGAAGUGCUGUAAUUCUGUCUCCUAAUUUUUCUUUCCUCACCUGCCAUAUAACAUAUAUAUGUAUAUAUACAAGUCAGAAAAAAAGAAAAAGUAGGUGAUUAAUUUACUAUUUUACUUUCACUUAAACUAUAUUCUCUUUUUCAUACAUUAAUAGAAUAUGAUAGUUACAGCAAAAAAAAAAGAAAAAGAAUCAUCCCUCUAGAAAUCGACAACCAAACAAGGACAACAGUUUUUACCACCCCACAUGUAUUUUGUGUAUGUGUAUAUAUAUAUAUGCUUGUGAGUGUGCGUGUGCGUGUGCGUGUGCGUGCAAUCUGUAUUGAGAUAAAAAAAAACAUAUAUUUAAUUAUAUAAAAAUUAUGAUAAAAGUAUCAUGGAAGUCCCUGUACUAAAAGGUGGAUUACAUUUUGCCCUUUUACUCAAAUGGUUUAAUUUAAACACUCAUUCAACAGCUAUUACCUAAAAUGCUACCACUUUUGAGGUAUAAAAUCAGUGGAAGUCUAAAUGAACAAAGUCCUAAGCCAAUCAAAACAAAGUCACCAAGAAAUGAAAAAACAAUCUGUUCUUAUCCUUUCGAAACAGUGACCAAAUACAAUGAAUUCAAAAGGUUGUCCUUUUCAUAUCUGCUUAUCAACCAAAUACGCAAUGAGAAAAAAAAAUCAUGAUCCGCCAGCAGAAAAGCUUGAAAUUUGAAUGGAUCAAAUGAAACAUAAAUCUAAUGUAAAACACACCUGGAGAAAGCUUAAAAGAAGAGCUUUGAUGAGAUUUUCUGGUGUGAGCUCUGGCUGACGCUGCUGAUAUCUUCCUUCUAACUUCCCCAUUAUCGUCCCUCAAAACCCAAUAAUCUGUAAAACGAAGACUCCCCCAAAUUACUUCAGAUGUCUCUCUUAAAUUCUAUUUAAAAAAAUUAAAAAUCUAUAAAAAAAAUCAGUUACUAUAAAAAAAAGAGAUAAGUGUGAAUUAAAAAUAUAAUCCCAAAUACUGAUUCAAUUGCAGACUGGGAUUUAUUUCUUACCUCAAAGGUACAGCAAUGGUUGUAACCUCUGUAACCUGUUUGUGAAACCUCUGUAACCUGUUUUACUAGUAAAGCCGAUAAUAAUCCAGAAACUGGUUGUAACCUCUUUGUAUUUGCCUGGGAAACCAGAAAUCUUCUCAUUAUCAGCAUAUGUUGAUUUUUUUUAUAAUGUCGCAGGGAGGGAGGGAGGGACAGAAAGCAAGAGAGACGGCGAAGAGUUUUAGGAGGGAAAAUUAGGGGUUUCGGGGAAAUUUGGGGCUAAAAUGGGGGGAGAAUUUUUAAAAGUGAAAUUAGGGUUUUUAGAGGGAAAUUUUGGGAUAAAACGGCGCCAAGUGAAAUUAUUUUUGCGACGUUUUAAAAAAAAAGCCGGGAAUGUACCUUUUGUGGAUUUUUUUUGAAAACGUCACUAACAAAUUUAAAUUCUUUUAUUGAAAUGACGUCGUUUUGAGAAAUAUUAAUACAUAGUAACGGCGUUUUUUGCUAAAAACGCCGCUAAAGCUCUCAUAUUUUUUAUAUUCAAUUAUUGUAUCUUUCAUAUAAAUUAUACAUAAAAGAAUUAUUAAAAUUUUAAGUAAUAUUUAAAAGAAUUAAAUAAUAUUAUAAAUUUAGUUUUCUUAUUUCAUUUUUAUUUUUGUAUUUUUUUCUUAUAAUUUGGUCCUAUCUAAAUUAAAUAAUUACCUAUAUAUCCAUAUCAAAUAUAUCAAAUGGUUUAAAUUAAAUAUUUUUAAAUAUAAAAGCAGUAAUUAAUUGUAUAAAAUUGUAUCAUUUAACAAAUCUCAAAUAAACCUUAAACCCUAAAUUAACCAUUCAAUAUACAUAAAGUCUAUCUAUUAUAUAUCUCUUACAUAAUAUAAACUAUACUCAUAAUUUCAAUAUAUUAAAUUUAUUAUUAUCUCUUUUACAAUUAUAUAAGAACAUAUUUAAUAUAUAAAUUAAAAAAUCAAUUAAUCUAAACCCUAAACCUUAACCCGACCCUUGAAACCCUAAAUCCCUAACUCCUAACCCCUAACUCUUAACCCCUAAACCUUAAAUCCCAACCCUUAAACCAUAAUCCCUAAAUCUAUAUAUAAUCCCCGAACCUUAAAAUAGUAACUCCUAAACUGGCUUUAAAUAUUAAAUUAACCAUAUACCGUAAACCAUAUAAACCCUAAACUAUAAUGAUAAUUAAUUAAAUAUUUUAAAAUUAAUACUAUCUUAUCUUUUUCAAUUAUAUAUGAAAUUAUUUAAUAUAUAAAUUAAAAAACAUCAAUAAAAUAUAAAUUAAAAUGCUUUUUUUUGGAUAAUUUAAUGAAUAUGGCAGGAUUAACUCUAAACCCCUAACCCCUAAAUUCUAAACUUAGCCCUAAACCUUAAACCCCAACCCUUAAACCAUAAACCAUAAACAAUAAUCCCUAAACUAUAAUGAUAAUUAAUUCAAUAUUUUAAAAUUAAUACUAUCUCUUUUACGAUUAUAUAAGAUAUUUUUAAUAUAUAAAUAUCAAACACGUCAUAGACACUUAAAACUUUGAGAUAGUUAUACUAUUUUUUAUUUCACUUAUAGGAACCUCAUACACUCAAGCACUGCAAGUCUUUUGUGAAUUAACCAAUGGUUAUGAAGAUCUACUACUUACGGUUAUCAAUGCCAGCUGGAAUCACAAAUAUUAACAAGAAUCAGACAUAGAUAGCAAAAUUAAUCAAGCACUUUCAAGGGACAUUCUAGCAGUUCUUUAAAGAAAUGGAUUUCAAUCCAAAAUUCAACAGUUCUGUAACUAGCCUAGCAGACAGAUGGAAAAAUAAUAUUUAUUUUAGAGAUCAGUCUACCUCUUAAGUGGAAUAACUUUCUAUAAACUUUAACCUUGUGAACUUUUUUAUUAAUAUAUUUCUUCUAAUACUUCUUAGAGAUAAUCACAGUCAAGAGAUUCAACCAUUAAGAUUCAAUGGAUGGUUAAUAUAAGACCAAACAAAGACAAUGCAUCUAAUUUAAUAAGCUCAGCAGUGCUCACGAAUAAAGCAAAACAGUGUAUAAGAAAUUAUUUAGUAUGUAAAUUAAAAAACACUCAGUAAUGUACCCAAAAAACUUAAAAACUAUUUUAAAUAAUAGUAUUUUAAAUCAUGUACCCAAAAAACUUAAAAAUAUUUUUUGCGGCGCUUUUUAAAAAACGCCGCUAAAAAUAGAGCAUUAGCGGCGCUUUAUCAAAAACGCCGCUAAAGACCAGAGCAUUAGCGGCGCUUCUUCAAAAAUGCCGCUAAAGACCCGAGCAUUAGCGGCGCUUCUCCAAAAACGCCGCUAAAGACCCGAGCAUUAGUGGCGCUUAUUCAAAAACGCCGCUAAAGACUCGAGCAUUAGCGACACUUCUUCAAAAACGCCGCUAAAGACCCGAGCAUUAGCGGCACUUCUUCAAAAAUGCCGCUAAAGACCCGAGCAUUAGCAGCGCUUUUCGAAAAAUGCCGCUAAAGCCCUGAAAAAUCAAAAAACGAUGUCGUUGUGCUUGGGUUUUUUGCGACGCUUUUUGAAAAAUGCCACUAAUGUUCAUUUUUAGCGGCGUUUUCCAAAAAACGCCGCUAAUACUGGAUCUUUAGCGGCGUUUUUCCUAAAGCGCCGCUAAUGCUUGAUUUUUAGCGGCGUUUUUUGUUCAAACGCCACUAAAAACGCCGCUAAAAGCCUAUUUUGGUGUAGUGAAUAAACAAGUAGAUUGAACGGCUGGGUAGGAGAUAGGCUGUUAAAACAGUUGUUGCCCAAAAGGUUAAAGUGUUGUAUAACCAAAACAUUGUGCACACGUUUAGUAUAGGUUCUAUUUUUUUUUCUUCAGCGGGUGGAGGACUUGGUACGGGUCCAGUGCUGGUUAAACCUAAAGAUGCGUCAUACUUGAGUUGGAAAUUCUGGGAAUUUGAAAUGGUACCAGGCUGCUUUGGAGGGUUCAAAGUGGCAGUGUAUGUGGCUGUUAUAAUUAGCACUGUGACUACUAAAAAUGUGUUACGCAUCUCAUGUGGGAUUCCCUUUGUUGACACCAUUUUUUUUAUAAAACAAGGUCGACUUGGGUUUUAAAAAUGAAAACAAACACGAGAGUCGCCACCAAUCCUUUUUGAUAAGGUGUGAUCGGGCCACCUUAAAAGUGGUUAUUUUUAAUAAACAAUUUAAUUUUAUUAAAACAACGAUUUCGGUCCACGAAAUUCAAAAAAUCGGUUCAGGAGUCGUUUACGUACGAGGAAUGAUUAGCACUCUCGUAACGCCCAAAAUUGGUACCUAGUUGAUUAAUUAACGUCUUAAUGUUGAAGGUCGAAAGAUUUUAAAAUACGAUCCUUAUAUUAAAAACUUGGAUAAAUCAAAUUAGCCGUUAGGACCCUCUCAUUUCAGAGAGAGAAAAUAUUAUACCCAAUGAGUUAGGGCAUGAUAUUUCACCUCUUCAAAAAUGUGCUUGUCUAAACAACUCGUACAGUAAAAUUUAAAAGGAUAUUCAAUUGUUUAAGUCAGGUGAAAAAAUUGUAGCCCAAUACGUUAGGGCACAAUUUCUCAAAAUUCUAAACAUUGAAUAUUGCCUUUAUUUAUUUUUUAGAAAAAUUCACGUCUCGAGAAAACAACGUGUCAUAUCCAAUGCGUUAGGAUUCAACGUAUUGAAUUCCCGAUAAUGAGUUUUUAUUUAUGUUUUUGAUUAAAGAGCAUUCUCGAUUAUUUAGAUUCAACGAAGAAAAUUAGAACCCAAUACGUUAGGGCUCAAUCCUCUCGAAAAUCCCAGAUAUUGAGUAUUGCUAUUAUUUUAGAAAUUUUCCUUUUUUCCAAAUCUGAGUAAAAAUUGAUGUAAUGGAAUAACAAUUAUGAUAAUAUAAGUAAAAAUAAUAAGAGCAAAAACAAAAAGAUAAAUAAAUAAGAAGACAAAUAUUAAUAUAUAAAAAAAUCAUUCAUGUAUACACAAUAAACAAGUAAUAAGCAAAUAAAAGUGAAACAUUCUUUUAAAAUAAUAAUGAAAGCGUAAAUAGAUAAAUAAAUAAAGAAAAUGAAUAAAAUUAUAAGAAUGUAAAAAGAUAUAUGUAUGUACAUAUAUAUAUAAAUUAUAAGAUAUAAUAAGAAAUAUAUAUAAGCAUGUAUAUAUAUAUUUAUAAAAAUUAAAAAAUAUGUAUAUAGAUAUAUAUAUGCAUAAAAAUUAUAAAUUAUAAAAUAUAAAAAAAAUAUAAGAAUGUAUAUAUAUGUAUAAAUUAUAAAUAAGUUAUAAAAAUAUGUACGGGUAUAGGUAUAUAUAUAUUAUAAAAAUGUAUGUAUGUGUAUAUAUAACAAUAUAUGCAUGUGUAUAUAGAUAACAAAAUUUGAAGUUUAAAAAGUAUAGAUAAUAAUAUUAAUGAUGUAAUAUAAUAAUAAUAAUAUAUUAAAAUGAUCAAUUUAAUAAUAAAUAACUAAAAUACCAAGCAGAGGACUAAAUCGAAACUAAACAAAACUUUAGGGCCGAAAUCAAAAAUGAAGAGUAGAGAAAAGGACUAAAUCAUAACGCGUCUGAAAGGAAAAGGACCAAAAAAGAAAUAAACCAAGUCACCCAAAACGCAGCGUUGCAAUGGACUAAAAUGAAAUCAGUGAGAAAUUAUGCAGUCCAAUUUGAAGAAUAAAAAAAAUCAAAUUAAAACAAAGUGCAAAGGUGGAGGGCUUAAUGCGCAAAUAUCCCUCCAAAGUAAAAAAACACGCGGAUCCUUCUCAGGGUCGGGUCACUGCGCGGGUCAGGGCUAAAACGGCAUCAUUUUGGCUCCUGACCCUAAACAGCAAAACGCCGCCGUUUAAUAACCUUUAUUUAAAACAUAUUUUUUCUUAGAAAAAAAAUCAUUUUUUAGGGUUUUAGAAUAAAAUUGCAGAGGAAGAAACUCUCCUGUCGUCAGCCGAAUGGGCCACCAUCGGCCCCGCCGUGGGCGGUGGGCAGAAGGCCAAAAGUUGGGUUUUUUAAACCCCGCUUCAAGGGCCGUCUGAAGAUCGAGUUUUCAUGACCCUAAGGCCAUAGGAAGAAACCCCAAACGUCGCCUUCCCCAUCCGCUUUCGGUGACUCGAAGGACUCCGGUGACGACACUUACACGGCGAUUCAGGUAUGUUUUCCUUUCUCUUUUUAUUCUAUUUAUUUCGUAUGUAAAAAAAAAGAAGAAAUGGACCGAGAGAAAAAGCCAAUCGGAAAAUGUAAAAGGAAUCACCUUUAAAACUGUUUUCUUUUUUUAUUUCUUGAAUGUUCGUGGAAAAAAAAAGAAAAAAGACCCCCUUACAGAUGUAAAGAUCGGUUUUUAAAUCGAUUCUCCCCCCAAAAAAAUACAAAAAGUUUUUUUUUUAUUUCUUUCUAUUCUUCCUGUCACUGCUUCGGUUGCUUUGCAAGUACUUGAUGGUGGCAAGUGGCGGUGGGUAGGUGACAGAGGGCAAGUGAGCGGCGAUGUGACAAUGGCGGCUAAUCAGGGCAAGUGGGCGACAGAGGCUGCGACGCUAGGCUAGGGUUUCAGAAAAUUGAAACCCUAGUUUGACUGGGUUUGUUGGGCUGGUUUUUGGUCUGUAUUUGGGUUGUUUGUUUGGGCCAAGUUUGGGUUGAUAUGGUUAUAAUGGGCCCUUUGUAAUUUUUUGGGUUUGCCUGGGCAAAAUUCGGCUGUACACCCUUCUUUCCACGACUUGCUAUUGUUGCAAAUUUUUGAAGACUGACACCUUUCCUUUUAAAGAUUCGAUGUGGAAUGAAGAGAUGGAGGCUUUGGGAAGCGAGGAAGAGGAACCACUCAAACCUCCUGCUUUGCUUAUCAUGUCUUUAAUGGACUCCUUAUCGUCCACUCUCCCUUCAUCCAAUGGGUAUUGUGAUGGGAUAUCAAGUGCAGUCAAUCCCUUAGCAUUUUUGCAUUGAUAUGGUCAGCACACAAGCGUUUCAACAGUAAUUUUACCACCUGUUAAUUAGAAUAUUCAUACAAGUAACCUUUGAGUAUAUAUAUACAUAAAUAAUUUCACUUGCAAAAUUAUCAUACCUUAGGUCUGUUUCUGAUAGCAGCAACAUGUAAAACAAUGUUGCCAUCAAUGUCUGCCCAACUCAGAAGUUCUUUCUCCCAACAGUUGGCAGCUUUAUGGCGGCUCCUUAUAAGCCACCCCACCAAGACUUGGAAAGCUUCAAACCUGUCAUUUUUUACAUGAUUCUUUACAUGUUUUUGGUUCCACUGCAUAUUAUCAUGUAAAAGAAUCUAAGUUAGACCCAAGAGCAAAGAAAGCAUUAUUCAUGGGUAUAACUGGUGGAGUAAAAGGAUACCGUCUCUGGUGUCCUGAUACAAGGAAAAUUAUUUUCAGUAGAGAUGUGACUUUUGAUGAAUCAACCAUGAUGAAGAACAAUGAUUCACAAAAGGAUAACACAACCAAUGGCACUUUGCAGCAGGUGGAGCUUGAAAAGGUUAAUGAUGAUCCAGCUAAUAUUGAAGGAACAAAUGAUGAAGAAGUUUCGACCCAAGAACUUCUACAGCAACAUGAUUCAAUUGCAUAUAGAAGGCCAAGAAGAGAGAUUUGUAUGCCUGCUCGCUUUAAUGAUAUGGUGGCCUAUGCACUUCCAAUUACAGAUGAUGAUGUUCCUUCUACUUACACAGAAGCAAGAAGUAACCCUGAUGGUGUAAAGUGGAAGCAAGCUAUGAAUGAAGAAAUGCAGUCUCUUCAUAAAAAUAGGACUUGGGAGUUGGUGACACUACCCAAAGGAAAGAAGGCAAUUGGAUGCAAAUGGGUAUAUUCAAAGAAGGAAAGAUUUCCUGAUAAAAAUGAAGUUCGAUACAAGGCUAGAUUGGUAGUAAAGGGUUACGCUCAGAAAGAAGGAAUAGACUACAAUGAAGUAUUUUCUCCAGUUGUGAAGCAUUCGUCUAUUCAGAUUUUGCUAGCCUUGGUUGCGUAAUAUGAUCUUGAACUAGUUCAGCUCGAUGUGAAGACCACAUUUUUACACGGUGAUUUGGAAGAGGAAAUCUAUAUGACUCAGCCAGAUGGAUUCAAGGUUACUGAUAAAAAAAAUUGGGUUUGCAAACUGACAAAGUCACUUUAUGGAUUGAAACAAUCUCCGAGGCAGUGGUACAAGAGAUUUGAUCAGUUCAUGAAAGGGCAAAGGUAUACAAGAAGUAAAUUUGAUCAUUGCGUGUAUUUUUAGAAGCUACAAGAAGGAUUUUUCGUAUACUUGCUCUUAUAUGUUGAUGAUAUGUUGAUAGCAUCUAAGAGUAAAGUUGAAAUUGAGAGAUUGAAGACUCAACUCAACCUUGAGUUUGAGAUGAAAGAUCUAGGUGAAGCUAAGAAGAUCCUUGGCAUGGAAAUAUGUAGGGAUAGAGCUCAUGACAGAGUUAGUUUGUCUUAGAAGCAAUAUUUAAAGAAGAUACUACAGAAGUUUGGCAUGAACGAGCAGACUAAAGUUGUAAGUACCCCGUUGGCUUCUCAUUUCAAGCUUUCUACACAACUCUCUCCUUCGACAAAUAUGGAACAAGAAUACAUGUUACAAGUUCCGUAUUCUAAUAUGCAAUUGUGUGUACAAGACCCGACAUUUCACAGGCAGUUAGUAUAGUGAGCAGGUAUAUGCAUAAUCCUGGAAAAGGACAUUGGCAAGCUGUGAAAUGGAUUCUACGGUAUAUUCAUAAGACCAUGGAUAUUGGAUUACUGUUCAAGCAGGAUACUACACUUGGUAAAGGUGUUGUUGGGUACGUUGAUUCUGAUUAUGCCGGUGAUUUGGACAAACGGAGAUCAACCAUUGGUUAUGUGUUUACUCUUGCUGGAGGACCAAUAAGUUGGAAGUCUACACUGCAGUCUACAGUUGCGUUGUCAACCACAUAAGCUGAAUACAUGGCUGUAACAGAGGUUGUAAAGGAAGCUAUUUAGUUACAAGGUAUGGUUAAAACCUUGGGUUGGUUCAGGAGCAUAUUAAUGUGUAUUGUGAUAGUCAAAGUGCUAUUCAUUUAGCAAAGAAUCAAGUCUAUCAGGCACGUACAAAGCAUAUCGACGUACGUUUCCAUUUUGUGCGGGAAAUUAUUGAUAACGGGAAAAUUCACCUUCAGAAGAUUAAGACUGCAGAUAAUCCUGCAGAUAUGAUGACCAAGGUGGUAACAACAAUCAAGUUCGAACAUUGUUUGAACUUGAUCAAUAUUCUGCAUGUUUAACACUUGAAGAAUCCACUAUCAAGUGUUGUUGACAAAGGCAGAGAGAAUUGUGUGAAGAUAAGAUUACUCGAAUCAAAUCUUCAAGGUGGAGAUUAUUGGGAAUUAUCCAUAUUUAUGGAAAAUCAAAGAUAUGGGUAUCAAAUAAUAGAAAUUCAAAGAUAUGGGUAUUAAAUAUUGGAAAGUCAAAGAUAUGGGUAUCGAGAUAUUGGCAUCAUAAAAUUUGAGAUAUUUGCAAUAUAUGGUCUCUAAUUGUAAAGUGACUUUGCAAGUUGAUCCCUGAACCUCAACUAUAAAUAAGCAUGACCAUCUCUCAUUCUGUAUCUCAAACUUGCCAUUCUUUACUUAAGGCAUUGUUUUCUCUCUCUCUCUCUUUGUAAAUUCUCACUUGUAUUUUGGAGUGAAAUAUAUUUGGUAGUGGCCGAGGAUGUAGGCAAAAUUUGCUGAACCUCGUUAAAUUAUUGUGUUCUUUAUUGUAUUAUUCUGCAUGAAUUGUGUGUGUGAUUGUAGUGAUUUAUUGUGCCAUUAAAUUACGAUUGAGGGAUAUUCUGGCUAAGGAAGACCUGGUACUUAAGCGAUCCUUGUGAUCCACCUCUCUUUCCUGGGAAUUGAACUUAGUGUGAUUUUUUAGUACAAAAAUUUUACUCUUUUACACGCUUCCGCACAACAUCUUUAAUGAUAAAAGCUUAAAGAAUAAUCUUUAAAAUUUGGUUGUUGGUAGCUUUAUUUGGGUAGAAUUUGAGAUUUAGUUCAUAUAUUUUAAAUGUUAAAAUUUUAAUUUUUUUUACUUUUUCAAUUUAAUAUUGUAAAAUAAAACCAUAAAAAAAAUUGUGUACAAAUAGUAUUGAAUUUACAUAAAAAUAUAUAAAAAAUGCAGCAUAAAUUUGAAUAAUAAUACAUGAACACUUAAAAUGAUAAUAUAUGAAAAAAAACUUAAGAUAAUAAUAUACGAUAAAUUUAAACAAUAUUAAUAAUGAAUUUAAAAUAAUAUUAAGCAUAAAUAUUAAAAUAAGGUUAGAUUUAAAAAUAUAUAAAAAUAAUGGAAUAAUAAAUACUUAAAUAAAUUAGAAAAAUAAGCAAAUUAAAUCAAGCUAAUAAGGAUUAAAUUGGAUUUAAAACAAAAUUAGAAGGCAAAAACGUAAAUAAAAUAAAAUAAAGGACCCAAUUGAAAGGCGCGAAUAACUCAAAGGGACCAAAUGGGGAAAUAUCCCCGCCUUUUGAAAUGCAUCGUUUCACCAGGACCAAAUCAGAAACCAAAUAAAAUUUAAAGUAUCAAUUGAAGAAAAUAAAAAAAAUUGAAUUAAAAUAAUAAAAAAUACGGAGGGGGCAAAUGCAUAAAUAUCCUUACCAAGACCAGAACAGGCAGAUCUAGCUGCCUCUGGGUCGAGUCAUCGGGUAUAGUCAAUACGGCACCGUUUUGGAGCCAUUGAAACAGACUUUAAAUGGUGCCGUUGCAUGGCCUUUAUAAAACAAAAAAAAAAAGAAAAAUAAACAAGUUUUUAGCCAUUUCGAAUCAGAUAAAAACCUUAGCCACACGCCGUUUAGAAGCCUGGCCAUUCAAAGGCCAAUCGAUCCCUGUCUGAACUUCGAUUGCGACAGAGUGAGCAAGGAUUCGACACCACCAAGUAAUUUUCUCACCUUAAAUCGUUUUUUUCUUUUUUUACACAUGAUGAGUAAACAAAUAGAUGAGUCUAGAACAGAAAAGAAAAACAACGAAAAGAAAAAAAAAGGUUUCAAAUCACCUUUAGAAAAUUCUGAUUCUUUGAUUUUUCGUCCCCUUUUAUAGAUUUUUAAUUGGCUUUUUAUAGCCGAAACGAAAAAAAGAAAAUAUGUAAAAAAGAAAUCUAUUAUGUUAUCUAGCUAUUUUCAUUUGCUGGCAUAUUGUUGCUCGCUUUUUACUGUUAUUCGUUUCUGUUUCAGGUGUACGAAGGAGCGAUGACGUGGAGGUGCAACACGCGUGGAGGCCUGGUUCCCAGCUGCGGCGUGGACUGUUCCAAAAACCCUAGGGGUUUCUGGAGAUUUCAAAUUGGGCCACUUCAAAUCGGGCUAGGGUUUAAUUAAGUCUAGGAUUGUAUUAGGUCUAGGAUUGGGUUAGAUUUUGGGUUUAGGCCUCAAUCCGAAUUUGGCCUAUUGUAACUGAACUUUUGGACUUAUUAAUGGUUAUUUUGGGUAUUGGGCUAUUAGGGUUUGUUGGGUUUGGGUUUUAGAUAUUUGGGCUGAUUUGUGUUUGUUUAUUUUGGGUUGUUUGUGUAAUUCUGGAAUUUUUAUUUUAUUGGACUUUUAUUUUUUGAUUUGGUUUUUUUUUUGUGUGGGCUCGAGCAGAUUGGGCCUGCUACAAUAUUGAUGCAAAACUUUGUCACUAAAGUGCAAAUUGUAACAAUAGUUAAGUAGUCUUUUGUUCGAAUAACAUUAGAAGCACAUCAAAGUCAAAGCACAUAGACUUUAAGUUCAUUGUUGUUAAAAUAAAAGUUUAGGGUGGUUAGAUGUCUAUAAAGUAUAUUGAGACAAACUCCAUGGUUGUGGAUUCGCUUAUUAAGGGACUACCACCCAAAGCUUUUUUCCUGAGCACACUGUUGAUAUGUGUGUAAUGUCAUUCAAGGAUAUUUGAUUUUAGUAGGAGUUUGUACUUUUAAACGUUUUUAUGUUAUAAAUACAUUUUCAAUUAUUUUAGUUUACAAAUAUUAAGUUUUUUUUUUGUAGAAAGAAAGUUUAUUUGGUAAAGUUUGAUCUCACUAAGAUUAAUGUGGACCGGUUAGAAUAUGCAUGUUUGAAUCAUAUUACAUGUAAUUUUCAUGUUACACAUCCAUACUUAAUCUAUGUCAUUUGGUUGUGCUAAUAUAUGUGAUUAAGGCUGGAUUUAGUUAUGAUAUAUGUAACAAAGUUGCAUUCUUUCUAUGUUAACAUAAUUAAUGGACAGAUUGUUCGAAAUGCCUUUUAGAUACGAUAGUAAAAUUUUGAGCUCAUAAGGUUAUAUAAUGACAUGUAAUUAUAAGGUAAUCGGUAUAUAUAUAUAUGUCAUCCAAGUGGUAUAUAUGGACAUCACAUAUAUAAUAAGCAUGUUACAUGUUAUUAUUUACUAUCAUAAAAGAUUAACUCAAAUUAAAAGUGACCUAAUUUGGUUAAGAUUUAUUGGAUUUUAGUUAUUAAAUAAAAUAUAGGUCAAUAAUAUGUGUAGAUACUCUAGUAACUAAUUUCUAAUUUAUGAUGGGCUGAUUAGAAAUUAGGUUAAUGUGAAAAUGUUAUAUAUUAGGAUUUUAGUCUCCAAGUUACGCAUAUGUAACUUUUCUAAUAUCCCAUCUUGAGAAAAGAGAGAGUCACCUUCUUUAGAUUACUUGUGAGCUAAUUUGGAAGAUCAAAACCUUAAAAUUCGUAGAUUUCAAGAAAUCGGUAAAUUCAAAUACGCUUCUGCAUUUAGUUUUGUUCUUAAUUAUUUGACAUGAUAGAUUCUGAUUUAUUAAGUUUUGUAAAAGAGUUUUACGGUUUUAAUAGGAUAAUUACGAAUCCCAAAUAUAAACUGUAAAACGGACAUGAAGAAUAUAAAAGAAAUAUUACAAGAAUUUUGAAAGAGAAAAUUAAAUUGAAAAUUUUAAUGUUAUUUUUAUCUUUCAUAAUUAUUUUUAUUUAUAUUUUAUUUACAAGAACAUUUUAUUAAGAGUUUAUUAGGAUUAAGUUUAUUUUUACUUUUAUUAAAUAAAUGUUAGACUAAAAAUAAACUUUUUUUUCCACUGUUGGUAUAAUGGAUAGUAGGCUAGGUUGUCCUUUUUUAUUUGUUUAGGCACCCGUGUAUGAGAAUAAUUUAUAUUAGAAUAGUCCUAAAGGUUAAAGAUUUUAAUAUUAAUAAAAUUUUGUCACAUCAUUAAAUUUUAAAAAUAUAAAAUUAUUAUUAUACAUUCGUUCAUAUUAAAUUUACUUUUUAACUUUCGUUCUUCUUAAACAUAAAUAAUUAAAAUAAAAAUAGAAAAAUAGAAUAUUUAAAAUUUAUACAAUCCUUAAAGAUUUAAUCCAAUAUUUUUUUUUGUUUUAAAAAAUGUAUAAUAUGAAAUAGAAAAAAAAAUUAAAAUGGAAAAACUCCAUUGCCUAUAAACUAAUUUUUUUUAAAAAAUUGGUUACAAAAAUUAAAAAUAUUAACUUCUGAAAAAAAACUAAAAAUGAUUAAAAUUUAUAAAAGAAGAAAAGAUGUUUAUUUAUAAUUUAAAAAAAUUAAUUAUUUUAAGUAAUUUAAUUAAAGUUAAAUUAAGUUAAGAAAAAGGAGAAAUGGAUAAGUAUAUAAUAAUACAUAAUUUGUUAAAUAUAUAAAGAAAUUUAUUUGAUUUAGUACCUAAAUAUUAAUAUUCGAAACUCUCGAUUUUUCACAAUUUAUUCAAUCAAAUUUAGAUCCAACUUUAAUUAUAUUACAAAGACAUUCUAUUUUAUUAUUUUAUUAACGGGUGAAAAAACUUAGUUCAACCCAUAAACAUUGACCACAAAGGGAAAUUUGAAACACUUACCACCAAUCCCCUAUCAGAAAGUCUUUCCCACAUUCAACUAGAAAUCAGAGCUCACCAAAAUGUUUAUUCUUUUCAAUCUGAACCGACUCUACAAUCACUUAUUGCUCAUGGUCUUCAGCCUAUAAACCCAGAAGCAUUAUUAACUUCUAAAUCCAAAACACUAAUAUCAGCAUCCAACCCUACAAUGGUAGUCUUAUUGACUCAUUUAAACAAGUUUCCUUUGUCAAUCUAUAUUCCAUAUUGGGUAAUCUCCAAUAUUAAUUCAGAAUUUAGGAUAGCUGGAACAAGAAUAACAGCAAAGAUGCAAAGCGAAACGACUUGUAGGAGGAGGAAGAACCUUCUUUUGGGUACAAACCUGUAUAGCAUAUAAUAGGAUGUCCUGUAUAAUGUCACGAGAGCUAGUACCGUUGCCAAGCAGUAAUUAGUAGUGCUGAGUUUAGAAUAGGAAACGGAUCCAGGAGUCGAAAGAUAGAAAAAAUACUGAAGUGCGAGUGUCCGUAUGGAAACAGCAACCAAAAGCAUGUAACAGGUCCCAAACAAGGAAAGUGUUAUGAGAAUAAACAAGGACAUUGAACGGCUGGGUAGGAGAUACGCUGUUAAAACAGUUGUUGCCCAAAAGGUUAAAGUGUUGUAUAACCAAAACAUUGUGGACACGUCUAGUAUAUUUUCUAUUUUUUUUUCUUCAGCGGGUGGAGGACUUGGUACGGGUCCAGUGCUGGUUGAACCUAAAGAUAUGUCAUACGUGAGAUGGAAAUUCUGGGAAUUUGAAAUGGUAUCAGGCUGCUUUGGAGGGUUCAAAGUGGCAGUGUAUGUGGCUGUUAUAAUUAGCACUGUGACUACUAAAAAUGUGUUACGCGUCUCAUGUGGGAUUCCCUUCUUUCCACGACUUGCUACUGUUGCAAAUUUUUGAAGAACUGACACCUUUCCUUUUAAAGAUUCGAUGGGGAUUGAAGAGAUGGAGGCUUUGGGAAGCGAGGAAGAGGAACCACGCAAACCUCCUGCUUUGCUUAUCAUAUCUUUAAUGGACUCCUUAUAGUCCACUCUCUCUUCAUCCAAUGGGUAUUGUGAUGGGAUAUCAAGUGCAGUCAAUCCCUCCGCAUUUUUGGCAUUGAUAUGGUCUCCACACAAGCGUUUCAGCAGUACUUUUACCACCUGUUAAUUAGAAUAUUCAUACAAGUAACCUUUGAGUAUAUAUAUACAUAAAUAAUUUUACUAGCAAAAUUAUCAUACCUGAGGUCUGUUUCUGAUAGCAGCAACAUGUAAAACAGUGUUGCCAUCAAUGUCUGCCCAACUCAGUAGUUCUUUCUCCCAACGGUUGGCAGCUUUAUGGCGGCUCCUUAUAAGCCACCCCACCAAGACUUGGAAAGCUUCAAACCUGUCAUUUUUUACGGCAAGAUGGAAAACCGUCUCAUCUCGAACAGUCACAUCUUCAAUAGCCUCGGGGCAAACCUCAAGGAACUUGAUCAAAAAAUCAACAUUUCCAUUUUGAACCACAUGAUGCAAAGGAGUGAAGCCCUCCCGCCCUUUGACACGAACAAGGCCUUCAUCAAACCUGAGGAGUCGAAGCACUGCUUGAGUGUGUUGAUUUUGCAGAGCCAAGUGCAUGGGGCUAAACCCAGCUUGGUUUAGCUUUCUUGCAAACGAUGGCUUUAAGUUGAUCAUCUCCAUCAUAAAAUCAAUAUGCCCUGCAGAGGCUGCUACAUGCAAAGGAGUAUGGAAAAAAGGUACAUCAUCGAUACGCUGUAAAACAUAUGGAUCAUUCAGAAUUAACUCGUACAAGAUGUUUAUGUCUCCUGUUUGUGCAGCACCUAUCAUCCUCUCAUCCAUAGCAAGGUGCGGAAAUUUGCAGAAUAUAGAAAUGGAGUGAAGAAAAAACGCUUUAGCAGAGGAUAUGAUUAUGUUAAGG